AAAGUAUUGCCCUACUCCCUUCUAAAAGGUCGAUAAUAUUUUCACCCCCCAAUGUUUGUAAAGCUACCCUACUUCUAGAAAGUAACUACAUAAAGAUCACAUUAUUUUUAAAAAAUUUCAAAUAAAGAAGAAUAUUUAGAACUAAUUAAUUAAAUUUAUGUUAAUUUAUAUUUUUGUGACUUACAUAUUUUAUUAUAUUUGACUGCUAAAGUUGCUUUUUACCCUAAGUUUAAAUUUAUCAUUUUACCUUAAUAAGGUAAAUGUACCAAAACUUUACUUUGUCUUCAAUUUUUUUAAUUUUAUACAAAAUUUAUUAUUUCUAAAUGAUGUAUCAAUACUAAUUUAUUACUAUGAUUAUUAAUUUUUAAAUCAACCAACAUAAUGACUUUAAGGUACAAUACUCAUGUAAAUUAUUGGGGUAUCAAAUUCAUGUCAUUUACAUAUAUGGUAUUGAAAACUAUUAGAUUUCAUACAAAAACAUUAGAUUAUUGAUCACAAGAUUAAAUACCUAAAUUAUUGUAUACAAGAAUUAAUAAAUAUUCUCAGGUCGAUUAAUUUGGUCAUUUUAUGUGAAGAAAGUUAUCAACCACCCACCUUAAGUUUACUUUGCGUUCAAAAAUACUAAAAAAGUUUUAAUUUAUUUGAUUUUAAUUUCACCCUAAAUUUACAAAUUGUAUCAACAUAGUAAAAUAGAAACAAAAUGAUAACAUAGAAGCAAAGAGACAAAAUUACCCGUACAAAAUGAUCAAACAAAAACAAACAAAAACGACAAUGGUGGUCAUUUUGUAAAGGUAUUUUUUUUUUUUGGAUGGUAGAUAGAAAUUACAAACUUAACAUGGAAGAUUGAACAAAUUCUAACUUUUAUAGUAUUUUUAAACAAAAUGUAAUUUUAGAAUGGAUGGCUAAUAGUUACCCUUUUAUGUCGUAAGGAUAUAUAGUCAAAUGAAAUUUAUAUUAAAGCAACCUUAAUGGUAAAAAUUGCGGAAAAUGGUUAGUGAAGAGAAGCACAAGAGAAAUAAAGAAGAAAAUGGUAGAGAGAGAGAGUAAGUGGGUAGAGAGAGAGAGGACAAAAUUCUCUCGUGUUUCUCUCGUGCUUCUCUACACUUAGCACUGCUCAAAAAUUGCUCAGAGAAACCAAAGUAAGGAAAAAUUAUAAGAAGGAUUAAUUAAUUAAAUGCACUAAUUUUUUACUAAUUUGUAUUUAUUAAAAAUAAUGAAAACAUAUUGUAUAUAUUUUCCAAGAAAUGGGUGAAUUUACACAAUAAGUAAGGUGAAAAUAUCCCCGCUCUUUCUAAAACAAAAUAUGUUAGGAAGUUACAAAAUAAAAUUUUUUCUUGGUCAACCAUAUUGGUGGAGCCGUGGAAAUAAGCAAAAAAGGUAUUUAUCGUUUAAAAAGAGACAAUUAAACUCAAUCUUAAACCUUUUACCAGCCUUACCCCUCGUAAUAACAAAAUGCAAUAAGCCAAAAACAGAAAGAGCGACAACAUCUUGAAUUCUGAAGCUAAACCUUCAUUCCAAAAUAACAAUGAAAUGCAGAUACGAAGAGGAACCAGCGAUGAAACAAAGACUUAAGACUUUAUUCCAAAUCCAGUAGGAGACCCAAAAAGGGUACACGAUCGAUAAUAAGAGUUUUAAUUGAUUUGAUGAAAGCAGUUACCAACUAAAACAACCCGCCCCGCAACUCCCUAGGACCAGUCUAUCUAAACUCGUAAAAUCGAAACUAUUCUAUAAAAAUUUCGGCAGAGUCUCCCUUAUAAUUAAAACAUAUCCAAUCCUGCAAAUUACAAAUCAACACUCCCAAAAUAAUUUGAUAUCCAACCAUCCUUCAUAACCAACUUCUCAAGUCAACACCUCAAAUUUCACCCAAACCCUUCUAAUAAUAAAAUACACUGGUAAUCCUUAAUUACAAAAUAUAAUAAAUAAAUACAAUUCGCAAUAUCCCAAAUAAUUAAAAUAAUUAAAUCUACGACUUCUAGCACCAUUACGUGGCCACAAUUUCAAAUCUAACUAUCGUUACUGAGUCGACUGAUGUACCUGCAAGUCUCCUGGGGGGGAGAAAAUAUAAUAAAAGCGGAAUGAGUAUAAAACUCAGUGAACUCAGUGAGUGGAUAAUAAUUUUAAAAAUCAAUUCUUUUAAAAAAUAAUUUAAUCUUUUUCAAAUCAAUUUCUCAAAUCAUCAAUUUCUCAAAUCAAUUUCAUCAGAAUAUCAUAAGAACUUACAUAAACUUAUUUAAUUCAAAUCAGUCACUGAAAUACUAUAUUACGUAAAUCUGCAUAAAAUCAAUGGAAACAUAAUACUUAUUAUAUCAAAUACUGAAUACCAAAACUAUCAUCAAACAAGUACCCAGGGAAAUCUCGUCAUAUCCGGACCUCAACGGACGGGCAAUGACGCACUAUCUGGGUAACGUCAUGCCCCGGAGCUACAACGGAUAGACAGGGAAAUACUAUCUCAUAUCUCAUCAUAUCUGUGCAUGCAUAAUCUAGUCCCCAAAGGACAAAAGCGCCCAAGCACACGGCCCAAAGCCUCUGUGUGUACUCAGACGGGCCCCAAAGGCCUGUAUCUCAUCUGUAUCUCAACUCUCUGUAUCUCAUAUCUGUAUCACUGUAUCUCAAUAACUGAUCUGUAUCCCAUAUCUGUAUCACUGUAUCUCUGUAAUUGAUCUGUAUCUCAUAUAUGUAUCUCUAUAUCUCUGUAACUGAUCUGUAUCUCAUAUCUGUAUCUUUGUAUCUCUGUAUCUCUGUAACUGAUCUAUAUCUCAUAUCUGUAUCUCUGUAUCUGGAGGGAAGGGUACUGUCUAAUGUUUUCAAAAACAAUAUUUAUACUCAUGUAUAUAAACAUAUAAUCACAUCUGAAAUCUCAUUUUCUUUCUAUUCAACAUAUCUCAAAUCUGCUCAAUUCUAAUAUCAUGCCUUUACUAAAAAAACGAUAGUAAAAUCAUUAAUCAAACUCAUUCUCAAUAACAAUAAAUAUCAACACAUAAAUAAAAAAUCAAUUUUCUAGAAAAGCAUUAAAUCGAGCAUCAAAUACUUAUUUAUAAAAACAUACUGCACUGUAUCAUAAAAUCAACAUAUACUCUAAAAAUAGGUUUUGUAUAUUCCACUCACAGUGACAAUGUCCAAACUCGGUGUCAACAAAGUCCGUGGAUUAAUUCUCGUUCGCGAAUCCUCCUAAUCAAGGAAACGCCAAAAUCAUUCUCCGUAACUUUGAAAUACAACCAAUUUAAUAUAAUAAAUCUCGAAACGAAUAUCUAUCAACAAUAAACUAUUUCCGCAUGUACAAAAUUACUGAAAUACCCCUACAUACCAAAAUUACCAAAAUGCUCCCAACAUUAAUAUUUUACCAAAUUAUCCUCAGAAUCUUCAAUUACUAAAUGGUCCUCAAUUCAGAUCACAUAAAUAACUGCAAUGUCAAAAAUUAUGAAAUUACCCUCGGAGCGUAAAUUUACCAAAAUAUCCUUAACGACUUAAAUUACCGAAUUACCAUCGUAAUCUCAAAUUACUUCACUGCCCUAACUUAAAAUUACCAAUUUAUCCACUGAUUCCACAAAUUACAUAUUCACCCUUAGGUUUUGUGAAUUACCGAUUUGCCCUUGAAUUCAAUAUUACCAAAAUACCCUCAUAUCAAAAUUACCAAAUUAACCUCAAAAUCAUAAAUUACCAACUUUAUCCUCAAUUACAGCAAUUACCAAAAUACCCACAAAAUCUGAAAUUACAACAUUGCCCUUAUGUUAUGAAAUUACCGAAAUGCCCUUGCCGGUCAACGGUCACCGGAAUUUAUCCGACGGCGACGGGAAGCUCAAAUCUUAAAGUGCCAAUCACGCUGAGUUCAAUGGUACCGGCGGUGAGCUCCGACGCGCGGCAACGACGCCGGAAUCUAGCUCGACCGCCGUGAGUUCCAACAAUCGACCGGCGGCAAAACAACGACUCUCGGUGCCUAUGGAUGGUCGGAAAUGGAAGAGGGAAUCAUGAGGAACAAAAUCCAACCGGUGGUGUCACCCAAAUCUGGCGAAAUCACGGCGAAUCAAGCCGGCGAUUCCGCGAACCUUCAACACUUCGAUCGGUGACUUUCCGAUCGUUUUCCGGCAGCAAGGACGGCAUGGAUACGUUGCUCAUCUCUCAAGCUUCAAAUCGGUACCAAGCACGGCCGGUGAGGUGGCCGGAAACGGGAGAACUCGUCGGGUCAAGUCGCGGGUUCGGGUUGGGUCGGGUCGGGUCAAACGGGUCAAAGACUCUCUCUCUCGUGCCUUCUCUCUCUUUCUUUGUGAAUCCAUAACAGUUCCCCCCAUUUCCAUAUAUAAAACCCGACUUCUUUUUCUUUUUCUCUUCGUUUUUUUUUUUUAAACUUAAGCUUAAUACAAAUUAAGCUAAUACCGGACCCGAGGCGAAAAAUAAAAUCCGACUACUUGAGCUUUUAAUCGCACUCAAUUUAUAUAAGUGGAGAGUCAAAAAUAAUCGGGUGCGGGGUAUUACAUAAGCAAUUAACGAAUUGGUUGUAACCACGAUCAAUUCCUCUUUCUGUAAUAACAGCAAGCGAGUCCUCCUUGGAAAGUGUUCCCUCAGUGUCGGUAGGUUUAAUAACAUGAACCUCAGCACCAAUGUACAUGUAUUAUUAAGAAGGUACCCUUUUAAAUGUUGAUUAAAUUCUGCUAGGGUAAGAAAUUUGACGAAGCCCCAUUCACUUGUCUGCUGAUCAUAGGUCCUCACUGGAGAUUUAGCAUCUUGGACUGCCAAGUAAUCCUUCCUAAUCUUAUCAUACACAAACAAUCUGUACUAGACAUUAACACUCCAGGCAGCAUUAGAAUAAGAAUUGCUUUAAUCUAUUUUCAUGUAAAGGGAAAGAUGACGUCUAUGUUCUUUGUGAUCUACUGUAUUUGCAUUUGAUGAGGGGUAAGGUUCAUAGUACGUAUGUCCUCUAAUUAAGUGUUUCUUUCUUUUUUGAUUUAGACAAAAAUAUCUACAGUCUACCCAGAGUUUCACCAUUUUUCAAAAACUGUUCUACUUCCAACUUAAUACGGUUAGUAACUUUGAUAGAAUAUUAGUAAAAUGACAAUGUUGCCCUUUAAUUCACACCAUAAAAUAAUAAAAUUAUAACAGAAAUAGAAACCAAAAUUAAAAAACAGAGAAGGUAUUUUUCAGAAAUCCUCUACUUACAAAAUCAAACCCUUCAUUAAAUCACAAUCUCAUAAAUCAUAACCCUAAUCUUACGACUCAAAUCCUAAGAAAUCAAAACCCCCUGAAUCCUGUCCACUAUCUUAGGGAGAAAAAUAAAUAAAUAAAAGUCUAAAAUGAUUAAUUUGACAAGUUUGAUUCUUCUUAGUCUAUUUAUUUUAGCAGAUUAAUUGACAAUUCUGAAUGUAAAUGACUAUUUUUUAUGAGUAAAUUAUAAAAUGAGGCAAUAGAUGUGAAGAUAGGGAAAAUGGAAAAUAGAGGAAUUAUAUAUUGAUUUGACCAUAAUGGAUUGUUCUUUAUACUAAAUUAUGUUUGGGCUAUUUAUAUAAAUAAAAAACAAAAAAGUGUACUAAAUAUUUUUAUAGUACAAAUAGUCCCAUAAUUAUUGAUUUUAUAGGUAACUGUUGGAUUAAUUUUAUUAAGUACUUCUUUGAUUUGAUUAUCAAUCUCAACCUUAUGUUGAUCGAUUCAUCUAAUUUUUCCCGUCAUUCUUCAAAGUAACCCAGUUGGUUGAUUUCUAAUCCCGGUAACAGACGUAAAAAACUGACAUUAUUAGUCAGACUAUUCAUCCUAGAGAUGGUAUAGCAAACGUGUUUUAUCUUCAAAAAAUUUAUAUCAACCACCUUAAACCUUUUAUUUCCACGCAAGAGAUUUUAGAGAAAAAAACUAGCUAAUACCCACAACUUUAUUGAAAGUCUUUGUUUAUUCAUUUUAUUGGCAAUUUACUAUAUGUGUUCCAUCGUCUUUAACAAAUGAAACUUAUACUAUUGACUAGCAUAGGCUUAAUUUACAUUGACCUUCCCUAAUUAAAGUUUUAUUACAAGCCCUAAUUGAAAUUAUUAAAGAGCGAAAUUUAUUAACAUUGGCUAAUACAGGCUAGAUUUAUUAUAUAUAAUGACUUAACAAAAAAUACUACAAUAUGAUAUUUAUUACUAAUAUAGCUAAUGACUUUAUUGGCUUUAAUUGCGGUUUGUGCUAUAGUAGUCAUCUUUGAUGUCAACAUCUGAAACUUUCACGCGGCUGCUGCGGAGUCCUAUUGGUUAGGGGUAGUUGUUGUUAUAGUGAAAAUAAAUCUUUAGUUUUUAUUUACUUGUAGAAAUGUCCACUAAGUGAGCACUUGUUGCUCUCUUUUAGCUGUGUCUUUGUUGUUUUCCGUUAGAGUCUUUGUAUAAAUUCAGAGUUCAAAGAUGAAUAAUGACAGCAGAUUAAUUUUCUUCAAAGUUCAUCUAGUAUUGCAGGCUUAGGGAUUUGAACGUUCAUCUAGUAUUAAGAGUCUAAAGAUGAAUAAAGGCAGCAAAUUAACAGAAAAGGAUCCUCUCUUGAUCUAAUAUGUUCUGAGUUUUUCAAGAUCUUCUGCCAUGUGUCUUUUAGUGGUAGUUUAUGGGUAAGAUUCAACUUCUUUUAUUUUUUUAUUCAUUAACUACCAAUCGGCAAUUGAGUUAUUUACUCAUGACAUGAUCAGAUCAUGAGAGAAUCCUGAUCCGCAGAUGAACAUUUACUCAUUUAUUAUUAAGACCUUCGCCUUUACCUAACAAAAAUUAUUAAAAAAUGAAUAUUAUUAAUAUUGGCUUAAUAUUUUAUUGGCAUUAGUCAUGCUAGUCUUUUUUUAAUGUUAAGUGAUUGUCAUUAUAUUACUAAAACAUCUUUUUUUUUCAUUAGAUUAAUAAAACUUGUUGAAAUUACAUAAUUGGCUACUUGAUCUAGAAUGACCCAAAAAAAAAAAAAAACUCUAUCGGUGUCUCAUUUUAUUAAACGGGAAAAUUAAAUUAUUUCCUUCAUUGAGAAAACAUAAUUAAACCUUAGGGAUUUGAAAGUUAUUAACUCAACAAGGCCUGAAGUUCUAUGAUUCCAAUCUAUUAAAUUAGUUUUAUCUAAUCGCAUAGAAAAUUUAUUAUAAUGACCUUACCUAACAAAAAAAGUUAAAAAAAGACUGAACUUGUUGAUAUUCCAUAUGGUAAUUAAUUUGAUUGAGAAUGACCUUAACUUAAUCAGAGACUUUUGGGAUUUGUUAAUAAAGAAAGAUAUGCUUUACGUUAUCCGGUUCACACAUUACAUAUGAUCAAGGGGCUAAACAUUGCUGCCUAAAAACGACAGUCGAUCCGGUGCUUGGUCCGCCGAUUUACACGUCCCAAAGGUACAUAAUACUUGGUGGACAAAACAGCUAUUCAGGACAAUUACUAUAGGUUAUAGUUUGAAAGGCACGAAUUCAUUAAAGUAAGGCCAAAAUUACAUUGAACCCUUAACUAGGUCACUUGUGGGAACUUAUGUCCGCAAAAAAAAGCGCCUCGUGAUACAAGAGUUAACGUAGAACCAAUCCUAGAGAGCUUUCCCAGCCAAUAGGAGGCCUAGACCGACGUUCUGACCUAUUGGCACGUAAGCGAUGUUAUCCCACGUAUGGUCCUGACAAAAGCCUUCGAGAAUAUCGCUUCUCAUAAACCCUAGUUCACCUUACCGAAAAUAUUCAGCUAUACUGUUAGGGUUGGGUAUGGAUUCGGCAGGAUUGGGUAUAUGAAAACUCAACUCAACCUGCUACUGACUGAGUUGAUAAAAAAUCAACCAACCUAAUCAAAUAAAUAUGUCGAACCCAAACCAGCUCAAUUGUCAAAUUAUCGGGUUGGGUUGGAUUGGGUUGAGUUGAUUUGAUUGAUUAAAAUAAGAAGUAAAUGAGCAUUUACCCUAUUCAAAUAUAUCAAUCAAUUAUAAAUGAAUGUCAAUAAUGAAGCAAUUUUUUUAUGAGAUUAAUUGAACUUGUUGAAAUUCCAUAAUUUGCAAGUUGAUUUAGGAUGACUUAAACAUGAUCACACCUGUGUUAGGGGAUUUUGUUAAUAAAGAAAGACUUGCUUCGCUUUCUCCAGACUUUGUUAAAUCUUAGAAUCUGCCUAUAUAUAGCUCGUAUUUGCUAAUCCAGGAAUAUCCAUCGAAAGCUAAUUUCACAAAUUUCCUGCCUGCCUUUUGAGUUCAUCAAAUCCUUUCACCUUUUCGGAAAUUCUACCAUGGGCGACAAUGGUACGUUUUGUGCUAAUUACUGCUUUUCGAAUAAUCUUAGUUUGUAUCAUUUAAAUUAUUAUCGUAUUAAUUAUAGUCAUUGCUACGUACAGUGUUCUUACAUAUAUAUUUUCAUGUGAAUUUUAGCAAUAUCAAGGGAGAAAAGAAGUCUUCCUCCAGCUGACUACUCACUGAAAAUGGAGUCAUUCAAGCUGCUAUCCGAAUCAACGGUUGAAAGUUUUGAAUCUGGUGUUUCAAAUUCGGGGGCUACAAUUGGUACGCCCAUCUAUGCAUGCCUGCCUCCAGUCUUUGUAUUGCUUAUAGAAUUAAAAAUGAAUGUAUUAUAUUACAUUUGUUAAUUAAUAUUUAUAAGUUUAAUUUAUUAAUUAUUUUUGUAUAUGGCAGGAAAUUGGUUUUCUAUCCCAAUGGAAAAAAGAAUGAUGGUGGCAAAGACCACCUUUCCCUUUACCUGAAAAUAGACGACAGCAAUCCCCAUUCUAAUGGUACUUGGAAUGUUAAUGUGUACUACAAAUUGUUUGUGUACGAUCAGCUAUCGAACCAGUACUUGGUGGUUCAGGAUGCUAAAGCCCCAAUGAGGCGCUUUGAUAGGCGCAAGGGUGAAUGGGGCUUCGGCAAAUUUCUUGACCUUGCAACUUUUAAUGAACCUUCAAAUGGGUACCUUGUUGAUGAAAGUUGUGUAUUUGGUGCUGAGGUCUAUGUUGUUAAACCAACUGGCUCUGAGGAAAUUCUUUCCUUGGUUAGUGAACCUGAUGAUGGAACUUAUCGUUUUACCAUCCCAGCAUUCGGUUCUGUAGGUGAUACCGUUCAGCGCUCAGGUGAAUUCACUGUUGGAGAAAGAAAUUGGUAAGUAUGCUCCUACUUUAAUUUUAAUAAAUGGUCACACAGAUUCACCUACUGCCCACUGUUUGGACAAACCGUGAAGUUUGUAUGACCAUUCUUUAAAACAAUAGGUCUCUGUGAUUAUUUUUCCAAACCUUAAGGUGUCGUUGUUCAUUUUUUUAAUUAAUUCUAUUGGGUAAAAUAUAGGCAACUGGUGGUUUAUCCGUCAGGAUCUGGAGCUGAUAGAGGCAACUAUCUUACUGUUUCAUUAAAGCUAGCUGAUUAUCAAAAAGUUACACCUAAGAAACCAGUUUAUGCAGAAUUUAAGUUCAAAAUACCCAACCAAUACAGCAGGAAUAGAGCUGGCGCUGAACAAACAGGUGAGUACCCGCCCUUUACCGGCAUCAACUCUUUACUAGCUUCAUAUGUAUUUGAAGCCUAGCUUAUUACAUAAACAAGAGCUGGCUAACGCAUAUUAAUUAUACAUCGAACAUUAUUUUGUUGCAGUUAAGUAUUUUUUCAACUCGGCAGCGGAAAAAGAGUCUUCCAAAAUUUUGUCGAGGGAUGAUCUGUAUGACACCACCAAGGGAUACCUUCCAAGCAAUGAAAGCCUAGUUGUCGAAGUCCAGUUUCUUGUUGUUUCAGUGAUUAAGGCCAACACUUAAUUCAUGCAUCGUCAUCAUGCAUGAUUUGCUGUGAUCGCUUUGGAUGAGUUCGUGAGAUUUCAUAAAGGGUGUUGAUGUUUUUAUUGAGUACUUGUUAAUGAUUUCCAAUAAAACGCUUGUGUUGCUAGUCUAUGCAAGAUUGCGUUUGCUUCUGUUAUUUUGUUUUGUUUCUUCACUAUGCGUUUUGUUGAAAAGUGUGUUCAUCAGGCAAUGCCUGAUUACAAAUAAAUUAAGAUGAGAGUAAUCAUCUGCAUGUGUUAUAAUAAAAAUCUUUGUGUCACUUGUGCUUCCUCUGUUAUUUGAAUGUAUUUUCAUUUUAAGAUGAUUGAUUAUUUUGUGGCGCGUUCUACAAACAGUUGGUAAAUCUGUCAUUAACGAAAAUUAAAUACGCACUCUAAUCUGAACAGCUUGACUUGUAGUCUCAAUUUGUGAUCUCAUGUUUCAUGAUAAUGCAUGAUUUCCUCUGAUCGCUUUGGAUGAGUUCAUGAGACAGGGUAUUGAUGUUUUAAUGAAGUAUUUGUUGAUUUCGAAUAAAAAGCAUGUAUUCUGCUGAUUUUUUUUUUUUGUUUCUUGAUUAUACGCCUAGUUAAAAAAUGUGUUCAGGCGAGGCCUAAUCGAUUGUAAUUAAACAAAGAUGCUAGUAAUCAUCUAUGUUAUCUGAUAAGUCUUCUACUUCCUUUAGUACUGUGCCAUGUGAACAAAAUAUUUGUGUCGUUAAAUCUGAAUUAUUAUGCAGAUUCCAAUAAAAAAUUUAAUCCAGCAUAAGCAUCAAGGAUCUAGUAUCAUUGCUUAUGCCUACUAAGUUAUAAAUUCAUAUGCAUAUGUCUGAAUGUCAAUGUGUAUAAAAAAAAGUUUAAAAAACACAUAAAUCAAGUAAUGCAACAUCAAGAAUUUCUAUCUAAACAAAAUAUAAUAUGUAAUAAACUAAUUCUUUAACUCCAAUUAAAAUAAUAAAUUACUCUUUAAUACUGAAUUCCAAAGAUCCAAAUACAAGAAUAACUUAUUUAUCGUAUAAAGAGUAUUCACUACAGAAAAAUGGUCUUCACUAAUACUUAGCUCGUGAUGCUUAAUUAAAAAGUAUCAGUAUUUACAUACAUAUGGUCCAUUUUUCAUGUUUAACAUACAAGUAUAAAAAAUUACUGAUAUGAUAGUGUUAAUAAGUUAGACAUCAGAAAUUUCUGACACUAAGAUAUCAGUAAAAAAAUCAAAAUAAUUCUAAUCUUGUCCCAAUUAGAACUCGAUCCCAAGACCUCUCAAAAGUCAAGCUUCUAAAUUAAAAAGAGAAACAAUAAUAUAAUAAAAAAUGUAUAUAUAGAAAAUAAAAAAGCCCUAAGUCGGCAAAUCCCUAAUUCUAAUGUCAACUUCAUCUUCUAAACUCUCUCUCUCUCUCUCUCUGAGUCUCAGCAGCCACGUGUGCAGUCAACGAGCGCGUUGCCACUCCUUAGCUAGUCUUCCGCGAAACAUCCACACUAUGUGCCAUCAUCGAGAAUUUGUGUUUUGCCUCACGGUGCGUUCGUCGUGACAUAGUAGUUGUGACUCGUCAUGUCAACCAGUCUCACAUCCUCACGGCUGUCACUCAUCAGCCAGUGGUCGUCGUCACGGUUGUCGACUGCUGUUAUUUUCAAAUUUCAAUUUUGAUUCAUAAUAAAGGUAUAAUAUUAGAAAAUUUAUUUUAAUUUAUUUGAUUUUCGUAUCACUACUAGAAAAAUGGUCUUUACUGAUACUUAACUCGUGACACUUUAUUAAAAAGUAUCAGUAUUUACAUACAUAUGAACCAUUUUCCGUGUUUAACAUAUAAGUAUCACAAAUUACUGAUACCAUAGUGUUUGCAAGUCAGACAUCAGAUAUCCCUGACACUAAGCUAUUAGUUAAAAAAUCAAAAUAAUUGUAAUCUUGUUCCAAAUAGAACUCGAACCCAAGACCUAUAGAAGUCAAGCUUUUUAAGUUAAAAGGAAAAGAAAAAACCAUAAUAUAAUACACAAAAAAAUGUAUAUAUAAAAAAAACCCUAAUUUCGUAAAUCCCUAAAUCUAAUCUAGGUCAAUUUCAUCUUCUAAACUCUCUUUCUCUCUGAGUCUCAGCAGCCACGGUCUCUCUCUCAGCAGUCACGGUCACGGAAACAAUUACAUAGCCACGGUCUCUCUCUCUGGCACGUCGUCACUCACCCAGUUUUUUGUCAGCUAGUGCAUCGUGACCGUCAGCCUGUGUGCAGUCUGCCAGCGCAUCGCCACUCUUUAGGUAGUCUUCGGCGAAGCAUCCACACUGCGUGCCGUCAUCGUCGAUUUGUGCUUUCCUCACUAUGUGUUCAUCCUGUCAUGGCAGUUCUCACUCAUCAGCUUCAGCUAGUCUCGCAUCCUCACAGUCAUCACUCGUCAGCCGGGGGUCGUCGUUGUAGUCGUCACAGACACGGUCAUCUGCUGCUGUUAUUUUCAAAUUUCAAUUUUCGUUCAUAAUAAAGGUAUAAUAGUAGAAAAAUUAUUUUAAUUUAUUUGAUUUUUGUAUUAAUGUAUUUGAUUGAAAUCGAAUACUUGGUUAAAAAAAAAUUUGAAAUUUUUUCAGUUAUGUAUUUGAUAUCAUUCUUGUUUAAGAGCAUGCAUUUCAGUAGUUGAUUUCAUUUAGUCUGUGUUCUUUUUGGUUGCUUUAUUUGAUAGAGCAGAGCAAAAGGCUUUUGAAACCUCAGCUUCCUUUUUUUUUUAAUCUUUUAUGGCGAAAGUAGGGUAGGAAUAGUAUGAAAACAUGUUUUGCUUUCUUCUUGGAUGGCUAGCUUGGCUUGCCAUGGGAGAGUGGGAAGCUGAUUUAUAUCAUAUUAAUUACAUCACAUGGUUAUAUAAUAAAAGUUAUAUUUUUUUAGGAAUGUGUAUUUGUGUCAUAUUUUGAGCAAAACAUUUACUUGUUCAAAUAGGGACUCGUAGUAUACCGGCCUUGAUGGGAGCUGUGGAUAUUUCAUGGUCAAUGGGGAUGAUUGGCUAUUCAAGUAUUGAAUAUUGCUUUAGUGGUAGUUAGAUCUUUCUAUUCUGUCUUUUAUUUUAUUUAAUAGUGUUUAUAUAAUGAAUAAUAAACAGUUCUUUGACUAAAAAGUUGUUGGUAGCAUCAUGGACCCAAUUUGUGAGUAUAUCAUUUCUCCUAACUUGCAAAUAUUUGUUCAUUAGCAGUAUUUAUUUGGGAAUAUUUUGUACCUAUAACGAUAUGUAAUGUUCUGGAUUCUAUUUACCUUUUAAGGACCUUAGAAUGAUUAUGUAUGUCAAAUUCUCUGUUAGAUUUGUUCCUUGAUUUACUAGUGUUAGAUUUAUUUUGCAUUCUAGUUAUUCUCACAUGGCUUUGACUUUCCUUUAUUAUUGUACUUUCUUUCCCUUUUCUUUUGGAAUAAACUUCUUCGAUUAAUGGGGGCCCUAAAAAAGUUUAUACUAAAACCUUUAUUUUGCCAAGUUAUAAUUUGCUAGGACAUAUGGAGUGAAAUAUAUCUCGGAAGAAAUUGUAAAGUGGAUAGUUUGAGAUGCAUGCUCAGAUGUGGGGAGAGUUCUCUUGUCAAUGAUGAAUUAUACUAUGUAUUAGAUGUACUAUUGUAGCAUGUCCUUUUAGGUCAUAUAUUAGCAAGCCUCUUGUAUCAUAAUAGCAGGGCGUUACCACGUUAGUCAAAUUACAUGCUUGGUUUAACAGGUACUUUAAUGCAUUAAAAAAAUAUAUUUGUCAUUCAAGUUUAUCCAUGAAGCUUAGGAGUAUUCAUGCACAUUUAUGAAGUUUACGUAUUUAGUAUCUAUACUUUUUUUUCGGGUUAAAUUUGAAACAGGAUUUAAAAAUUUCUAUUCUAUAAAUGUGCAGCAAAAUUCUUUAGCAAACUACGGAUGAAGUCAAAAUAAAUCCUUUCUAGCUAGCAUGUGUUGACUUUUAUAAAACUUGCAUUUUGUCUUAUCUCCCAUGGGGAGGAGCUGAACUCAUUCAGGUAAUGCUUUAUUUAAUCAUUGCUUGAUGGUUUAUUUAAAUAUAACAUAUAUGUUUUAUUGUCUUAUAUUCUGUAUCUGUAUUUUGGAUUUGGAAUUUCUAUUAAUGGACUUCACCUCUCUACCAUAAAAUGAGAAUAUAUUAAUACUCUUAUGGCUAUUUUGAGAGACAAACAUAAAGAAUCAUCACCUUGGCAAAAAUAAGCUCCAUCCUUUUUAAAUAAUCGGCAGUGCAUCGUGUCUAAGUGAAUGAUUGAGAGAUCUCUAUAUAUAAUUGAUCUAGUGAUCUUUCUUCAAUCUUUCCUUUUGGUUUCUUUAUCUCAAUGACCUUAAGCCUUUUUGUAUUGCUUUACCUCUAUAACUGAAUAUGUUUAGUUUUCUAUUUGCUGAAGUGAAGUUUCUAGGAGGUUGAUGUUGUAUUUUGACUCAUGAUUGUUAUCAUUGUGUCUUGAAGAUUUGAUAGGAAAUUGAAAAGUAUUGCAAGAGUUUGGUACUAUACCUUUUUCAUUUUUUGGCUUAGGGAUACUUAUUUAAUUCAUUAGUGAUAGCCUAAGAAUACUUAAGAUAAAAAGGAUUAAUAUCAAUUCUAAGCUUUUUUAGGAUCUUUGGUAACUACUGUCAAGUGGUACUGUUUAUUAGUAUGUUACUACUUUUUAUAAUUUCUAGAAAAUGUCAAGUGUUUGGUUACAAAUUAUUGUUUAGUUUUGAGGUUAGUAAUAUAUACUUGUUAGUAAUUGGAGUUGAUGUUGAAUGUUAUGAAUACACUAUUAAUGAUCUUUCGUAUGUGUAGGCCGCAUUUGUUGUCAAGUUAUUUGUAGCAUUCAAUAAUCAUGUAAUGUACGAGUAUAUUUUUGCUUGUAAAUGUCCGACACUUAAUUUGUGUAGCAAACUAAUUAAUUCUAUAUGUUACACUUAUAGGUGGGAAAACAAUGAAGUUCAAGGUGUAGAGGCAAUAAGGAGAAUUUUGUUGCAAACUAAAUACUUGUAUUUUUUUUUCAAUCUGAAUAUCUACUUGUGGGCAUUUCAAACUAUAUUUGAGAUACUCUAAAUUUGUAUGUUUCUUUUAGUACUUGUUUUAAUUUGUAUUUGGUAUAAUUGUGACAUAUUAAUAAUAUUUCAAUAUGAAAUGAAAGAUUUUGUAAUAUAAAUUAAGUUUUUUAAAUUUUAUGGCGCCUUUUAAUUUUACCAAUAAAUCAAUAGCAAUGAUCCAAUUCAAAUUUUUAUUUUUUAAAUAAAUUAAACAAUGAUAUCAUGGUAACAAUAAUUAUAGACACUAAUAUAAUAUCAACAACUACUAAUACUAUGGUGUCAUAAUAUUAGUGAUACUGUAGUAAUAGUAAUUUCUGACACCACUUACAAGUGUCACUAUUUUUCUAACUCCCAGAUUACUGACACAAUUAACGAGUGUCACUGAAAGUAAUUACUGACACUAUUCUAAUGUCAAUAACGACCAUUUUUCUAGUAGUGUAUUAAUGUAUUGGAUUGAAAUCGGCUACUUGGUUAAAAAAAUUUUGAAAAUUUUUUCAUUUGUGUAUUUGAUAUCAUUCUUGUUUAAGAAGCACGCAUUUUAGUAGUUGAUUUCAUUUAGUCCCGUGUUCUUUUUGGCUGCUUUAUAUGGCAGAGAAGAGCAGAAGGCUUUUGAAACCUUAAUAUUUUUUUUAAUGUGGGAAAAUAGGGUAAGAAUAGUAUUAACACAUGUUUUGCUUUCUUCUUGGAUGGCUGGGCUUGGCUUGCCGUGGGAGAAUGGGAGGUUGGCUUAUAUCAUAUUAAUUACAUUUUUAUAUAAUAAAAGUUUUGUCUUUUUAGGAAUGUGUAUUUGUGUCAUUUUUUGGGCAGAACAUUUACUAGUUUCAAAUCGGGACUUGUAAUAUAUUGGCCUUGAUGGAAAUGGGGAUAUUUCAUGGCCAAUGGAGAUGGUUGGCUAUUUAAGUAUUGAAUGUUGCUUUAAUGGUUGUUGGAUCUUUCUAUUCUGUCUUUUUUUGUUUUGUUUUAUUUACUAGUGUUUAUAUAAUGAAUAAUCAACUGUUCUUUGACUAGAAAGUUGUUGGUAGCAUCAUGGGCCCAAUUUGUGAGUAUAUCAUUUCUUCUAACUUGGAAAUAUUUGUGCAUUAGCAGUAUUUAUUUGGGAAUAUUUUUGUGCCUAUAACAAUCUGUAAUGUUUCUGGAUUCUAUUUACCUUUUACGGGCUUUGGAAUGAUUAUGUUUGUCAAUUUCUCUGUUAGAUUUGUUCCUUGAUUUACCAGUGUUAGAUUUGUUCCUUGAUUCUAGUUGUACUCAUGUAGCUUGCACUUUCCUUUACUAUUGUACUCUCUUUUUCUUUUCUUUUUGAAUAAAUUUCUUCGAUUAAUCGGGGCCCUAAAAACGUUUAUACUAAAAACUUUAUUCUGCCAAGUUAUAAUUUGCUACGACAUAUGGAGUGAAAUAUUUCUUGGAAAAAGUUAAAGUGGAUAGUUUGAGAUGUAUGCUCAGAUGUUAGGAGAGUAUUCUUGUUGAUGAUGUAUUAUACUAUACAUUAGAUUUACUAUUGUAACAUGUCCUUUUAGGUCAUAGAUUAAUAAUGGAGGUUUGUAAGCAAGCCUCUUGUAUGAUGCUAACAGGGCAUUACCACCUAGGUUAGAUUACAUUCUUGGUUGGAGUUUAUGUAUGUAGUCUUUAUACUCUUUUUUUUGGGUUAAAUUUCAGACAUAAUUUAAAAUUUUAAUCUUAAUAAUUUUUCUAUUCUAUAAAUGCGUAGCAAAAUUUUUCAGCAAACUAUGGAAGAAGUCAAAAGAAAUCCUUCCUAGCUAGCACCUGUUGACUUUUAUAGAACUGGCAUUUUGUCUUGUCUUCCAUGGGGAGGAGCUGAACUAUUGGAGGUAAUGCUUAAUUUAAUUAUUGCCUGAUGGUUUAUUAAAAAUAUAGCAUAUUUAUUUUAUUGUCUUAUAUUCUUUAUCUGUAUUUUGGAUUUGGAAUUUCUAUUAAUGGACUUCACCUCCCUACCUAUAAAAUGAGAAUAUAAUUAUACUUUUGUAGCUAUCACUACAAGAAUUAAGGCCUUUAGCAACAACUUUUUUAGCAACAAAAUUGUCUUUGUUGCCUUAAAUGUGUUAUGGCAACAUAAAAAAUACUUUGUUGCCAAAUACUUAAGAAAUAAAUUAAUAGUUAAUUAACAUUUUUAGCGACAAAUAUUUCAUCGCUAAAGACAUACAUUAGCAACGAAUUAGCUUUUUGUUGCUGAAAGUUUUAGUGCGAAACUAAAUAUUACUGACUAACACAUAACUGCUAAUACCAGUAGAUGGAGUAGGGUUGCAGAAGUGAACCGAUAGGGUAGAUAAAUACUAGAUAUCAUUUUAGAACCGAUCAAGCUAAUGUGAUUAGGUUACGCUCUAAUCGAAGCAUGAUUAGAUGUGGUUCUAAUCCAAACAACUCAAUGAGAUUUUGAUAAUGCAUUAAGUUCGAUUAGAUGAAGCACCAGUCCAAAUGACUCUACAAAGUAGAUUUUGAUUAAUAAUACCAAAAGGAAUGUUAAAAAGGGGGUUUUAUUAAUAAAAAAUUAUGAAUAAUAAUAAGAUCUCCCUAUUUAUAAGAGGGUAAACAUACUCCCCAAGUUACCUUAGAAGGAAAUUAAAUCACAAUUAUACUAAAAAUAAAAGAGUCAAGUGCAUACAUAAUUUAUUCCAAUUAACAAAUAAAAUAUUGAAAGACCUAAAAUAACAAAAUUCUAAAACUUAAAAUAACAUACUACGUUAAAUCACUACUAAAAGAAUGGUCUUUGUUGACAUUAAAAUAUUGUCAGUAAUUACUUUUAGUGACACUUGUUAAUUGUGUCAGUAAUCUGACAGUCAGAAAAUUAGUAACACUUGUUUGUGGUGUCAGUGAUUACUCUUACUACAGUAUCAUUAAUAUUAUGACACCAUAGUAUUGGUAAUUGUUGAUAUUAUAUUAGUGUCUACGAUUACUGUUACAUUAGGAACACUGUUUAAUUUAUUUAAAAACAAAAAUUUGAAUUGGCUCUUUGCCUAUUGAUUUAUUGGUAAAAUAAAAAGGCACCAUAAGAUAACAAAAAAACUCGAUGUACUCGAUUUAUAUUACAAAAUCUUUCAUUUCAAGUUUAGAUAUUAUUAAUAUAUAUUACAAUUGUACCAAAUACAAAUUAUCUAGUUUGCAACAAAAUUCACAAUAUCUCAAAUAUAGUUUGAAAUGCACACAAGUAGAUAUUUAGAUUGAAAAAAAAACACAAGUAUCUAGUUUGCAACAAAAUUCUCCUCAUUGCCUAUACACCUUGAACUUCAUUGUUUUCCCACCUAUAACUGUAACAUAUAGAUUUAAUUAGCAUGCUGCACAAAUUAAGUCUUGGAUAUUUAUAAGCAAAAAUAUACUCAUACAUUACAUGAUUAUUGUAUGCUACAAAUAACUCGGCAACAUAUGCGGCCCACACAUAAAAAAGUUACGAAAGAUCAUCAAUAGGGUACUCAUCACAUCCAACAUUAAAUCCAACUACUAACAAGUUAGUAUAUAUUACAAACUUCAAAGCUAAAACAAUAAUCUAUAACCAAUUACUUGACAUUUUCUAUAAUUUACAAAAACAAUAACAUGGUAAUAAACAGUAUCAGCACACUUAACAAUAAUUACCAAAGAUCCUAAAAAGCUUAGAAUUGAUAUUAAUCCUUUUUAUCUUAAGUAUUCUUAGACUAUCACUAAUGAAUUAAAUAAGUAUCCAUAAGCCAAAAAAGGGAAAAGGUAUGGUACCAUACUCUUGCAACAUUUUGUAAUUUCCUAUCAAAUCUUCAAGACAUAAUUAUAACAAUCUAGAGCCAAAAUACAACAUCACCUUUCUAGAAACUUCACUUCAGCAUAAAGAAAACUAAACAUAUUCAGUUAUUGAGGUAAAGCAAUAAAAAAAGGCUUAAGGUCAUUGAGAUAAAGAAACCAAAAGGAAAGAUUGAAGAAAGAUAACUAGAUCAAUAUAUAGAGAUCUCUCAAUCAUUCAUUUAGGCAUGAUGCAGUGUCAAUUAUUUAUAAAGGGUGGAGCUUAUUUUUGCCAAGGUGAUGAUUCUCUAUGUUUGUCUCUCAAAAUACACUACAACAAUAAUGACCUUUUGAAACAACAAGGGUUUGUUGCUCAAAGUAAGGAUUUUGUUGCCUUAGAUUGUUGCAAUAAAAAUACGUUUGUCAUUAAGGUCGUCGGCCUAGCACUGUCGCGCUCUAUAUUCAACAACAAAACAAAAGUUUUCUUUCCUUAAACAUCUUUUUCCAACAAAAUAAAUUCGUAGUAAAAGAGUGUCCAGCUAGUUUACGAAAUUUUUUUUCAACAAACUCUUUUGUUGCCCUUGCAUUAAAUGUUUUUUACAACAAUAUUAUUUUUUUGCUAAGAAAUAGAAUAAAUAAUUUUACUACAAAACAAUUGUGUAGAAAUAAACAUUUUUCAACAAAAUUAUUAUAUCAAAAAAUUUUAAAUUAAAUAAAAUGAUAAUUAAUACCAUUAUAAGAAAAAAGAAAUUAGUUAAUUCAAAAGAAUUAUUAUUAUUGAUGACAAUUGCAUUAUAAUUAUUACAAGAUGCAAUAUCUAUUUUCUUAAAUUACAAAUGAAUAUAACUUUAUUGAUUUCUUCAUCUCAUGGUGUGAUUGAACUUUAAUAUUUCCCACAAAAAAAACACAAACAAUAAUUAGUUAACUUGUAAAAUGUAAUAAUCAUGUAAUAUUGUAAUGAAAAAAAGAUAAAUAAAAAAUACACCAUAUUGAAGAAAAAUAGAAGAGAUAAGAAGAUAGAGAUUGAGUUAGAGAAUGAAAGAAUGAGAAUUAUACAUUAGAGACGAGGGAAUGAAAGUUAAAGAAACUUAUAGAUGAGAGAAUUUAGAAUAAAAAUUAGAGAAUGAAAGAAGGAAAGAAUAAAAGAGUGAAAUAAAUAAAGUGUAUGAGAUACAAAUAGAGAGAUGGAGUUUUUAGCGACAAAACUUAUUUUUGGCGGAAAACCACACACCUUUUAAAUUUUGGCGGAAAUAAAAUGAUUUAAAUCUUUAAUCUUUGACUUUUAGUGAAAAAAUUAGAAUUUGUUGCUAUAAAUACACAUUUAGCAACAAAACUCAAAGUUUGUCACAAAAAGUCAAGUUAAAUCUUUAAAUUUAGAAUUUUAACUACAUAGAUUUGGCAACAAAUUAUUUUUUGUCGCCAUUGGUCACUCUCUCGUGACAAAACUAUUUGCCGACGAAGAUUCUGUCACUAACGAUUCUGUCACUAAAUCUUUAAAUUAGAAGUGAUUGAUGUAACCAUUAUUUUAGGAUUUUUAAAAAUUUUUCAUUUUAGGUCUUUUGAUAUUUUUUAUUUUAAUUAGAGUCAGUUAUGAUCAUUUUAUUUCCAGUAUAAUUGUGAUUUAGGUGGUGCUUGUUAUUUUGUCUGAAAUCUAAAUAGACCUGAAUCAGUCUAAAUUCUGAAUAGAGCUGAAUGUCUGAAUAUGAAUGAUAUGUUUUUUUUUUUUUCUGAAUAGCUAAAAAUAAAUAUUAAGUUGUUUGCUUUUUUAACUUAAAAAAUCUGAAAACUAAUAUUUUUACAUUUAUGCCCUUACAAAUUAAAUGUUAAACAAAUAAUAAACAUCUCAAAGAAUAUAAAUAAGGUAAUAAAUUAUCAUAACAUAAAUCAUAUUCAAUUGAGUACAACUCUUUAAUAUUUUAUAAUAUAUAUACUCUAGCACUAUUUAUUAUCACAAGUUAUAUACAGAUGGGUAAUAAUGCUAUUUAUUAAAUUUUAUCUAGCAUGAAAAUUAAUUAAUUAGAUAGGGAUAUUUUAGAAAGUAUCUUUUAAUGAUAGCAUUCAAACUUUUUAGAUCAAGUAAAAAGCUAAAACAAUUAGCUUAAUAACUUAAUAAUUUAAUAACUUAACUACUGAAAAUCUUUAUUAAGUUGAAAAAAACAAACAUACUUAAUGACUUAACUGAUUAAAAUUAAGUCAGUUAAGUCAUUAAGUCAAAAAAACAACCCUUAGUUUCCCUUUUAAGGUAAUUUGAUCAAGUAAAUAGUUUUAUCCUAUUAUAAAAAAAGAGAUCUUGUUAUUGUUUCCAUAACCUUUGAUUAAUAAAAAGCACUCUUUUAACAUGUUAUCGAAAUCACAUUGAUCUUUGUUUUCUCUUGUUUUGUUUCUCUAUUCUUUUUCUCUAAUGACGACCUCUUCUUUCUUUUUGUUUGUGCUCCUUUUCUAUCUUAGAAUUAGGGCAACAAAAAAUCUAGGGUGAGGAUCUUCCAAUUUAGGAAACUCCAAAUCACAAACUUCAAAGUAUCUUGCGUAAAACCUUCUUUGUCCAUGCUCCAAGAUUGCUAUAGCAACGGUGCUACAACAAUAACUUCAGCAUUUGCACUGUUCCAGACUUGUUUUAAUUCUUCUCUAAUCAAGUUCUUUCCUUAUCUUUACUAACCUAUUGCAGCCACAUUCCUUCCUUGAAAUUUGAGCUUUCGGUCACCUACAAUUAUGCAUAUGAUCUCAGUACACAAUUUAUUCUAAAUCAAACAAAACCUAUUAAAAGUAAAUUAAAAAUGAAUGUUUAUGCAAAGCCUUACAAAAAAUGCAUAAAAAACAUGUCAUUUACUCUCUAAGUAAUCAUGAUUUAAGUCUAAAAGUGUCAUGAUAACUCUCAUUUCAUAAAGUUAUCACACCCCCAAACUUAAACCAUUACUUGUCCUCAAGUAUUGACAAUAACACACACACUUCAAUCACAUAAUCAUACCACAAAUAACUUAACUCUGCUAUCAAAUUUGCAUGGAAUCUUCAACCCUCAGAUCACACUCUUAAUUAUGCAAAAUUGCUAUAGCAGUUUAAUUUUAGACUUAGGCCUCAUUUUGUCCAAAUUGUGUGUGUACACUUUGAUCAAGUGCAGACGUAUUGCAGCAUUGCAUGGACAUUACAUAUAAUUCAGAGAUAAAACAAAAGUAUAUUCGCAUAUGGGGGAGAAGUAGUCAUAAAUAGUCUCAAAAUAUGCUAUAGCAAUUUUUUUUUUUGUCACUUCAAAUUCUCUUCAAUGUAUCAUUGAGUUUUUAUAUGAAUGUCUAUCACUUGUAAUGAUGACAUCCAAUUACACAGCCAAUGUACAGAUCAGAGUUGUUGUAGCAUUAAUCUUAUCUAAAGAUAUCUUUUAACUCAAGGUUGAUCAUGGGGCUCAUGAACAGACCUGGCUAUUCAAUAUCUUAGACAGACGGCUUCCUUUUUUUUAUAUUCUAAAAACUAAAGAUCAGGUUGUGGAGAAGUUUAAAGCUUGGAAAACACUGGUAGAAAACCAAACUGGUAGGAAGCAAAAGACCUUAAGAACAGAUAAUGGCCUAGAGUUUUGCAACUGGGAGUUUGAGACUUUUUGUCAAAAGCAUGGCAUUUUGAGACAUAAAACAGUCAGAUUCACCCCUCAGCAAAAUGACUUAGCUGAGAGUUAUAGUAGACAAAACAAGAUGCAUGCUUAUCAACUCAAAGCUUCCAAAAUGUUUCUGGGCAGAAGCAGUCAGUACAACUUGUUAUUUGGUUAAUAGAAGCCCAUCAGCAGUUGUUGGGUAUAAAUUCAAAUGUUAUUGGUGUCAAUGUGCAAGUGUACACAACAAGUAAUAUAAUGAUGAGUAUUCAAGAUCGUCUACACAGGGAUUGAUGUUAUUAGAUUGAUGUUAUCAGACUUGCUACUGGAAUCUUAACAGUGUAGACUUUGUUUUAAAUUAAAAUAAAACAAUUAAUGAAACAAAUAUACUAAUUACAAUAAAAAUUCAAUAAAUAAAAUGCAACAAAGUAAAUUAUCACGUCUAACUCAAGGAUAAAACCAAUGGGAAUAUAAAGUAGUUGAGUGAUUAAACUCUUUUAAUGAUUUUGAUUAUGUUUCUAAUGUUUGGCUCGGUUGCUACAACAUCUGUUACAAUACUGGGCAGAAUCUUUAUGUAUCCUCAACUAUUGCAUAUUGGAUAUCUUAUAUCUAUAUGCAACCUAACAGUGAUCAGUUGUUAUGCCAACAUAAGAUAUAGCAUUACACGCCUAGGUUCUAUUUGCCUACAAGGUGAAUCCCUAUAUCUAGUUCAUCACUAAUUUUAGAUUAAGUAUGGCCCUUUUGGGAUCAAGUAAAAUUUAAUCCAGGAAACCCAAUCUAAAACUAAGUAUUGCUCUGAUAUGUUCUACUAAGAUAGGUCAUUUUGUGGCUCUUUCCUAACUUGUAUCAUUAAAUGGGUGAUCAAACGAAAUAAUGAGUAAAAAAUAAAUAUUAUAAAAAUAAAAUGCUACAGCAAACAUGCAGCAACACAUAUUUUCAGUCAAUAAACCAUCAAGAUUGUUUAUCACUCAACUAUAAAUAAAUUUAGUACAUGAUUUGCAAAAGAAAAAUAAAGAGCAAGGUUCGGCCAUGAAACGCAUCCCCAUGAAUAAAUAGAAAAUAAGAAAACAAGAGAAGAAUAAGAAGGACUGAGCUUCCAAUUAAUUUCUGCAAAUUUUCCUCUUGUGCAGCCCUUAAUCUCUCUCUUAAAUUCUGUUUUUCUUGUGUUUCUUUGUGGUUUUUCUCUUUGGGUGACGGCCCUCCCUUUUUCUUAUGAUGUGUACUCCUUUUAUAGUUGAAUAUUAGGGUAAACAGAAGCCUAGGUCGCGUGCCUUCUAGAUUAGGAAACUGCAGAUCUCAAUAUUCUAUAAAAUUUGCUCUGUCAUUGUUCCAAGAUUGCUACAACAAUGGCAAUGGUUGCACAACAACGACUACAGUAGCGGCAAUGUUCUAGAUUUUUUUCAAUUCUUCUAUAGCUAAGUUCUUUUCUAUCUUUUGUAAGCCUAUUGUAUUAGCAUUCCUUUCUUGAAAUUUGAGCUUUCGGUCCCCUACAAUUAUACAUAUGAUUUAAGAUUCUAAAUCAAAUAAAAUUUAUGAAGAAUAAACUAAAAUGAAUGAUUAUGCAAAAUAUACAAAAAUGCAAUGAAAACACAUCAUUUACUCUCUAAGUAGUAUUGAUUUAAGUUUAAAAGUGUUAUCAUAACUCUCAUUUUAUAGAGUUUUCAGCAGCUAUUGACUUUAAGACACCAAAAAAGGUAUGGUUUGGAAGACCGCCAAAGUAUGAAAAUCUUAGAACUUUUGGGUGCCCUGCCUAUAUACACAUCAAUCAAGGUAAGCUAAAUGCUAGAGCCUUAAAGGGAAUCUUUGUUGGAUACCCUGAUGGAGUCAAAGGGUACAGGGUCUGGUGUGGAGAAUAAAAGAAAUGCAUUAUCAGUAGAGAUGUAGUGUUCCAUGAGGCUGUAUUGUUGAAAGAAAGUGCAUUUGGUAAUACUGAUAUACUUGUUAAUAAUGAUGAUGUACAUCCCACCGAUACACCAACACUUAAGGUGGAGUUUUCUGGUCAUCAAAUAAAAGCAUCUAAUAAUGAAGACAAGAUGCAUACUGAAGUUCAAGACACUGAGUCACCAACCUUGCAUCAAUCUGAUCUACAAGUUUAUCAAUUGGCUAGAGAUAGGGUUAGAAGGCCAACCAGAGCUCCAGAUAGAUUUGGUUAUGCUGACUUAAUUGCUUUUGCAUUAGUAAGUGCUGAUGAGAUUGCAUUUGAGGAACCAAGAAGCUAUUAUGAAGCCAUUAAAGGUAAAGAUUGUGAUAAGUGGCUUGUAGACAUGCAAGAAGAGAUGGAUUCCCUGUAGAGAAAUAAAACAUAAACACUUGUGCCAGAUCCAGGAAACAGGAAGCUAAUCAGUUGUAAAUGCAUUUUAAAGAAGAAUGAGGGUAUUCCAGAUGUAAAGCCCUCUAGGUACAAAGCAAGACUUGUGGCUAGAGGGUAUAUAUAGAGAGAAGGCAUAGAUUUCAUUGAAAUUUUCUCUCUUGUUGUCAAACACAGGUCUAUAAGAAUCAAGUUAGCUAUGGUGGCUUUGCUGGAUAUGGAAUUGGAGCAAAUGGAUGUUAAAACAGCCUUCCUUCAUGGAAAUCUUGAGGAACAGAUACUGAUGAUACAACUUGAAGGUUUUCAGUACAAAGGGAAAGUGGAUUAUGUUUGUUUGUUGCAUAAGCCAUUACAUGGACUCAAACAAUCUCGUAGACAGUAGUAUGAGAGAUUUGAUGAGUUCAUGAUGAAUAAUGGCUAUCACAAAAGCAAGUAUGAUAAUUGUGUUUAUUUUGGUGGUUCAGAUCAAGGUAGAGCUCUAUACUUGUUUUUUUUUGUGGAUGAUGUUUCGUGUUAGAAAGUAUAUAUUUAUAAAGGAGAAAAUUAUCAUUUUACAUUUCAAGUCUUACUAACAUCCUUACUUUUAUGUAUUUAAGCUUCUUGUGAUUUAAUUAUGUGUGUUUUAUUUUAAUUAAGUAUUUUAUGUAUUUUAGGGGCAUCAUGAUCAUUUCACAAUGAACGAGAGAUCAGUCAGCAAAACAUCAAUUUUGAACUUAGAAUAGUCGAAAACCUUAGGCGGAACAUAAAAGGAAAAAUGAAACUGUUCACAUGUACGAUACUAUUCACAUGUACGGUACAGUCCAUGUUACUAUUCACGACACUGUUCACAUAUACGAAAUGAUGACGUGGCAUUGACUGAUGAGGUGUCAUGAUUCUAUUGGACUAAAAUUCUUAUGUACUAUUGAUCGGUGACAUGGCAGCAUGUCAGUGGACCAAAAAUCGUGUGUAUGAUACAUGCAUAUACACGAGAUUAUUUACAACCAAACUGCGUCACUAUUCAAGCCGCCUAACUGUUCAAACCGUGUGGUCAAAUCUUGUCACUCUUCAAACCGCGUGGUCAAGCCGCGUACUGUUGACUGAUGACGUGGCGUAAUCCUGAGCGUUCAAAAUGUUUUUAAUUCGAUGGCAAUGAUUUACUCAGUGUAUCUAUAAAAAGGGGGCUCUCCCCCUUAAUUUGGAAUCUCUGAAUUCAUUUUUGAGUUCAAUUUUCUGUAAUUCCUUCUCCAUCUUGUAUUUUUUACGUACUUUAAUAAAUUCUCAUUUUGCCCCUAGUUCAAUUAUGAGUAGCUAAUUUUCUUUCAAGCUUGGGUUGAAAGUGAAGUUUUAACAUGUGCCAUGGGCUUUAUGUGGUAAAUUUAUUUUCUCUUCCCCUCAAAUUGUGGUAAAUUUAUUUCCUCUUCCCCUCAAAUUAAGGCGGAUGUUUUGACUUUUCGUCGACAAAUAGUAAUAAUCUUGUCUAGAUAUCGCCCUGGUAUAAGGUUAUUAUUAUUUGGCACGAUAAGCCCUUAGCACUAUAUUGAUUAGAGCGUAGUUCAUGAGGAGUGGAUACCCCCCUCAUGAUUUAAUAUGCACUAAUAAGAAAUAUUUAGCCCAUGGUGUGUGUUGAUGCAGAUCUAGAUACCCAAGCGCUUCGAUUAUAAUAUUUUCCACUUUAAUUUAAUUCUGCCAUUUCAAUUUAAAUUUUAGGAUAUUCCAAAUCAUUUUUACCUUAAAUCCAACCACCAACUUAGAAAAUCAAUUCUACAUAUAAUUAAAAUCCACCUCCUUGUGGGAUCGACACUCGUCACCAUUGAUCUGUUCUACAAUAGAUUCGUGCGCUUGUGAGUUCAAUAAAAUUUGCACAAUAAGUUUUUGGUACCGUUACCGGGGAGGUAAAUUAUUUUAAUUCAUGAAAUUAAUUUUUGUAAAUAAUUUCUUUUAAUUAUUUUCUUGUAAUUGUUUUCUUUAUUUAAAAAAAAAAGGAAAAAAUUGAAUCUACAUUUUGAGGUAAGAAAUUUAUUUUCUUUUUCUCUUCUUUAAAAUUCUAUAAUUUAAUUUUCAAGUUAUUUUUCUUUGUAAUUUUUUGUUUAUCGUAUUAAUUUAUUUUAAUUUUUAGUUAUUUUAUUUCACGUAUUUCUUAGUGUGUUUUUAUAGAAAAGUUGUAACAGCGCAAUAAGAUUAGUAUCGUAAUUUCUCAUUUUUUUAUUUUUAUUUAUUUUGUUCCCAUUUUUUUUUGUGUUCUUUGCAUGCAUGGUCGAAGAUCAUUAUUACCUAAUCUUGAGCCUAUAGACCUUGAACUCGAAAAAAAUUGCGCACACACAAACACAUUGCAAUUAAAAAUAAAAGUGAAAUGAAUUUGCAACAACAACAAGCACCACAGGAGAGGGCAUUUAAGGAUUACUUUAGUCCCUUAGCUAAUUUGAGCACAUCAUGUAUAAGAUACCCAAAUGUAGCUGCUAGGAGUUUUGAACUAAAACCUAGUGUGCUAAAUUGUCUCCUAAUUUCUAUGGCCUAGAAAAUGAGGACCCAUAUAAUUAUCUGAAUGAUUUUCAUACUGUUUGUCAAACUUUUAAAUAUGAGAAUUUUUUAGACAAUGAUGUUAAACUUAGACUAUUUCCAUUUUCAUUAAAGGAUAGAGCUCGUUCAUGGCUCAAUAUAUUACCUGCUAAUAGCAUUACAUCACGGGAACAAAUGGUAACAAAAUUUUUGAAUAAAUAUUUCUCAGUGCAUAAAAUCAAUGCUAUUCGUAAGGAAAUUUAAGAGUUUACCCAGAGAGAAGACGAGCAAUUUUUUGAAGCAUGGGAGCGAUUCAAUGGGCUACUCUUGAAGUGUCCACAUCAUGGGUACGACAAAUGGCAUCAAUGCCAAUACUUUUUGGAGGGAUUAUUGCCGCAUGUGUAAGAAUGGCUAAUGGCAACAAGUGGAGGAGAGCUAAUGUCAAAAAGUGCAUAAGAGAUUUGGGAAUUCUUCCAGCGACAAGCGGAUAAUUCCCAACAACGGAGUCGAUCACUCAGGAAUACUAAAAGAAUUAAGGGAGUAAAUGAGGUUCGCAUUGGCGAGUCAAGUUCAGGAAUUAAAGAGGUCAAAAAGAUGGUUGAAGGUCUUUUUAGACAAAUAGUAUCGUUAACGACUGCUAAAUCAACAGAACUACAUGACCAUGACUCAUACUCAGAUCAAGCCAAUGCCAUAGGUAUAAUAAGAAAGCCAUCUAAUUACAACCCAUACGCCAACACAUAUAACCUUGGAUGGAGAGACCGCCCAAAUUUUUAUGAUCUCAAGGAUUCUAACAAAAUAGACCAGCAUCUCUAGGUCCACCAAUGCAACCAAUUCCUCAAGUUCCUCAAGCCUCUUCGCCACUAUUUAGACCAUACAAUCAAAAUCAGAUCUACUUUCAACCCAGACCAUGGGAAGAUUCAUUCCAGAAUCUCAGUAACUAUACCAUUGAUGAACUACGAAAUGAGAUGAGAGCAGGCUUCAACUCACAAGCCCAAUCAGUUUCAAACCUCGAGAAGAUGGUGGGACAACUUGCUUCUUCAGUUCAAACUUUGGCAAUGACUGUUGAGAAAAGUAAAUUUCCAAGUCAACCAGUGCCUAAUCCUAAAGGAGUGAAUAAAGUAAGUACCAGUUCACCACAGCAGCAUGGAGAGGUCAAAGUUGUCAUGACUUUGUGAAAAGGGAAAGAAGUUGACAACAAAGUGGAGAUGCUGGUGACAAAAACAAUUCAAAUUAUACCUGUAAAUGCUGAAGACUCAUCACCGGAAGAGAAAGAAAAAACCAACCCAUGAGAAUACGUUCCUAAAACUCCAUUUCCUCAAAGGUUAGCUAAAGGAAAUAAGGGAAAAUCCACAUGUGAGAUUCUUGAAAUCUUCAAAUAGGUAAGUGUUAACAUCCCUUUGCUUGAUACUAUAAAAAAAGUUCCAUCUUAUACCAAGUUUCUUAAAGACCUUUGUACUACAAAGAGAAAUAUUCAUGUUCAAAAGAAUGCCUUUUUAACAAAAAACAUUAGUUCUAUACUCCAACACAAAAUUCCUCUAAAAUGCAAAGACCCAGGCUCCCCCACUAGUGUAAAUCAGUUAACCUACUCAGUAUUUGUGAAAUUUAGACUGGGAGAAUUACACCCAACUCUAGUGGUGUUACAACUUGCAGAUCGGUCCACGAAAAUACCUCGUGGUAUUGUGGAGGACGUGCUUAUUUAGGUAGACAAGUUUUAUUUUCCUGUUGAUUUCAUUGUAAUUGACACUCAACCAAUCCAGGAUUCAAGGAAGCACAUCCCCAUUAUCCUAGGCCGACCUUUUUUGGCAAUUGCCGAUGCUCACAUUCAAUACAGGACUGGAAAUAUGCAGUUGUCCUUUGGUAACAUGACUAUGGAGCUAAACAUCUUCAACAUUGCCAAACAACCUCACAAUGCAGAUGAUGGAAUUGUUGAUGUGGAUUUAAUAGAAGAAAUAGUUGAUAAUACUUUUCUUUCAAACUUUAGUGAUGAUCCUUUACAAAUAUGUUUAACUCAUUUUGAUUUUGAUUUUGAUAUUGACAGAUCAGUCGAUGAGGUCAACAAUCUACUUGACUCAGCACCAUCCAUGGACACUAAUAAAUGGAAGUCAAUAGUUGAACAACUACCACUAUCAGAGAAGAAACUCAGCCCAUCAUUAGAAUCACCACCGAAACUCGAGUUUAAACCAUUACCCAACACUUUGGAAUAUGCAUUUUUGGGAGAAUAAAGUACUCUACCAGUAAUCAUCUCAUCAUCCAUAAAUGACAAACAUAAAGGUAAGUUGUUGGAUGUUUUAAAAGAGCACAAAGGAGCAUUAGGAUGGACCAUAGUCGGUAUAAAAGGUAUCACUACAAGAAAACUGGCAAUAGAUGACAUACAAUUUAUGACGGAUUUGACUUCUAUUAUUAUAGUACGACCGAAUCAUGAUAGAUUUUAGUUUGUCAUGAAUUGAUGAUGGUUUUGUGAUAGAAUUAUUGUCUAUCAAGAAUUUAUGCUAGAAUUGUGAUUGAAAUUUUUUCUAUCAAAAAAUUAUGAUAGAAAUAUUAAUUUGGCUGUAUUUGACCAAAACAGUGUGUUAUAAUUUUAUUGAAAGAAAAUUAUAAUUUUAUUGUGAUUGAAAUUUUAUUGAAAGAAAACAGUGUGUUAUAAUUUUAUUGUGAUUGAAAUUUUAUUGAAAGAAAAAGAAAACAGUGUGUUAUAAUUUUAUUAAUAAUCUAAAUGAUGUAAAAAAAAUUAAAUGAAGGAAUUGAAAUGAUGAGUUUUAAGAAAAUACUACAAAAUAUUCUAAGUUAAAAACCUCACUCAACACAUUCAUCACUCCCUCUCUCAACCUAAGAAAUUGAAACCCUAGAAGAUCAAACCCUCCUCACUCACGAUCAAACAAAAUUCCUACAUUCACAAAACAUUAACCCAAGUAAAAGAGCCGACCUUCGAAUCCCACCCAUAGGCCACAAGUCGACAUCCUGCUAAAGGUUCUCUUCGAUUCGCGAGCAUUUGAUCGAAAAUUACGAAAGAGCCGGUGUUGAUUUUUAGCUUCAAUUCCAACGAAAGGCGAAGGGGCUGGAAGAGGGAGGUAACCAGAUAGAUACAGCUAAUGACGAGUAAUGUGUUGUUGGUGAUGGCUGGUGAAUCGCGCUGGAAGAUAGUGAACAAUGGUGGAGGUUUUGCUGCUGUUUGGUAGUCGUGUUUGGUGAUUCUUGCAACAAAUCGGUGGUAUUUACGGUUGGGAUUUGAUGGGCGGGUCUUUAUGGUUCUGAUGGUGGUGGAGAUGGACAUAAAAGAUUAAAACCAGUAGCGGCAAUGGCUAUUGUGUGGUGGCUGGAAUAGGAGCUAAAGUUUUGAGCCUAGGUAACAUUUCUUCACUUUUUUAUUUCCUUUUUAUUAUGUUUUAGUUUUGAAUCAAUAAUUUUGAUUUCAUUAGUGUAGCUAUAAAUUCAUCUAUGUUUACAAUUUUGUGUUUCAUUCUGAAAAAGAAAAUAAAAGGAUAAAAAAUUUAAUUUUUGUAAUAAAAUUAUACUAUUAUCUUUGUUUGUGAAUAUGGCACCUUUGAUUUUCUCCCAGAAUAUGAUAAUUUUCUCCUUCUUUGCUCCUCCUUACUUCCCACUUGGCCUCUUAGCAUCCUUGUCUCUGUUGGGUUGUUAAAAACAUCCAUCUUGUUCCUUUAUUUAAUCUUAUACUAAUUCCAAAAAAAAGAAAAAAGGAUGCUUGAAUUGGGGAGGGUUUGUUCAUUGGAGGAGUCAUGGCAGUUUGCUGUGAUCUUGAAGUUGAUGUCAAUGGUCAAUGGUCAAGAGACUUUCAAUGGUCAAGGGACUUUGAUGGUGAUGAACCAAAUGAAGAAGAAAUCGUUCAUGCCCAGCCCAAAACUAAACAACGCAAGAAACGCUUUGGUCAGCGCAAACAAGUGCUGCACUCAAAAGUGUUGGAAGCAAAAUGGACAGCAGCAAUGUUCAAGAACGAUUGAAUGCAGUCUUUUGCCACCUUUUGCAGCAGCCAUGUGAAGCUAAACCCGUUCUUUAUAAGGUAGCCUUAUCUAAAGUGUUGGAAGCAAACCGGUUCUAUUCUUUUUUUUAAAAUUCUAAUACAUCUUUGUUGUAUAAAAGGUUUUGUUAACAAGCAGGCAGUUGCAAAAACAAGAAGCAGCAGAGCUAGUGAUCAUAGGAGGCAUGGUUUUGGACAUUCAUGCCACUCCAUCGAUCCCUGUGAACCCAAGAACCACUACACCAGGCAAGGUACAAUUAUACCCAUUUUUUUGUUUUCUAAAAAAGAUUUUAGUCCCAACGUUUUUUUUUAAAAAAAAGAUUUUUGAUGAGUGUUUGCAAUUUCUUGUCAAAAUUGUGUUAGUUCUUGAAAUGUAGCUUUAAAAAAUGUGUUCAUCAUUAGGUAUAUUGGGAAAAUAUCAGAAUUAGUGGUAUGUUCUGGAUUUUGCUUUCUCAUAUUUACUUACAUUAGGGGGUGUUUCUUUAUGCAGGUGAAUUAUGUGUUAGGGUGUGUAGCAAGGAAUGUUACGGAGUGCAUGUCAAAGCUUGGAGCUAAGCCUUACAUGAUUAGUGCUCUUGGACUUGACAUGGCUGGUGAUUUUGCUUUUUACUUUGUGGUAUCAUGAGAGCUUUUUAACAAUUUUCCUUGCAUGAUCCCUUCUAUUUUUCAUUUUGGUUUGCCACUAGAGGUUUCGUAUGAAAUCACCAACAAUUCAUAAUUUACUUUUGCAUUAGAAUAUUGAAUGGACAGUCUGGAAAGUUAUGUCUAUGCAUUGGAAAUUGGGGUACUUUUAUCUCAGUUUGUUGGAUUUGAAUAUCUUUUCUGUGGCGAUCGUAUAUCUCUUAACAAUUAUUUAUCAUAGCCAAACUAAUAUUUGUUCUAUGCAAUGGUCGUUACGGCUUUUCUGCGACUAACAGAGUAUUUGGAUUGAUUCUGCAUAGAUUGGGUUACUGGGUAUAGGUUGGAGUGUUGCUGUGUAUAUGGCUGGAAUUAAAGUGCGACUGGAAGAAGCUAGGUUACUGCAUAUGAGUUGGACUAAUAGUUGGAGUGUUGCAGGGUAUGUGGCUGGAAUUAGAGUGCUCUUGGAAGAUUGGAUUGCUGCUGGAAGUUUUACUGCAAGUCUUGUUGUUGGAAUACUUGAAUUAAUCUUUGGAAGUUUUGUUAAGUAACUUGGCUUGGUGGCUGGAAUUUUAAUUGCUUUUCUUGGAGGAUGAUUAGAAUUUAACCGUUUUUUUUAUACUUUGGGAUGGUUUUUUUAAUUUGGGAUAUUUUAUUAUUUAUUAAUGGUGAUCUCAUUGAAUAUUAGAUGUAUUUAUUUUGAAAUUAGUUUGUUGGAUUGAAUGGAUGUUAAUUAAUAUUAAAUUUUAUUGGUUUUUUUUAUGAAAUUAAAUAGGAAUUCAUCAACAAAUUUUAAUUGUAAUAUAUUUUUUAAAAAAAAUCAAAACUUUAUGACGGGAAAUAGCCAUCAUACAUUCUGUCAUAAAUAAUUUACUGCCAAAAUUGAAUAAUAAGUUUACAAAUGAUUAUUCAAUUUUCCGCCAAAAAUUUAAAAAAAAUGUGCAUAAAUAAAUUUAAAUUUUAUUUAAUUAUUUUUUAUAUUAAAAUAUUGUGUGACAGAUAUAUGACUGUGAAAAGCCAUCAUGAAUCAAUGACGAAAAAUAUUAUGUCAUAAAUUAAUGACAGUGACAUAGAUGACAUAUAAAUUGCCUGUCAUGCACCCCCUUUUAUGACAGUUAUUUUCCAUCAUCUAUUGCCUGUUUUCUUGUAGUGUAUAAACCCAGUAUACUGCAUGCAUUACAUUCACCUUGAUGAAAAUGCUAAACCUAUUAGGGAAAUGCAACAUCGGUUAAAUCCUAACAUGAAAGAAGUUGUUAGAACUGAAGUUCUUAAGCUAUUAGAUGCAGGUAUCAUUUACUCCAUUUCUGAUAGUUCAUGGGUCAGUCCUGUACAAGUUGUCCCAAAAAAGUCAGGAGUCACAGUAGUUACCAAUGCUGAUAAUGAAUUGAUACCCACUAGAGUGACUAUAAGAUGGCGUGUAUGCAUUAAUUAUAGAAAGUUGAAUUAUGUCACACGUAAAGACCAUUUUCCUUUACCAUUUUUCGAUCAAAUGCUUGAUAGAUUGGCAGGUCAUGAAUUUUAUUGCUUUCUAGAUGGCUACUCAGGAUAUAAUCAGAUUCCCAUAGCAUAAAAAGAUCAAGAGAAAACCACUUUCACUUGCCUUUUUGGCACUUUUGCAUAUAAGAGGAUGUCAUUUGGAUUAUGUAAUGCACCUGCUACAUUUCAACGAUGCAUGUUAAGCAUUUUUUCUAAUAUGGUUGAACGAUUCCUUAAAUUCUUUAUGGAUGACUUAUUUGAUCAAUGUAUAGAGAAGAAUUUGGUCUUAAAUUAGGAGAAGUGUCAUUUUAUGAUAAAAUAAGGUAUUGUUCUCGGUCACAUCAUUUCGAGUGAAGGUAUUGAGGUUGACAAAGCCAAGGUGGAUCUCAUUUCCAAUCUUCCUCCACCUAAAACAGUCAGAAAAGUAAGAUAUUUCCUUGGGCAUGCUGGUUUUUAUAGACGUUUCAUUAAAGAUUUUAGCAAAGUUUCUAGACCCUUAUGCAAUCUACUUGCAAAGGAUGUACCUUUUAUCUUUGAUGAUUCAUGUCUUGUGGCAUUUGAAAAAUUAAACCAGUUGUUGACAUCAUCACCCAUCAUUCAGUCCCCAAACUAGAACUUACCAUUUAAGCUCAUGUGUGAUGCAUCUGAUUAUGCAGUAGGAGCAGUAUUACGACAAAAAGUUGAUCGAAUUCCCCAUGUUAUUUACUAUGCUAGUAUGACAUUGAAUGAUGCUCAGUUGAACUAUUCAACCACUGAAGAAGAAAUGCUAGCAGUAGUGUUUGCAUUAGAAAAUUUUUGAUCUUAUCUCAUUAGUUGUAAAAUAAUUGUAUUCAUAGAUCAUGCUGCUCUUAAAUAUCUUCUCACAAAGAAAGAUGCAAAAGCUAGAUUAAUUUGUUGGGUGUUACUUUUCCAGGAAUUUGACUUGGAAUUUAAAGAUAAGAAAGGCAUAGAAAAUGUUGUGGCUGACCAUCUCUCUCGUCUCAAUUUUGACACAAUUACAGAACGAUUAACAUUGAAUGAGUCAUUUUCAGAUGAACAAUUAAUGAGUGUUGAAGUAUUACCGUGGUAUGCUGAUAUAGUUAAUUAUCUUGUUACAGGUCAACUUCCAGAGCAUUGGAUCAAGCAAGACAAGGCCAAAUUUUUUGUAGAAAUAAAGAAUUUCUUUUUGGAUGACCCUUAUCUGUUCAAGUAUUGUGCAGAUCAAAUUGUUAGACGAUGUGUCCCAGAAAGUGAAAUUCAGAAUAUUCUUUCAUUCUGCCAUGAACAAGCUUGUAGAGACCAUUUCAGCGCUAAGAAAACAGCUACUAAAGUUUUACAAUGUGGUUUCUAUUGGCCAAUUAUAUUUCGAGAUGCUUGCACUUUCUGUUCUUCAUGUGAUAGUGUGUUGUACAAAUUUUAUUGAACUCGCAAGUGCACGAAUCUAUUGUAGAAUAGAUCAAUAGUGACGAGUGUCGAUCCCACGAGGAGGUUGAUUUUAAUUGUGUGUAGAAUUAAUUUUUCGAAAUUGGUGGUUGGAUUUGUGGUAAAAGUAACUUAGAUUAUCCUAAAAUAUGAAUUAAAAUGACGAGGAUAACUUGAAGCGAACUCUAUUGAAAUACGGCACUUGGGUAUCUGGAUCUGUAUCAACAUGCACCAUGGGCUAAAUAUUCCUUAUUAGUGCCAAUUAAACCAUGAGGGGGGUAUCCACACCUCAUGAACCACACUCUAAUCAAUAUGGUGCUAAGGGUUUAUCGUGCCAAAUAAUAAUAACCUUGUACUAGGGAGUCGGUAAAACCAGAGCAGUAUCUAGACAAGAUUAUUAUUAUUUGUCGACGAAAAGUCAAAACAUCCACCAAAAUUAGAGGGGAAAAGAAAAUAAAUUUACCAAAUAAAGCUCAUGGCACAUGUUGAGACUUCACCUUCAACUAGGGGUAAAAUGGAAAUUUAUUAAAAUACAUAGAAAAUACAAGAUGGAGAAGGAAUUACAUAAAAUAGAGCCCAAAAAUGGAUUCAGAGAUAUCAAAUUAAAGGGGAGAGGUCUUCUUUUUAUAGAUACAUUAAGUAAAUCAUGGUCAUCGGAUUAAAAACAGUUUGGACGCUCAAGAUUGCGCCACGUCAUCAGUCAACAGUACGCGGUUUGACCACGCAGUUUGAACAGUCAACCGGUUUGAAUAGUGACACGAUUUGGUUGAAAAUAAUCCUCUGUAUAUGCAUGUACCGUACGCGUAACUUUUGAUCCACUAACAUGCUGCCACGUCACCGAUCAACAGUGCACAAGAAUUCUCUCCAAUGGAAUCGUGACACCUCAUCAGUCAAUGCCACAUCAUCAGUCAAUGUCACGUCAUCGAUCCGUCUAUGUGAACAGUAUCGUGAACAAUAACGUAGACAAUACCGUACAUGUGAACAAUGACAUUUUUCUUUUAAUGCUCCUCCUAAGGUUUUCGACUGUCCUGAGUUCAAAAGUGAUGUCCGUUUUACCGUCUGAUUUCUUGUUCAUUGUAAAAUGACCAUGAUAUCCCUAAAAUGCAUAAAAUACUUAAUUAAAAUAAAAUACACAUAAUUAAAUUACAAGAGACUAAAAUACAUAAAAGUAGAAGUGUUAGUAAAAUUUGAAGUGUAAAAUGACGAUUUUUUCCUUUAUAAAUAUACAUUUUCUAACACUCAACACACCCCCCAACUAGCUUAUAGCUAGUCCCUAGCAAAUAAAGCAAAAACAAAAUUCAAACCCAAAAUAUUUUUUUUAUUUUUUAUUUUUUUUAAACAAUCUUGUUUAUUCAAUCAGACCAAUGAUAACAAUUAAAUAAAAGUAUAAGCAUCAUCUCCAGUCUAAAGAAAUAUCACACCCACAUCAACCAUCCACAUGAAUCAGCCCAGUAGACUUUGUCACAGCUACUUUCAAGAAUGACAUGUUAAACCCCAAAAUCUCACUAGAAAUAGUGACAAUCUCACAAAGAAAUUAAACCCAACAAAAAGUCACUACAAUAAAUGGUAAUUGAGAGAAAAUAAUAAAGAAGUGAUAUCACAUGCUCUCACCAAAAUGAAAGAAAUAUGCCCUCAAGUCAAAUAAAAAUACUAGUCAACCCAAUUUAUUUAUUUAUUUGUUUAUUAUUUUUUUUAUGCACCACUACAUUUUUUUAGCCCAUAUAACUAGCUUCUACUUCAGACUAUAGUUCUCUAAAAUCAAGAAGGACUUUUAUUAGGAUGUAACGUAGGCUAGGAACAUGGCUAACAAAGGAGGGGAAAUAAGGAAAAUAAAGUGUAUGUUUGGGAAAAAUUGUAGAGAUUUUUUUUUUGAAGUUGCAAGGUGGAUUUCACCUUUUAUUGUUAUUUUUUUUAACAACAAUUUAUUUAUUUAUUUUCUUUUUUUUGCUUUUGUUUGGCACAACUUCACUAAACAAAAUAAUUACUUACUUCUCAAACAUAAAUAGGUGAUGGAACUUGUAAGAUAUUGGGUAAUACUCCAAAUCGGAGUGGGUCAAGAUGAGAAGUUUGACAAAGAAAAAGUUUUUUUUUUAAAGGUUCAAAAGGGUUAACUAUGGAUAUUUCACAAAAGGGAUGGCUAGAAAGGCUCAAACGGAUCAAAGAUGGUCUUUCCAUCGUCUUUUAGGGCUCCAAAUAAUCUUCCAUAUCUACAGUUAGAUGGGCCUUCAGAUGUAGCAACACACAUUUUUUUUUUAAUUUUACAAUUUUUUUAAGGGUUAACUCAAAAGAAAUCUUGAAAUCGUGUAUAAAAUAAUAAACUGUUAAGUUGUAUGAAGAAUGGGCAAAAUGGUUACUCUCCAAGAAAAAUGAUAGGCUCAAAAACUCACUUGGUACUUAUUAUAACAUGUUCAUUCCUUCAAACAACUCAUAUUUGUCUCCGACAUUAACAUGUAGAGUAGCUAACAUAGCGUAUCAUCACUUAAGACUAAAGAUAAUACAAAUACUAAAAUUUGAAAUUCAUCAUGUCAUCCAAUGUUAAAAGAAAUCACACAAAAUUUUUUUUCAAACAACAUUCUCCCCCCCAACCUAUUCUAAACAUGAAAGGAAAAUAUGCAUGCAAAAAUGUGAAUAUGAUGCAGAAAAACUAAUUAGAAAAGUUACACUUAAAAUGAUAGAAAAAGAAAAUAGUUUUUUUUUUAACUAAGAAGAUGCAUUUUUUUAACUAAUAGUUUUUUUUAACUAGGAAAAUAGUCAAAGCCAUCUUUGACUCAAAAAUUUGAAAAUGUAUAUUUAUAAAGGAAAAAUUAAAAAGAAUAAGUUAAAAAAAUGAAUAUCAAAGCUUAAUAAAGAAAAAGAAAAAGUCUGGAAAUUUUUUUUUUAACGAAGAAAAUGUGUUUCUAGAGUAACUACACUCCAUAUUCAGCCAUCUUCAACACAAAAAGUUAGCAACAGUUAGUUUCUACAACAAAAAAUCAAUAAAAACUUAACCAAGAUUCCACAAUUGUCGACUAUUCCCUCCUCCCAACCAGAACGAAACAUUGUCCUCAAUGUUUUAAAGGAAAAAAGUAGAGUUUAAAAGACAUCACCUCGGUGGUGCAACACAGAAGAAAAUAUUUACAGGCGGAGAGUUAAAUCUAAUUUGUACUUCUUACUGUGGCUACUGUUACCAUCAUUAUUUGGACGCUCCAACACAAAGGUCCAGGGGUUUGGCUUCAGUCUAUAAGCUUGUAACAAAUCAAGUAGCUCAUUAGCAGUGUGAGCGUAAAUAAAAAGCUUUUUCGCUGUGGAAGGAAUGAAAUAGUUUUUAAUUGCAUGGUUAAGAAAUGCAAUGAAGUCAUCAUAAAAGUUAUUGACAUUUAACAAACCGAUGGGUUUCUGUUGAAUGUGCAGAUGAGCCCAAGAUGCUAGUGUGAUAAGUGCCUCUAGUGUUGCAAGAUCUCCUGAAAGGAAAAUAAAAGCAUCAGCAUGAUUAAGCAUUUCAGUUAUUCUUUCUUGCAUACCUGAGAUGACUAACUCUUCUCCAGUCGAUGAGUCAGAAAAACUGCCCAAAGGUUUUAGGGCUCUUGGGAUGAUGCCUAACACUUGGCUUCCUCUUAUAAAAGCAGCUUCUUAGACCAAUUUUCAUAACCCUCGGUUACCUUCUCCAUACACCAAGUGUAAUUUUCUCUCUGCUAUGCUUUGACCAAGAUCUAUGGCUGCCUCAACGAACUCUUUAUGUUUGCCAUAGUUAAAUCCAGAAAGCACACAAAUGUUCUUGAAUUGUCUAUUGGGAGUAGCUGCCAUUGGAAUACUUCUCAAAAAUAAUUUGUGAGUGCUUGACAAAAAAUCAUAUUUAAUAAUCUUGGUGACAAUGGGUCACAACUGUGUAUAAGGUAGCAUGUCAGUGUCAAUUAAGGUGUAAAGCACAUGGCUCAUGAGUAAAAAAGGAAACAGUAAAAAGAAAAAGAAACAAUGAUAAAAUAAAAUUAUUAAAGAAAAUAAUGCAAAUGAUAAAACAACAGUGAGAUAAAAUAACAGUGAAGUAAAAGGAUAUUUACAGGUAGUUGCGACUGUGGCUCAAAUCUUCCUCUGGUUUUACGUCUAGAAAUGGCUUGAACGCCCUUUAUGGGUCGAGGAUAGGCUUCCCAUACAGUUUUCUUAUAAAUUGGCAAACAUGGUUGUUUAUAGUCAGAUUCCCGAGACCAUAUCGUGUAUGUUUUUUUAGAAUAAUGGCCAUAACUGGAGAAUCGCUCCUUGCACAUAUCCACUGGGAUACGUUUCAAGAGACAAAAGGAUAUCAUCCAAUGACUCCUUAUUCAAGUUAUCCCUAAUGAAUUGAAUCUUAUCUUCCCUGUUAUCAGACAUCAUUCCUAAAGAACAUGGGUUUUUAUUGCAUCUCAUUCUGGCACACUUAUGACAAGCAACAUAUAUUCUUCGAGUUCUUUGUUUUCUUGCAUAAUUUCCUUUACCACAACCAGGCAUGUAUGCAAUAAAUUUUGGAGGUAACUCACCUGCCAGUCGUACUUUAGACUCGAUUAACCAUCAGAUGUCAGCAGGUAUGUUAUUUGUUGAAUGUUAGAAAAUGCAUAUUUAUAAAGGAGAAAACCGUCAUUUUACAUUUCAAGUCUUACUAACAACCCUUACUUUUAUGUAUUUAAUCUUCUUGUGAUUUAAUUACAUAUGUUUUAUUUUAAUUAAGUAUUUUAUGUAUUUUAGGGGCAUUAUAGUCAUUUCACAAGAAAGGAGAAAUCAGACGGCAAAACGGACAUCACUUUUGAACUCAGGACGGUCAAAAACCUUAGGAGGAGCAUAAAAGGAAAAAUGGCACUAUUCAUAUGUACGGUACUAUUCACAUGUACGGUACUGUCUACGUUACUGUUCACGACACUGUUCACAUAGACGGAUGAUGACGUGGCAUUGACCGAUGAUGUGGCAUUGACUGAUGAGGUGUCACGAUCCUGUUGGACUAAAAUUCUUAUGUACUGUUGAUGGUGACGUGGCAGCAUAUCAGUGGACGAAAAAUCUCGUGUACGGUGCAUGCAUCACACAGGAUUAUUUUCAACCAAACCGCGUUACUGUUCAUUCGGGUCAAACCGCGUUACUGUUCAUCCGGGUCAAACCGCGUUACUGUUCAAAGUCGGGUCAAACCGUGUUACUGUUCAUCCGCGUGGUCAAACCGUGGACUGUUGACUGAUGACGUGGCGCAAUCCUGAGCGUCCAAACUGUUUUUAAUCCGAUGGCCAUGAUUUACUCCAUGUAUCUAUAAAAAGGGGGCCUCUCCCCCCUAAUUUGAUAUCUCUGAAUCCAUUUUUGGACUCUGUUUUCUGUAAUUCCCUCUCCAUCUUGUAUUUUCUUCGUAUUUUAAUAAAUUCCCAUUUUUCCCCUAGUUCAAUUAUGAGUGGCUAAUUUUCUUUCAAGCUUGGGUUGAAGGUGAAGUCUCAACAUGUGUCAUGGGCUUUAUUUGGUAAAUUUAUUUUCUCUUCCCCUCUAGUUUUUGUGGAUGUUUUGACUUCUCGUCGACAAAUAAUACUAAUCUUGUCUAGUACCGCCUUGGUUUCACCGGCCCUCUGGUACAAGGUUAUUAUUAUUUGGCACGAUAAGCCCUUAGCACCAUAUUGAUUAGAGCGUGGUUCAUGAGGUGUGGAUUCCCCCCUCAUGAUUUAAUUGGCAUUAAUACGAAUUAUUUAGCCCAUGAUGCAUGUUGAUACGGAUCCAGAUACCCAAGUACGUCAAUUUAAUAGAUUUUCUCUUCAAUUUAUUCUCUCCAUUGCAAUUCCAAUUUUAAAAUUUAUUCUCGCCAUUUUAAUUUAAGUCUUAGCAUAUUCCAAAUCAUUUCCACCAUAAAUCCAACAACCCAUUUACAAAAUUAAUUCUAUACACAUAAUUAAAAUCCACCUCCUUGUGGGAUCGACACUCGUCACCAUUAGUCUAUACUACAAUAGAUUCGUGCGCUUGCGAGUACAUUAAAAUUUGCACAACAAGUUUUUGGCGCCGUUGCCGGGGAGGUAAGUAAUUUUAAUUCAUAGAAUUAAUUUUAGUGAAUAAUUUCUUUUAUUUGUUUUCUUGUAUUUUUUUUUAUUAUUAAAAAAAAAAGUGAAUCUACAUUUAAAGGUUAGUAUUUCUUUUCUUUUUCUCUUCUUUAAAAUUCUGUAAUUUAAUUUUCAAUUUAUUUUUCUUUGUAAUUUUUUUGUUUAUUUUAUUAAUUUAAUUUUUAGUUAAUUUAUUUCACGUAUUUGUUUUUGUGUAUUUUUAUAGAAAGGUUUUAAUAGCGCAAUAAGGUUAGUAUCGUAAUUUCUCCCUCUUCUUUAUUUUUAUUUAUUUUGUUCCCAUCUUUAUUUUUUAUUUUAUUUGUUUUGCAUGCAUGGUCGAAGGUCAUUAUUACCCAAUCUUGAACCUAUAGACCUUGAACUUAAGAAAACACUUCGCACACACAAACAAGUAAAAAAUAAAAUGGAUUUGCAACCACAGGAGAGGCCAUUUAAGGAUUAUUUCAGUCCUUUAGCAAAUUUGAGCACAUCAUGUAUAAGAUACCCAAAUGUAGCUGCUAGGAGCUUUGAACUAAAACCUAGUGUGCUAAAUUGUCUCCCCACAUUCUAUGGCUUAGAAAAUGAGGACCCAUAUAAUCAUCUGAAUGAUUUUCAUGCUAUUUGUCAAACUUUUAAAUACGAGAAUUUUUCAGACGAUGAUGUUAAACUUAGAUUAUUCCCAUUGUCUUUAAAAGAUAGAUCUCGUUCAUGGCUUAAUACAUUGCCUGCCAAUAGCAUUUCAUCAUGGGAACAAAUGGUAACUAAAUUUUUGAAUAAAUAUUUCCCAGUGCAUAAAACCAAUGCUAUUCGCAGAGAAAUCUAAGAGUUUACCCAGAGAGAGGACGAGCAAUUUUUUGAAACAUGGGAGCGAUUCAAUGGGCUACUCUUGAAGUGUCCACAUCAUGGGUACGAGAAAUGGCACCAAUGUCAAUACUUUUUGGAGGGAUUACUACCGAAUGUGCAAGAAUGGCUAAUGGCAACAAGUGGAGGAGAGCUAAUGUCAAAAAGUGCAUCAGAAAUUUGGGAAUUCUUCCAGCGACAAGUAGAUAAUUCCCAACAACGGAGUCGAUCACUCAGGACUACUAGAAGAAUUAAAGGAGUGAAUGAGGUUCACAUUGGCGAAUCUAGCUCAGAAAUUAAAGAAGUCAAAGCAAUAAUUGAAGGUCUCUCUCGACAAAUAGCAUCGUUAUCGACUGCUAAAUCAACAGAGCCACAUGACCCUGACUCAUAUCCAGAUCAAGCCAAUGCCAUAGGUAUAAUGAGAAAGCCUUUAAACUACAACCCAUACUCCAACACAUAUAACCCUGGAUGGAGAGACCACCCCAAUUUUUCAUGGUCUCAAGGAUUCCAACAGAAUGGACCAGCAGCUCCAGCUCCACCAAUUCCACAAAAUCCUCAAGCCUCUCAACCACCAUUUAGACCAUACAAUCAGAACCAGAACCACUCUCAACCUAGACCAUGGGAGGAUGCAUUCCAGAAUUUCAGGAAUGUUACUCACUCCACGAUUGAGCAACAAAACCGCACCAUUGAUGGACUACGAAAUGAGUUGAGAGCAGGCUUCAACUCACAAGCUCAAUCAGUUUCAAGCCUCGAGAAGAUGGUGGGACAACUUGCUUCUUCAGUUCAGACCUUGGCAAUGACCGUUGAGAAAGGUAAGUUUCCAAGUCAACCAGUGCCUAACCCUAAAGGAGUGCAUGAAGCAAGUACCAGUUCACCACAGCAGCAUGGAGAGGUCAAAGCAGUAAUGACCUUACGAAAAGGAAAGGAAGUCGACAACAAAGUGGAGAUGCCGGUGACAAAAGAAAAUCAAAUUGUACCUGUGAAUGUUGAGGACUCACCACCGGAGGAAAAAGAAGAAACCAACCCACGAGAAUAUGUUCCUAAAGCUCCAUUUCCUCAGAGAUUAGCGAAAGGAAAGAAGGGAAAAUCCACAGGUGAGAUUCUUGAAAUCUUCAACCAGGUAAGUGUUAAUAUCCCUUUACUUGAUGCUAUAAAACAAGUUCCAUCUUAUGCCAAGUUUCUUAAAGACCUUUGUACUAAAAAGAGAAAUAUGCAUGUUCAAAAGAAGGCAUUUUUAACAGAAAACGUUAGUUCUAUACUCCAACAUAAAAUUCCUUAAAAAUGCAAAGACCCAGGCUCCCCCACUAUCUCAUGUAGUAUAGGGAACCACACAAUUGAGAAUGCUUUGUUGGAUUUAGGAGCUAGUGUAAAUCUGUUGCCUUACUCUGUAUUUGUGAAACUUGGAUUGGGAGAAUUACACCCAACUCCAGUGGUGUUACAGCUUGCAGAUCGGUCCACGAAAAUACCUCGUGGUAUUGUGGAGGACGUGCUUAUCCAGGUAGACAAGUUUUAUUUUCCUGUUGAUUUUAUUGUAAUUGACACUCAACCAAUACAGGAUUCGAGGAAGCACAUCCCCAUUAUUCUAGGUCGACCUUUCUUGGCAACUGCGGAUGCUCACAUUCAAUGCAGGACUGGAAAUAUGCAGUUGUCCUUCGGCAACAUGACUAUGGAGCUAAACAUUUUCAACAUUGCCAAACAACCUCACAGUGCAGAUGAUGGAAUUGUUGAUGUGGAUUUAAUUGAAGCAUUAGUUGAUGAUACUUUUGUUUCAAACCUUAGUGAUGAUCCUUUACAAACAUGUUUAACUCACUUUGGUUUGAAUUUUGAUAUUGACAGAUCGGUCGAUGAGGUCAACGCCCUGCUUGACUCCGCACCAUCCUUGGACACUAAUAAAUGGAAAUCAAGAGUUGAACAACUAGCACCAUCAGAGAAGAAACUCAUCCCAUCAUCAGAAUCACCACCGAAACUCGAGCUCAAACCAUUACCCAACACUCUGGAAUAUGCAUUUUUGGGAGAAGAAAGCACUCUACCGGUAAUCAUCUCAUCAUCCCUAAAUGACGAACAAAAAGGUAAGUUGUUGGAUGUUUUAAAAGAUCACAAAGGAGCAUUAGGAUGGACCAUAGCAGACAUUAAAGGUAUAAACCCAGUAGAUUGCAUGCAUUACAUUCACCCUGAUGAAAAUGCUAAAACUACUAGGGAGAUGCAACGUCGGUUAAAUCCUAAUAUGAAAGAAGUUGUUAGAACCGAAGUGCUUAAGCUAUUAGAUGCAGGUAUCAUUUACCCAAUUUCUGAUAGUUCAUCUGUCAGUCCUGUACAAGUUGUCCCCAAAAAGUCAGGAAUCACAGUAGUUACGAAUGCUGAUAAUGAAUUGAUACCCACUAGAGUAACUACAGGAUGGCGUGUUUGCAUUGAUUAUAGAAAGUUGAAUUCUGUCACACGUAAAGACCAUUUUUCUUUACCAUUUAUUGAUCAAAUGCUUGAUAGAUUAGCAGGCCAUGAAUUUUAUUGCUUUCUAGAUGGCUACUCAGGAUAUAAUCAGAUUCCCAUAGCACCAAAAGAUCAGGAGAAAACUACUUUCACUUGCCCUUUUGGCACAUUUGCAUAUAGGAGAAUGCCAUUUGGAUUAUGUAAUGCACCUGCUACAUUUCAACGAUGCAUGUUGAGCAUUUUUUCUGAUAUGGUUGAACGAUUCCUUGAAGUCUUUAUGGAUGAUUUUUCUGUCUUUGGUGACUCGUUUGAUCAAUGUUUACAUCAUCUAACACUAGUUCUGCAGAGAUGUAUCGAGAAGAACUUGGUCUUAAAUUGGGAGAAAUGCCAUUUUAUGGUAAAACAAGGUAUUGUUCUCGAUCACAUCAUUUCGAGCAAAGGUAUUGAGGUUGACAAAGCCAAGGUGGAUCUCAUUUCUAAGCUUCCUUCACCCAAAACAGUCAGAGAAGUAAGAUCUUUCCUUGGGCAUGCUGGUUUUUAUAGACGUUUCAUUAAAGAUUUUAGCAAAGUUUCUAGACCCUUAUGCAAUCUACUUGCUAAGGAUGUAUCUUUUGUCUUUGAUGAUUCAUGUCUUGUUGCGUUUGAAAAAUUAAAGCAUUUGUUGACAUCAUCACCCAUCAUUCAAGCCCCAAACUGGAACUUACCAUUUGAGCUCAUGUGUGAUGCAUCUGAUUAUGCAGUAGAAGCAGUAUUAGGACAAAGAGUUGAUCGAAUUCCCCAUGUUAUUUAUUAUGCUAGUAUGACAUUGAAUGAUGCACAGUUGAACUAUUCAACUACUGAAAAAGAAAUGCUAGCAGUAGUGUUUGCAUUGGAAAAAUUUCGAUCAUAUCUCAUUGGUUGUAAAAUAAUUAUAUUCACGGAUCAUGCUGCUCUUAAAUAUCUUCUCAAAAAGAAAGAUGCAAAAGCCAGACUAAUUCGUUGGGUGUUACUUUUGCAGGAAUUUGACUUGGAAUUCAAAGAUAAAAAAGGGACAGAAAAUGUUGUGGCGGACCACCUCUCUCAUCUCUAUUUUGACACAAUUACAGAAUCAUUACCAUUGAAUGAGUCAUUUCCAGAUGAACAAUUAAUGAAUGUGGAAGUAUUACCUUGGUAUGCUGAUAUAGUUAAUUAUCUUGUUACAGGUAAACUUCCAGAGCAUUGGACCAAGCAAGACAAGGCUAAAUUCUUUGUAGAGAUAAAGAAUUUCUUUUGGGAUGACCCGUAUUUGUUCAAGUAUUGUGCGGAUCAAAUUGUUAGACGAUGUGUCCCAUAAAGUGAAAUUCAGAAUAUCCUUUCAUUCUGCCAUGAACAAGCUUGUGGAGGCCAUUUCAGUGCUAAGAAAACAGCGACUAAAGUUUUACAAUGUGGUUUCUAUUGGCCAUCUAUAUUUCGAGACGCUUACACUUUCUGUUCUUCAUGUGAUAGGUGUCAACGAAUGGGAAGCAUUACAGGAAGGAACAUGAUGCCACUAAAUCCAAUUUUAGUGGUUGAGAUUUUUGACGUAUGGGGUAUCGACUUCAUGGGACCCUUUCCCCCGUAUUUUGGCCAUCAAUACAUAUUGGUUGCUGUUGACUACGUAUCGAAAUGGGUAGAAGCAAUUCCAUGUAGGACCAAUGAUCACAAGGUGGUAAUAGCAUUUUUAAAAAGCAACAUUGUUUCACGCUUUGGAUUCCCUCGAGCAAUAAUCAGUGAUGGUGGUGCCCACUUUUGUAACAAAGCAUUCAAAGCUCUUUUGACAAAGUAUUCAAUCACACACAAAGUGGCGACUCCGUAUCAUCCGCAAACCAGUGGCCAAGUUGAGAUCUCCAAUCGAGAAAUAAAGCACAUAUUAGAAAAGACGGUGAGGCCGGACAGAAAAGAUUGGUCAUUAAGACUUGAUGAUGCCUUAUGGGCAUAUAGAACGGCUUUCAAGACCCCGAUUGGGAUGUCACCCUACAGGCUAGUGUAUGGAAAAGCUUGCCACCUACCUGUGGAACUCGAGCAUCGUGCAUAUUGGGCCAUCAAGAAAUUCAAUUUUGACAUGCAGCAAGCCAGCUCAGAAAGAAGAUUACAGCUGGCAGAACUUGAAGAAAUUCGCAAUGAUGCGUACGAAAAUGCCAAGAUUUACAAGCAACGAAUGAAAGUCUUCCAUGACAAGCAAAUUAUGAGAAAAUCUUUCACUCCAGGUCAGAAAGUGCUUUUAUUCAAUUCUCGCUUGCACCUAUUCCCAGGUAAGUUACGCUCUCGUUGGUCUGGUCCCUUUAUUGUUCAUACUGUUUUUCCACAUGGGGCAAUUGAAAUUAAGGACCCAAAGAACGGUGUCACGUUUAAAGUUAAUGGUCAAAGAUUAAAGCCAUAUCUAGAAUACCAACCACGUGGAGAAGACACCGAAAUAAAUUUGAGUGACCCACCAGAUUUGAAUUGAUUUUUUUUCUUUCUUUUCGUUGAUUUGAUUUUGUUUUCUUUCUUUAUAUUAUUCUUUUGCUAAUUGAAAUUGUUUUUGCAUAAGUGUGUUUAUUUUACCAUUAAGUUUUCUCUUAUCAUUGUUAAUCAUGAGUCUCAUACUUAGACCGUUCCUCCUGAACAUUCUUAAACCACUUCAACGUGUCAAAACUCAUCUCAAAAGGCAGAUUCAAUUUUGUAAAACACAACGCAUUUGGGCUCUACAACCACCAGAGUUAGUAGCCUAUGUUGAGGGUUUAGAAAGCCAACUCAGAGACAUUGAGAGAAGUGUUUACGACAUCCAGUUGGAGCUUGAGGUAAAUUCAAUAAGAGGAUGAUUUUAAUUUUCUUUGUGUGUUUUAAUUUGUUUUUCUGUUUGUGUGCUUUAGUUUGUUACCCCGGUGAAGUGGCGGAUAACGGUACUCCGUGACAAUCAAGUCGGUUACUUCAGUUUCCCAUAAUAACUGAUAUUCUGAGGCGAAGGUAUGGACAGAAACGAGAUUCUAGCGAAGCUUCACAAGCGAUUCCCUUCACUUCCUCAGAAUGCCCUCCUUACGAUCUAUAAAGCUCGGUCCGAACGCAUGCGAUUACUCAUGAGGAAUAACAUACCUGCUGACAUCCGUUGGUUAAUCGAGGCUAAAGUACGAUCAGCAGGUGAGUUACCUCCAAAAUUUAUUGCAUACAUGCCUGGUUGUGGUACAGGAAAUUAUGCAAGAAAACGACGAGCUCGAAGAAUUUUUGUUGCUUGUCAUAAGUGUGCCAGAAUGAGUUGCAAUAGAAACCCAUGUUCUUUAGGAAUGGUGUCUGAUAACAGGGAAGAUAAGAUUCAAUUCAUUAGGGAUGGCUUGAAUAAGGAGUCAUUGGAUGAUAUCCUUUUGUCUCUUGAAACGCAUCCCAGUGGAUAUGUGCAAGGAGCGAUUCUCCAGUUAUGGCCAUUAUUCCAGAAAGAGCAUGCACGAUAUAGUCUUGGGAAUCUGACUAUAAACGACCCUGUUUGCCAGUUUAUAAGAAAACUGGAUAGGAAGCCUAUCCUCGACCCAUAGAGGGCGUUCAAGCCGUUUCUGGACGUAAAACCAGAGGAAGAUGUGAGCCACAGUCGCAACUACCUGUAAAUAUCCUUUUACUUUAUUGUUAUUUUAUUUCACUAUUGUCUUAUUGUUUGCAUUAUUGUCUUUAAUAAUUUUAUUACUGUUUGCUUUUUCCUUUUUAUUGUUUUCUUUUUGACUUGCGAGCCACGUGCUUUACGCGUUAUUUGACACUGACAUAUUACCUCAUACACAACCAUGACCCACUAUCACCGAGACUCUUAAAUGUGAUUUCUUUUUUGUCAAGCACUCACAAAUUGUUUUUGAGAAGUAUCACAAUGUCAGCUACUCCCAAUAGACAAUUCAAGAACAUUUGUGUGCUUUCCGGUUUUACCUAUGGCAAACAUAAAGAGUUCAUUGAGGCAGCCAUAGAUCUUGGUCGAAGCAUAGCAGCGAGAAAAUUACACUUGGUGUAUGGAGGAGGUAACCGAGGGUUAUCCAAAAUGGUCUCAGAAGCAGCUUUUAUCAGAGGAAGUCAAGUGUUAGGCAUCAUCCCAAGAGCCCUAAAACCUUUGGGCAAUUCGUCUGACUCAUCAACUGGAGAAAAGUUAGUCGUCUCAGGUAUGCAAGAAAGAAUAACUGAAAUGCUUAAUCAUGCUGAUGCUUUUAUUUUCCUUCAAGGAGAUCUUGCAACACUAGAGGCACUUAUCACGCUAGCAUCUUGGGCCCAUCUGCACAUCCACCAGAAACCCAUCGGUUUGUUAAAUGUCAAUAACUUUUAUGAUGGCUUUAUCGCAUUUCUUAACCAUGCAAUAAAAAACUAUUUCAUUCCCGCUAAUGUGAAAAAACUCUUUAUUUGUGCUCACACUGCUAAUGAGCUACUUGAUAUGUUACAAGCUUAUAAACCGGAGCCAGACCCCUGGACCUUUGUGUUGGAGCGCCCAAAUAAUGAUGGUAACAGUAGCCGCAGUAAGAAGUACAAAUUAGAUUUAACUCUCCGCUUGUAAAUAUUGUUUUCUGUGUUGCACCACCCAGGUGAUGUCUUCUAAACUCUACUUCUUUCAUUUCAAACAUUGAGGACAAUGUUUCGUUCUAGUUGGGGGGAGGGAAUAGUCGACAAUUGUGGAAUUUUGGUUAAGUUUUUACUAAUUUUUGUUGUAGAAACUACUGUUGCUAACUUUUUGUGUCGAAGAUGGCUGAAUAUAGAGUGUAGUGACUCUAGAAACGCAUCUUCAUCGUAAAAAAAAAAUUACAAAACUAAAAAAAAAAUUCAAACAUUUUCUUUUUCUUUAUUAUGUUUUUAUGUUUAUUUUUCUUCUUUUUAAUUUCUCCUCUAUAAAUAUACAUUUUCCAACUUGUGAGUCGAAGAUGGCUGAAUAUGGAGUGUAGUUCCUCUAGAAACGCAUCUUCUUUAAAAUAAAAAAAAAAAUUCGUUUUCUAUAAUUUUAUGUGUAAUUUUUCUAAUUAGUUUUUAUGCAUCAUUUUCACAUUUCUGCAUGCAUAUUUUCCUUUCAUGUUUAGAAUAGGUUGGGGGGUAGAAUGUUGUUUAAAAAAAAAAUUUGAUUUGUUUUAACAUUGGAUGACAUGAUUAAUUUCAAAUUUUAGUAUUUGUAUUAUCUUUGGUCUUAAGUGAUGUUACAUUAUGUUUGCUACUCUACAUGUUGAUGUCGGAGACAAAUAUGCGUUGCUUGAAGGAAUGAACAUGUCAUAAUAAGUACCAAGUGAGUUUUUGAGCCUAUUAUUUUUCUUGGAGAAUAACCCUUUUGCCCAUUCUUUAUAUAGCUUAACAGUUUAUUAUUUUAUAUACGAUCUUUAGAUUUCUUUUGAGUUAACCCUUAAAAAAAAAAAAAUGUGUGUUGCUACAUUGGGAGGCCCAUCUAACUAGUAGAUAUGGAUGAUUAUUUAGAGCCCUAAAAGACGAUGGAAAGGCCAUCUUUGCCCCGUUUGAGCCUUUUUAGCCAUCCAUUUUGUGAUAUAUCCAUAGUUAACCCUUUUGAGCCUUUAAAAAAAAAAAAACUUUUUCUUUGUCAACUUAUCAUCUUGACUCACUCCGAUUUGGAGUAUUACCCGAUAUCUUAUAAGUUCCAUCACCUAUUUAUGUUUGAGAAAAAUAUAAAUAAUUAUUUUGUUCAGUGAAGUUAUGCCAAAAAAAAAACAAAAAACAAAAAAACAAAAGUUGUUGUUUCAAAAGAAUAAAAAUAAAAAUAAUAGGUGAAAUCCACCUUGUAACUUCCAAAAAAAAAAAAAAUCCCUACAUUUUUCUCAAACAUACACUUUGUUUUCCUUAUUUCCCUUCUUUGUUAACCAUGUCCCUAGCCUACAUUACGUCCUAAUAAAAGUCCUUCUUGAUUUUAGGGAACUAUAGUUUGAAGUAGAAGCUAGUUAUAUGGGCUAAAAAGAUGUAGUGAUGCAUAAUCAAAAACAAAAAAAAAAGAUAAAUAAAGUGGGUUGACUAACAUUUUAUUUGACUUGAGAUUGUAUUAUUUCUAAGCUGAGGGCAUAUUUAUUUCAUCUUGGUGAGAGCAUGUGAUAUCACUUCUUUAUUAUUUUCUCUCUCAAUUACCAUUCAUUGGAGUGACUAUUUUUAUUGGGUUUAAUUUAUUUGUGAGAGUGUCACUACUUCCAGUGAGAUUUUGGGGUUUGACAUGUCAUUCUUGAAAGUAGCUAUAACAAAGUCUACUGGGCUAAUUCAUGUGGAUGGUUGAUGUGGGUGUGAUGUUGCUUUAGACUGGAGAUAAUGCUUAUACUUUUAUUUGAUUGCUAUCAUUAAUCUGAUUGAAUAAACACGAGUGUUUCUAAAAAAAAAAAAUUCAUUUUGAAUUUGAAUUUUGUUUUCGCUUUAUUUGCUAGGGACUAGCAAUAAGCUGGUUGGGGGGUGUGUUGAAUGUUAGAAAAUGCAUAUUUAUAAAGGAGAAAACCGUCAUUUUACAUUUCAAGUCUUACUAACAACCCUUACUUUUAUGUAUUUAACCUUCUUGUGAUUUAAUUACAUGUGUUUUAUUUUAAUUAAGUAUUUUAUGUAUUUUAGGGGCAUUAUAGUCAUUUCACAAUAAAGGAGAAAUCAGACGGCAAAACGGACAUCACUUUUGAACUCAGGACGGUCAAAAACCUUAGGAGGAGCAUAAAAGGAAAAAUGGCACUAUUCACAUGUACGGUACUAUUCACGUGUACGGUACUGUCUACGUUACUGUUCACGAUACUGUUCACAUAGACAGAUGAUGACGUGGCAUUGACCGAUGAUGUGGCAUUGACUGAUGAGGUGUCACGAUCCUGUUGGACUAAAAUUCUUAUGUACUGUUGAUGGUGACGUGGCAGCAUAUCAGUGGACGAAAAAUCUCGCGUACGGUGCAUACAUCACACAGGAUUAUUUUCAACCAAACCGCGUUACUGUUCAUCCGGGUCAAACCGCGUUACUGUUCAAAGUCGGGUCAAACCGUGUUACUGUUCAUCCGCGUGGUCAAACCGUGGACUGUUGACUGAUGACGUGGCGCAAUCCUGAGCGUCCAAACUGUUUUUAAUCCGAUGGCCAUGAUUUACUCCAUGUAUCUAUAAAAAGGGGGCCUCUCCCCCCUAAUUUGAUAUCUCUGAAUCCAUUUUUGGACUCUGUUUUCUGUAAUUCCCUCUCCAUCUUGUAUUUUCUUCAUAUUUUAAUAAAUUCCCAUUUUGCCCCUAGUUCAAUUAUGAGUGGCUAAUUUUCUUUCAAGCUUGGGUUGAAGGUGAAGUCUCAACACGUGUCAUGGGCUUUAUUUGGUAAAUUUAUUUUCUCUUCCCCUCUAGUUUUUGUGGAUGUUUUGACUUCUCGUCGACAAAUAAUACUAAUCUUGUCUAGUACCGCCUUGGUUUCACCGGCCCUCUGGUACAAGGUUAUUAUUAUUUGGCACGAUAAGCCCUUAGCACCAUAUUGAUUAGAGCGUGGUUCAUGAGGUGUGGAUUCCCCCCUCAUGAUUUAAUUGGCAUUAAUACGAAUUAUUUAGCCCAUGAUGCAUGUUGAUACGGAUCCAGAUACCCAAGUACGUCAAUUUAAUAGAUUUUCUCUUCAAUUUAUUCUCUCCAUUGCAAUUCCAAUUUUAAAAUUUAUUCUCGCCAUUUUAAUUUAAGUCUUAGCAUAUUCCAAAUCAUUUCCACCAUAAAUCCAACAACCCAUUUACAAAAUUAAUUCUAUACACAUAAUUAAAAUCCACCUCCUCGUGGGAUCGACACUCGUCACCAUUAGUCUAUACUACAAUAGAUUCGUGCGCUUGCGAGUACAUUAAAAUUUGCACAACAUUAUUCCUCAUGAGCAAUCGCAUGCGUUCGAACUGAGCUUUAUAGAUUGUAAGGAGGGCAUUCUGAGGAAGUGAAGGGAAUCGAUUGUGAAGCUUUGCUAGAAUCUCGUUUCUGUCCAUACCUUCGCCUCAGAAUAUUAGCUAUUAUGGGAAACUGAAGUAACCGACUUGAUUGUCACGGAGUACCGUUAUCCGCCACUUCACAAGGGUAACAAACUAAAGCACACAAACAAAGAAAAACAAACUAAAACACAUAAAGAAAAUUACAAUUGUCCUCUUAUUGAAUUUACCUCAAGCUCCAACUGGAUGUUGUAGACACUUCUCUCAAUGUCUCUGAGUUGGCUUUCUAAAUCUUCAACAUAGGAUACUAACUCUGGUGGUUGCAAAGCCCAAAUACGAUGUGUUUUACAUAAUCGAAUCUGCCUUUUGAGAUGAGAUUUUACACGUUGAAGUGGUUUAAGAAUGUCCAAGAGGAACUGUUUAGCUAUGGCAUUCAUGAUUAACAAUGAUAAGAGAAAACUUAAUGGUUAAACAAACACACUUAUGCAAAAAUAAUUUCAAUUAGUAAAAGAAUAAUAAAAAGAAAGAAAAAAAAUCAAAUCACUAAAAAGAAAGAAAAAAAAAACUCAAUUCAAAUCUAGUGGGUCACUCAAAUUUAUUUCGGUGUCCUCUCCAUGUGGUUGGUACUCUAGAUAUGGCUUUAAUCUUUGACCAUUAACUUUAAACGUGACACUGUUCUUUGGGUCCUUAAUUUCAAUUGCCCCCUGUGGAAAAACAGUAUGAACAAUAAAGGGGCCAGACCAUUGAGAGCGUAACUUACCUGGGAAUAGGUGCAAGCGAGAAUUGAAUAAAAGCAUUUUCUGACCUGGAGUGAAAGAUUUUCCCAUAUUUGCUUGUCAUGGAAGACUUUCAAUUGCUGCUUGUAAAUUUUGGCAUUUUCGUAUGCAUCAUUGCGAAUUUCUUUAAGUUCUACCAGUUGUAAUCUUCUUUCUGAGCUAGCUUGCUGCAUGUCAAAGUUGAAUUUCUUGAUGGCCCAAUAUGCACGAUGCUCGAGUUCCACAGGUAGGUGGCAAGCUUUUCCAUAUACUAGCCUGUAGGGUGACAUCCCAAUUGGGGUCUUGAAAGUCGUUCUAUAUGCCCAUAAUGAAUCAUCAAGUCUUAAUAACCAAUCUUUUCUGUCUGGCCUCAUCAUCUUUUUUAAUAUAUGCUUUAUUUCUCGAUUGGAGAUCUCAACUUGGCCAUUAGUUUGCGGAUGAUAUAGGGUCGCCACUUUGUAAGUGAUUGAAUACUUUGUCAAAAGAGCCUUGAAUGCUUUGUUACAAAAGUGGGCACCACCAUCACUGAUUAUUGCUCGAGGGAAUCCAAAGCGUGAAACAAUGUUGCUUUUCAAAAAUCCUAUCACCACCUUGUGAUCAUUAGUUCUACAUGGAAUUGCUUCUACCCAUUUCGAUACGUAGUCAACAACAACCAAUAUGUAUUGAUGGCCAAAAGAAGGGGGAAAGGGACCCAUAAAGUCGAUACCCCACACAUAAAAAAUCUCAACCACCAAAAUUGAAUUUAAUGGCAUCAUGUUCUUUCGUGUAAUGCUCCCUAUUCGUUGACACCUAUCACAUGAAGAACAGAAAGUGUAAGCAUCUUGAAAUAUAGUUGGCCAAUAGAAACCACAUUAUAAAACUUUAGUCGCUGUUUUCUUAGCGCUAAAAUGGCCUCCACAAGCUUGUUCAUGGCAGAAUGAAAGGAUAUUUUGAAUUUCACUUUCUGGGACACAUCGUCUAACAAUUUGAUCUGCACAAUACUUGAACAAAUACGGAUCAUCCCCAAAGAAAUUCUUUAUUUCUGCAAAAAAAUUGGCCUUGUCUUGCUUGGUCCAAUGCUCUAGAAGUUGACCUGUAACAAGAUAAUUAACGAUAUCAGCAUACAACGGUAAUACUUUCACACUCAUCAAUUGUUCAUCUGGGAAUGACUUAUUCAAUGUUAAUAGUUCUGUAAUUGUAUCAAAAUUGAGACGAGAGAGAUGGUCAGCCACAACAUUCGCUGUACCUUUUUUAUCUUUAAAUUCCAAGUCGAACUCUUGCAAAAAUAACACCCAACGAAUUAGUCUAGCUUUUGCAUAUUUCUUUGUGAGAAGAUAUUUAAGAGCAGCAUGAUCUGUGAAUAUAAUUAUUUUACAACCAAUGAGAUAAGAUCGAAAUAUCUCUAAUGCAAACACUAUUGCUAGCAUUUCUUUUUCAGUAGUUGAAUAGUUCAACUGUGCAUCAUUGAAUGUCAUAUUAGCAUAGUAAAUAACAUGGGGAAUUUGAUCAACUCUUUGUCCUAAAACUGUUCCUACUGCAUAAUCAGAUGCAUCACACAUGAGCUCGAAUGGUAAGCUCCAAUUUGGGGGCUGAAUGAUGGGUGAUGAUGUCAACAAUUGCUUUAAUUUUUCAAAUGCCACAAGACAUGAAUCAUCAAAGAUAAAAGGUACAUCCUUAGCAAGUAGAUUGCAUAAGGGUCUAGAAACUUUGCUAAAAUCUUUAAUGAAACGUCUAUAGAAACCAGCAUGCCCUAGGAAAGAUCUUACUUCUCUGACUGUUUUGGGUGGAGGAAGAUUAGAAAUGAGAUCCACCUUGGCUUUGUCAACCUCAAUACCUUCACUCGAAAUGAUGUGACCGAGAACAAUACCUUGUUUUACCAUAAAAUGGCACUUCUCCCAAUUUAAGACUAAGUUUUUCUCGAUACAUCUCUACAGAACUAGUGUUAGAUGAUGUAAACAUUGAUCAAACGAGUCACCAAAGACAGAAAAGUCAUCUAUAAAGACUUCAAGGAAUCGUUCAACCAUAUCAGAAAAAAUGCUUAACAUGCAUCGUUGAAAUGUAGUAGGUGCAUUACAUAAUCCAAAUGACAUUCUCCUAUAUGCAAAAGUGUCAAAAGGGUAAGUGAAAGUGGUUUUCUCUUAAUCUUUUGGUGCUAUGGGAAUCUGAUUAUAUCCUGAGUAGCCAUCUAGAAAGCAAUAAAAUUCAUGGCCUGCUAAUCUAUCAAGCAUUUGAUCGAUAAAUGGUAAAGGAAAAUAGUCUUUAUGUGUGACAGAAUUUAACUUUCUAUAAUCAAUGCAUACACGCCAUCCUGUAGUCACUCUAGUGGGUAUCAAUUUAUUAUCGGUAUUCGUAACUACUGUGACUCCUGACUUUUUAGGGACAACUUGCACAGGACUAACCCAUGAACUAUCAAAAGUGGGGUAAAUGAUACAUGCAUCUAAUAGCUUAAGGACUUCAGUUCUAACAACUUCUUUCAUGUUAGGAUUUAACCGACGUUGCAUUUCCCUAGUAUGUUUAGCAUUUUCAUCAAGGUGAAUGUAAUGCAUGUAGUCUACUGGGUUUAUACCUUUUAUGCCCGCUAUGGUCCAUCCUAAUGCUCCUUUGUGCUCUUUUAAAACAUCCAACCACUUACCUUUUUGUUCAUCAUUUAGGGAUGAUGAGAUGAUUACCGACAGAGUACUUUUUUCUCCCAAAAAUGCAUAUCCAAAGUGUUGGACAAUGGUUUGAGCUCGAGUUUCGGUGUUGAUUCUGAUGAUGGGAUGAGUUUCUUUUCUGAUGGUGCUAGUUGUUCAACUCUUGACUUCCAUUUAUUAGUGUCCAUGGAUGGUCCUGAGUCAAGCAGGGUGUUGACCUCAUCGACCGAUCUAUCAAUAUCAAAAUCCAAACCAAAGUGAGUUAAACAUGUUUGUAAAGGAUCAUCACUAAGGUUUGAAACAAAAGUAUUAUCAACUAAUGCUUCUAUUAAAUCCACAUCAACAAUUCCAUCAUCUACAUUAUGAGGUUGGUUGGCAAUGUUGAAGAUAUUCACCUCCAUAGUCAUGUUGCUGAAGGACAACUGCAUAUUUCCAGUCAUGCAUUGAAUGUGAGCAUCCUCAGUUGCCAAGAAAGGUCCUAAAUCCAAUAAAGCAUUCUCAAUUGUGUAGUUUCCUAUACUACAUGAGAUAGUGGGGGAGCUUGGGUCUUUGCAUUUUAGAGGAAUUUUGUGUUGGAGUAUAGAACUAACGUUUUCUGUUAAAAAGACCUUCUUUUGAACGUGAAUGUUUCUUUUUUUUUGUACAAAGGUCUUUAAGAAACUUGGCAUAAGAUGAAACUUGUUUUAAAGCAUCAAGUAAAUGGAUGUUAACACUUACCUGUUUGAAGAUUUCAAGAAUCUCACCUGUGGAUUUUCCCUUCUUUCCUUUAGCUAACCUCUGAGGAAAUGGAGCUUUGGGAACAUAUUCUCGUGGGUUGGUUUCUUCUUUCUCUUCUGAUGGUGAGUCCUCAAUAUUCACAGGUACAAUUUGAUUUUCUUUUGUUACCGGCAUCUCCAUUUUGUUGUCAACUUCUUUUUCUUUUCGCAAGGUCAUGACUGCUUUGACCUCUCCAUGCUGCUAUGGUGAACUGGUACUUGCUUCAUGUACUCCUUUAGGAUUAGGCACUGGUUGACUUGGAAAUUUACCUUUCUCAACAGUCAUUGCCAAGGUGUGAACUAAAGAAGCAAGUUGUCCCACCAUCUUCUUGAGGUUUGAAACUGAUUGGGCUUGUGAGUUAAAGCCUGCACUCAUCUUAUUUCGUAGUCCAUCAAUAGUGCAGUUCUGUUGUGCAAUCGUGGAGUGAGUAAGAUUCUUGAGAUUCUGGAAUAAAUCCUCCCAUGGUCUGGGUUGAAAGUAGUUCUGGUUCUGAUUGUAUGGUCUAAAUGGUGGCUAAGAGGCUUGAGGAAUUUGAGGAAUUGGUUGCAUUGGUGGAGCUGGAGCUGGAGCUGUUGGUCCAUUUUGUUGGAAUCCUUGAGACCAUGAAAAAUUUGAGUGGUCUCUCCAUCCAGGGUUAUAUGUGUUGGAGUAUGGGUUGUAAUUUGAUGGUUUUCUCAUUACCCCUAUCACAUUGGCUUGAUCUGGGUAUGAGUCGUGGUCAUGUGGUUCUGUUGAUUUAGCAGUCGUUAACGAUGCUAUUUGUCGAGAAAGACCUUCAAUUAUCGCUUUGACUUCUUUAAUUUCUGAACUUCACUCGCCAAUAUGAACCUCAUUUACUCCCUUAAUUCUUUCAGUGUUCCUGAGCGAUCGACUCCGUUGUUGGGAAUUAUCGGCUUGUCGCUGGAAGAAUUCCCAAAUCUCUGAUGCACUUUUUGACAUUAGCUCUCCUCCACUUAUUGCCAUUAGCCAUUCUUGCACAUUCGGCAAUAAUCCCUGCAAAAGGUAUUGGCAUUGGUGCCAUUUCUCGUACCCAUGAUGUGGCACUUCAAGAGUAGCCCAUUGAAUCGCUCCCACGUUUCGAAAAUUGCUCGUCUUCUCUCUAGGUAAACUCUGAGAUUUCCUUGGGAAUAGCAUUGGUUUUAUGCACUGGAAAAUAUUUAUUCAAAAAUUUAGUUACCAUUUGUUCCCAUGAUGUGAUGCUAUUAGCAGGCAAUGUAUUGAGCCAUGAACGAGCUCUAUCCUUUAAAGAAAAUGGGAAUAGUCUAAGUUUAACAUCAUCAUCUGAAAAAUUCUCAUAUUUAAAUGUUUGAUAAACAGUAUGAAAAUUAAUGAUUAUAUGGGUCCUCAUUUUCUAGGCUGUAGAAUGUUGGGAGACAAUUUAGCACACUAGGUUUUAGUUCAAAACUCCUAGCAGCUACAUUUGGGUAUCUUAUGCAAGAUGUGCUCAAAUUAGCUAAGGGACUGAAGUAGUCCUUAAAUGGCCUCUCCUGUGGUACUGCUUGUUGUUGCAAAUCCAUUUUAAUUUUAUUUGCAACAUGUUUGUGUGUGCGAAGUGUUUUUUCUAGUUCAAGGUCUAUAGGUUCAAGAUUAGGUAAUAAUGGUCUUCGACCAUACAUGCAAAGAACACAAAAAUAAAUGGGAACAAAAUAAAUAAAAACAAAGAAGAAGGAGAAAUUAUAGUACUAACCUUAUCACGUUGUUACAACCUUACUAUAAAAACACACUAAAAAAAUUUCGUGAAAUAAAUUAACUAAAAUUAAAAUAAAUUAAUAAGAUAAACAAAAAAAAUUACAAUGAAAAAUAACUUGAAAAUUAAAUUACAAAAUUUUAAAGAAGAGAAAAAGAAAAGAAAUUCUUACCUCUUAAAUGUAGAUUCACUUUUUUUUUUAUAAAAAAAUUACAAGAAAACAAUUAAAAGAAAUUAUUCACAAAAAUUAAUUGUACGAAUUAAAAUAACUUACCUCCCCGGCAACGGCGCCAAAAACUUGUUGUGCAAAUUUUAUUGAACUCGCAAGUGCACGAAUCUAUUGUAGAAUAGAUUAAUGGUGAUGAGUGUCAAUCCCAUGAGGAGGUUGAUUCUAAUUUUGUGUAGAAUUAAUUUUUCUAAAUUGGUGGUUGGAUUUGUGGUAAAAGUAACUUAGAUUAUCCUAAAAUUUGAAUUAAAAUUUGAAUUAUUGUACUAGGGAGCCGGUGAAACCAGGGCGGUAUCUAGACAAGAUUAUUAUUAUUUGUCAACGAAAAGUCAAAACAUCCAUAAACAUUAGCGGGGAAGAGAAAAUAAAUUUACCAAAUAAAGCUCAUGGCACAUGUUGAUACUUCACCUUCAACCCAAGUUUGAAAGAAAAUUAGCUACUCAUAAUUGAACUAGGGGCAAAAUGGAAAUUUAUUAAAAUACGUAGAAAAUACAAGAUGGAGAAGGAAUUACAGAAAAUAGAACCCAAAAAUGGAUUCAGAGAUAUCAAAUUAGGGGGGAGAGGUCCCCUUUUUAUAGAUACAUUGAGUAAAUCAUGGCCAUCGAAUUAAAAACAGUUUGGACGCUCAGAAUUGCGCCAUGUCAUUAGUCAACAGUACGUGGUUUGACCACGCGGUUUGAACAGUCAACCGGUUUGAUUAUCGACACGGUUUGGUUGAAAAUAAUCCUGUGUAUAUGCAUGUACCGUACGCGUAAUUUUUGAUCUACUAACAUGCUGUCACGUCAGUGAUCAACAGUGCAUAAAAAUUCUCUCCAAUGGAAUCGUGACACCUCAUCAGUCAAUGCCACAUCAUCGAUCCGUCUAUUGAACAGUGUCGUGAACAGUAACGUAGACAAUACCAUACAUGUGAAUAGCACUGUACAUGUGAACAGUGACAUUUUCCUUUUAUACUCCUCCUAAGGUUUUCAACUGUCCUGAGUUCAAAAGUGAUGUCUGUUUUGUCGUCUGAUUUCUCGUUCAUUAGGAAAUGACCAUGAUACCUCUAAAAUACAUAAAAUACACAUAAUUAAAUUACAAGAGACUAAAAUACAUAAAACUAAAAGUGUUAGUAAAACUUGAAGUGUAAAAUGACGAUUUUCUCAUUUAUAAAUAUACAUUUUCUAACACUCAACAAGGUGUCAACGAAUGGGGAGCAUUACAUGAAGGAAUAUGAUGCCACUAAAUCUAAUUUUAGUGGUUGAGAUUUUUUAUGUAUGAGAUAUCGAUUUCAUGGGACCAUUUCCCCUUUCUUUUGGCCAUCAAUACAUAUUGGUUGUUGUUGACUAUGUAUCGAAAUAGGUAGAAGCAAUUCCAUGUAGAACCAAUGAUCACAAGGCGGUGAUAGGAUUUUUUAAAAAUAACAUUGUUUAAUGCUUUGGAUUCCCUCAAGCAAUAAUCAGUAAUGGUGGUGCCCACUUUUGUAACAAAGCAUUCAAAGCUCUUUUGACAAAGUAUUCCAUCACUCACAAAGUGGCGACCCGAUAUCAUCCGCAAACCAGUGGCCAAGUUGAGAUCUCCAAUCAAGAAAUAAAGCACAUAUUAGAAAAGAUGGUGAGGUCAAACAUAAAAGAUUUGUCAUUAAGACUUGAUGAUGCAUUAUAGGCAUAUAGAACGGCUUUCAAGACCCCGAUUGGGAUGUCACCCUACAGUCUAGUGUAUGGAAAAGCUUGCCACCUACUUGUGGAACUCGAACAUCGUGCGUACUGGGCCAUCAAGAAAUUCAACUUUGACAUGCAGCAAGCUAGCUCAUAAAGAAGAUUACAGCGAGUAGAACUUGACGAAAUUCACAAUGAUGCAUAUGAAAAUGCCAAGAUUUACAAGCAGCGAAUGAAAGUCUGUCAUGACAGGAAAAUUAUGAGAAAAUCUUUCACCCUAGGUUAGAAAGUGCUUUUAUUCAAUUCUCGCUUGCACCUAUUUGUAUGUAAGUUAUGCUCUCGAUGGUCUGGCCCCUUUAUUGUUCACAUUGUUUUUCCACAUGGGGCAAUUGAAAUUAAGGACACAAAGAAUGGUGUCACUUUUACAGUUAAUGGUCAAAGAUUAAAGUCAUAUCUAGAGUACUAACCACAUGGAGAGGACUCUGAAAUAAAUUUGAGUGAUCCACCAUAUUUGAAUUGAGAUUUUUUUUUCUUUUCGGUGAUUUGAUUUUUUUCUCUUUUUACUAUUCUUUUUCUAAUUGAAAUUAUUUUUACGUAAGUGUGUUUGAUUAACCAUUAAGUUUUCUCUUAUCAUUGUUAAUCAUGAGUGUCUCAACUAAACAGCUCCUCUUGAACAUUCUUAGACAAAUUCAACGUGUAAAAUCUCAUACCAAAAGGCAAAUUCGAUUUUGUAAAACACAUCAUAUUUGGGCUCUACAACCACCAGAGUUAAUAUCCCAUGUUGAGGAUUUAGAAAGCCAACUCAAAGACAUUGAGGGAGGUGUCUACAAUAUCCAGUUGGAGUUUGAGGUAAAUUCAAUAAGAGGACGAUUGUAAGUUUCUUUGUGUGUUUUAGUUUGUUUUUAGGAAAUUUACACUCGUCCACCUGUUUGUUUUGCCUUUUUCAAAAAUACACAAACACUUUUUUUUUUAGCGCGCCACCUGAAGUUUGCUUUUUGUUGCAUUCUUCCACUUCUGCCUAAUUUUCAUUAGUGGAUUUAACGGAAUGUUAACGAAAUGACGUUUUUACCCCUUAAAAUUACAAUUUAACCCAAAAUAAAUGGAAAUUGGAGAUAAAUUGGAUGGAUUUAAUUUUUUUCAAAGGUGGAUGCUAGAAAUUGGAGGAAAAUAGUGUUUGUUGCUUGCUAGAUUUAGAAAAUUUGUAUUUAUUUCAGUGAACUCAAAGAUUUAGAAUACGUUCCUCUAAGGUAAAGAGACCGGAUCUCUGUCGUUAGUUGUAUUUUCUCUUCUCCCUCCAUCCAUUCAGAAUACUAUUUCUGGAAUCCUGAUCUAGUAUUAUCUAUGAGCCUUUAUAUCUGUUGCUAAGCUUGCUUAAAGAUUACAUUAAUUGCUUGGAUCCGAGAGCUUUACAAUGGAAAUUAUUUACAGAUUUUUGUAGAAAGGGAAAAUUUCAAGACAGGAAUAGUUUUCCUUGAUGUUUUGAUCCUGAUUCCCAGAGAGAGAGAGAGAGAGAGAUUUACAAAAAAUUUCUGUAAGCCAAGUUCUGCCUAAAAAAAAAUUACAUAGCUUUGAAUUUAAACAACUGAAGCUUGAAUUGUGGCAAGUCUGUAGCUUCAACUCUAGCGAAACUGUAGAGUCUUUAUGAGGCUGUGGCUUCACAUGCGAGGUUGGUGGAGCGAGUCCUUCUGCACAUGUAAGGGAGAACAUCUUCUUUAUGAUUUUUGUCUUCAUGUGUAGCUGGAGGACAGCAUCUUAAAGUCUUUGUGUUUAAGAAUGGAUGGAUGUAAAUUUAGCAAAAUUUAUAAAUUAGACUUCAACAUUCAAUUAAUAAUUUAGAAUUAAUUCAGUACGUGGCAUUGUUACCAGAUCGAUGCAGAACUUAAUCUGCCUUUGUGACCAGAUCCUUUUUCCUUCCCUGGGUUUCAUAAAACUGCUACGUUCCUCUAAGGUAAAGAGAUCAGAUCUCUGUCCUUAGUUGUAUUUUCUCUUCUCCCUCCAUCCAUUCAGAAUACUAUUUCUGGGAUCCAGAUCUAGUAUUAUCUAUAAGCCUUUAGAUCUGUUGCUAAGCUUGCUUAAAGAAAAUUUUUAAUAUUAUUUUGGUAUAUCGGCUGGAAAACUGAACGUGCGUGAUAUUGAUCUGUUCUAAGUCAAGUGGCUUAAACUUUACUGACUCAGUGAACUCUGACGAACAGUCAAAAUUGUCUGAAGCCACGAUCCAAUCCUGGCUUUCUUCAAGAGGCCUCCUUGCCCCAAGUAAAGACGUAACUAAAGCCCAAAGUACUUUCCUCGCCGAAAGGGCCAAAGCCCAAUCCCUGUUGGCCAGUGCCAAAACCGAGGAUGAGUAUUUCAAAGUUAUGUAGCAACUUCUUGCUACAAGAUCUGAGCCAUCCGUUGCAAGUUCUUCAUCAAGCUCCUCUGGAGAAGCUGAGCCGUUCAUUUCCCUCGGAGAUGAAAACGAAGAUGACUGCUUCGGAAUAUUUUCUCCUUUAAAGCAUUAAAGCUUUGUAAAAAAAAAAAAGAGUAAAGAUUGUCUUAUUUCCUUAUUGUCUUAUUUCCUUGUAAUUAUCAACUGAUUUUUCCUUUUGUAUUUAUCUUUUGGUUUUUGGGUGGUGAGUGUUACCUCUGUGUGCCUUGGUAGUAUUUGGUCGUAAGUCCCGAUUUGAUUGAAGGGCAGUAAAACCAAUUCUUAGCCUUGGAUUGUAGCCAUACCUACAGGACUAAAACUAGAAUAUAGGUUUUUAUCCAUGGAUUCUCUGCUCUGUAGAGCAUCGUCAUUUUCUAGCUCUUCUUCAGGAAGAACUAGUGAUUCAAAGAAUGUUGUAAAUUCGGAAGAAUUUGUAAUUGAAGAUUUUAAUAAAGCAAUUGAUAAUUGGGAAUUACCAAAAGUUAAUAAAGAAAUGAUUUACAAGACAAAAAAGCUUGAUUUCUUUAAGAAUGAUUAUGUUAUAAAAACUGAAGAACGUGAUAUAACCCUUUCAAAGCCUUUUGAAACAAUCAAUUUGUUUUCAAGACAAUCUUUAAAGAAAUUAAAAGAUAAAAAUUUUAAUUAUGUUCGCAUCGGCUUAAUACAAGUCGGCAUAAAACCCCUUACUAAAGAAGGUCUUAAUACCUCCAUUCUUGUUGUACUGAGAGAUGGUCGAUUCAUCUCUUUUGACGAUUCUUUACUAAGUAGUAUAGAAUCAAGUCUUUGUAAAGGUCCUAUUUCAUUUAAUUGUUAUCCAAAUAUAACAAUCUCUUUAAAAGACAAAAACAUUUUAAAAAGCAUGAUUUUACAAAUCAAGACCCAUAAUUAUCACAUGAUUGAGGGAUCUGUCCCUAUUGCCUUGAUUUAUAAAAUCUCAUACAAAGCCAUGAUUUCAGCAUUUAGUACACAACAUAAAUUCCAGUGAAAAAGAGAUGAAACUCUUCUCUUGCAGACUGACCUGUCUAAAGCAAUACUGUUAUUCCAAAACCAAUCCAGUGGAAAGACAUUAAUCUUCCAGAUGAAUGGAUUCUUGAAGGAGCUACUGCUCCAGUAAUUCCAAAACAACUUAAGCCAAAUACAAAGUUGCAAAAUGUGAUUCAGUAUUCUGAUGGUAAAGUCAAAUUAUCCUUUAGGAGAUCUACAUCUUCUAGAUUCUCCGAUAAAGAUUCGUGUUCAAGUAUUCCCUCAUUGAAAGGAAAUUUUCAAAAGUCCCUUCUAUUGUAAAUCUCCCUUUCCAACCAGUAAAAAGUCAACCUAGGUUUUCCACCUUGGAUAUACCUAGUUCCUCUAUCCACACUGUUGACUAUACCACUAGUGUUCCACACCCAAUCUACACUAGCAGUCAACACGAACAAAGCCAGGAAGAGAAAGAACCUUCUCCUCCAACCUCUCCUACGUUUUCUGCUGUCACAGAAAAUGUGAUUAGUGUCAUUGAAAAAGACUUUGAAUUGGACAAAACUCUUCUUCAUAAUGAUUUUUAUUCUGACACUAAUAAAAAAAAAGACUUUAGUUUUUUAAACAUUUCUUAAAACAAAGAAAAGAAAUUCAAGAAACUUAUUAUGAGUUUGUAAAUUUGCAUAAAGUUCAUAGAUUAUUUUUUGAUUGGUUUGAGAUGUAUGCUUCAGAUAACAACAUUUCAUAUCCUUUUAAAGAAUCAAAUCUCAUUACUGUUAGAAAGAAAACCACUGAGUGGAACCUCUCUGGUAGUGGUAGAGUCAUAGAAUCUGAGCAUCCACCUCUUAGAAGUCUAAUCAUUGAACAUGGUGAGCCUCUUAUUGAGAUUAAAGCCUCACCCUAUAAAAUCCAUAAAGAUCCAGAAUCAGAUUUAGAUAGCAUUAUCCAACAAAAUAAUUUUUGUGAUGCUAAUCUAAAUACUAUAGGAAAACAGUUGACUAGAAUAGAAAACCAAUUCCAGAAGUCAACCAUAGCUAUUUCUCUUGUUUCGUCAAAAUCGGAUUCUGACAAAAAACUUAAAGAACUUAUUUUCAAACCUUUUCAGAUUUUGAAAACUAGUCAAAAGCUUGUUCAAGAAUCAAAAUCAGAUUUUGCUAAAGCUAUUAGAGACCAAUUAGAUAGAAUAUAAGCUUUUUUUUCUUCUUCUAAGGUCCAGAUAGCCCCAGAUAGUGCCCAAUCUUACUAGAACAGGACAAUGUUUCUAUAGCCUCUUCUGAUAUAGAAGCAUUUAUAGAGGAGCCUAUUUCCAAAGCCAACAAAAUCCAUUGGGAACUAGCCCUACCUAUUCUCAAGUCUCCACCUGACUUGGCCAUAGACAACAGGCCUGCUGCAUUAAAUCAAUCUCGAUUUAAUGCAUCCUCUAUCUAUGAAUGGAACAUUGAUGGUAUGUUAGAAUAUAACAUCCUAGGUUUAUUGCAACAGAUGACGAUGGCAGCUAAUGCCUAUAAAACUCAGUCGGGAACUUCUGACAAAGCCAUUGUAGAAAUUCUCAUUGCUAGUUUUACUGGUCAACUUAAAGGUUGGUGGGAUCAUCUUCUCACCAAACAACAAUAAUUAGAUAUCCUUAAUUCUAUUCAAGUGGAUGAAAAUGGAGCCCCCAUUCUUGAUGAAUUCAAUAGUNNNNNNNNNNNNNNNNNNNNNNNNNNNNNNNNNNNNNNNNNNNNNNNNNNNNNNNNNNNNNNNNNNNNNNNNNNNNNNNNNNNNNNNNNNNNNNNNNNNNNNNNNNNNNNNNNNNNNNNNNNNNNNNNNNNNNNNNNNNNNNNNNNNNNNNNNNNNNNNNNNNNNNNNNNNNNNNNNNNNNNNNNNNNNNNNNNNNNNNNNNNNNNNNNNNNNNNNNNNNNNNNNNNNNNNNNNNNNNNNNNNNNNNNNNNNNNNNNNNNNNNNNNNNNNNNNNNNNNNNNNNNNNNNNNNNNNNNNNNNNNNNNNNNNNNNNNNNNNNNNNNNNNNNNNNNNNNNNNNNNNNNNNNNNNNNNNNNNNNNNNNNNNNNNNNNNNNNNNNNNNNNNNNNNNNNNNNNNNNNNNNNNNNNNNNNNNNNNNNNNNNNNNNNNNNNNNNNNNNNNNNNNNNNNNNNNNNNNNNNNNNNNNNNNNNNNNNNNNNNNNNNNNNNNNNNNNNNNNNNNNNNNNNNNNNNNNNNNNNNNNNNNNNNNNNNNNNNNNNNUCAUCUUAGAGAUAAGAAUGUUGAGUUACUACAUAACCUGGAUGUAGGAAACUUAGUAAAUUCCAAAGUUAUAAAACCACUUUCUUCACUAGACUCUUUUUAAGAGAUGAUGCCAAUCACAUCACUUGGAAAGAGAAAUUCCUUACAGGAUUACCUACCCUAUUAGGAGAAAAGGUUAGGAAUUCCAUCAAAGCCCUUUAUGACAACCGUAUUCCUUAUGACGAACUCACCUAUGGUGAAUUAGUCAGUUUUGUUAACAAUGAAGAUUUAAAGAUUUGUCAAGAUUUGAAACUUCAGAAACGUCUAAAAUAGGAGCUUAGGAAAUCUAAGCAAGAAUUAGGCAGUUUCUGUAAGCAAUUCAAUUAUGACCCCUUUAAAACUUCUACCUCUAAAGAUUGUAAUGGUAAGUGUUCUUCAAAACCUUACAAAAAAUAUUACAAAUCCAAAAGUCAUAAAAAAUCUUUCCAAGAUUUUAGAGAACCUCCUUAUAAGAAACCUUUGAGGCCUUAUAGGAAACCUAAUUUCUCUAAAAAGAAAGACUUUAGAGCCAAGCAAAAAACCCCUUUUUAAAGACUUUGAAAUUGACACUAUUGCCCUUUUCAAUACUGGUGCCGAUCUAAAUUGUAUUAAAGAAGACAUUGUCCCUAAAAGAUUUCAUGAAAAAACAAAUGAAAGACUCUCAGCCGCCAACAAUUCAAAAUUGAAAGUUAAAUCUAAAGUUGAAGCCUCAGUUCAUAAUAAUGGUUUUAAAUUCAGGACCUCCUUUCUUUUAACGAAUGAUAUCCAUCAUACCGUUAUAUUAGGAAUUCCCUUCAUAAACCUUAUUACCCCUUAUACUGUCAAUUAUGAUAGCAUAUCCUUUAAAGCCAAGACAAAGAAACUUAUUUUUCCUUUCAUUGAAAAGCCCAAAAUAAGAAAUUUAAAUAUUAUUAAAGCUUGUCCUGUUUACCAGAACCAAAUUAACACCCUUCUCAAAUCUAAACAAAAUGACUUGAUUUGUUUAAAAAAGAAUUUGAGUUUACAAAGAAUUGAAAACCAAUUACAAAGUGAAUUUGUAAAAAGGAAAAUCUAAAGACCUCAUCGAAAAGGAAAUAUGUGCUGAUUUACCAUCUGCUUUUUGAAAUAGAAAACAACAAUUGGUAGAUUUGUCUUAUGAAAAUUCUUUUGAUGAAAAACAAAUACCUACUAAAGCCCGUCCAAUCCAAAUGAAUAUGGAAUUGGAACAACACUGUAAAGAAGAAAUAAAAGACUUAGAGUCAAAAGGGCUCAUUAUAAAAUCUAGAUCUCCAUGGUCUUGUGCUGCUUUCUAUGUCAACAAAAAUUCUGAAAUAGAAAGAGGAACACCUAGACUUGUAAUAAAUUAUAAACCCCUUAAUAAAGCAUUAAAAUGGAUUAGGUAUCCUAUACCUAAUAAAAAGAAUUUACUCCAAAAACUACAUUAUGCUUUCGUAUUUUCAAAAUUUGAUAUGAAAUCGGGAUUUUGGUAGAUUCAAAUUCAUCCUAAAGACCGUUAUAAAACUGCUUUCACCGUUCCUUUUGGACAGUAUGAAUGGACUGUCAUGCCAUUCAGUUUAAAAAAUGCACCCUCAGAAUUCCAAAGAAUUAUGAAUGACAUUUAUAAUCCUUUUUCUAGUUUUUGCAUUGUAUAUAUUGAUGAUGCAUUAAUCUUUUCCCAAACUAUUGAACAACAUUUCAAACAUUUAAAGACCUUCUACCUUGCCACUAGAAAAGCCGGCUUAGCCAUUUCCAGUUCUAAAGUUUCCUUGUUUCAAACAAAAAUCAGGUUUCUAGGUCAUUACAUUUCCAAAGGAACCAUUACUCCUAUUGAGCGAUCUCUUAUGUUUGCUAACAAAUUUCCUGAUAAAAUCCUUGACAAAACCCAACUACAAAGAUUUCUAGGAAGUUUAAAUUAUGUUCUUCAUUUCUGUCCUAAUAUCAACAGAAUGUCAAAACCCUUACAUGAUCGCUUAAAAAAGAACCCUGUUGCAUGGACUAAUGAGUAUACUAAAGCUAUUAAACUAAUAAAGAAUUCUGUUAAAAAUAUUCCAUGUUUAUUUCUUGCAAAUCCUGCACUACCUAAAAUUGUUGAAACUGAUGCAUCAGAUUUAGGUUAUGGAGGUAUAUUAAAACAAAAAGAUAAUAAUAAAGAACAAAUAGUACAGUAUGUUUCUGCUCAUUGGAAUAAAUGUCAAAAAAAUUACUCUACUAUUAAAAAAGAGAUUCUUUCCAUUGUAUUAUGCAUUUCUAAAUUUGAAAGUGAUUUAUUAAAUAAAUAUUUUUUACUUAGAAUCGAUUGCAAAGCUGCAAAACAUGUUUUGGAAAAGAUGUUCAAAAUAUUGCUUCAAAACAUAUUUUUGCACGAUAGCAAGCCAUUUUAAGUGUUUUUUAUUUUGAUAUUGAAUUUAUUAAAGGAGAUACAAAUUCUAUCCCUGAUUUUCUAGCCAGAGAAUUUCUUCAAAAUAGAUAAUGCCGCCUGUUGAGUGUUAGAAAAUGCAUAUUUAUAAAGGAGAAAACCGUCAUUUUACAUUUCAAGUCUUACUAACAACCCUUACUUUUAUGUAUUUAACAUUCUUGUGAUUUAAUUACGUGUGUUUUAUUUUAAUUAAGUAAUUUAUGUAUUUUAGGGGCAUUAUAGUCAUUUCAUGAUAAAGGAGAGAUCAGACGGCAAAACGGACAUCACUUUUGAACUCAGGACGGUCGAAAACCUUAGGAGGAGCAUAAAAGGAAAAAUGACACUAUUCACAUGUACGGUACUAUUCACGUAUACGGGACUGUAUACGUUACUGUUCACGGCACUGUUCACAUAGACGGAUCGAUGACGUGGCAUUGACCGAUGAUGUGGCAUUGACUGAUGAGGUGUCACGAUCCUGUUGGACUAAAAUUCUUAUGUACUGUUGAUGGUGACGUGGCAGCAUAUCAGUGGACGAAAAAUCUCGCGUACGGUGCAUACAUCACACAGGAUUAUUUUCAACCAAACCGCGUUACUGUUCAUCCGGGUCAAACCGCGUUACUAUUCAAAGUCGGGUCAAACCGUGUUACUGUUCAUCCGUGUGGUCAAACCGUGGACUGUUGACUGAUGACGUGGCGCAAUCCUGAGCGUCCAAACUGUUUUUAAUCCGAUGGCCAUGAUUUACUCCAUGUAUCUAUAAAAAGGGGGCCUCUCCCCCCUAAUUUGAUAUCUCUGAAUCCAUUUUUGGGAUCCAUUUUCUGUAAUUCCUUCUCCAUCUUGUAUUUUCUUCGUAUUUUAAUAAAUUCCCAUUUUGCCCCUAGUUCAAUUAUGAGUGGCUAAUUUUCUUUCAAGCUUGGGUUGAAGGUGAAGUCUCAACAUGUGUCAUGGGCUUAAUUUGGUAAAUUUACUUUCUCUUCCCCUCUAAUUUUUGUGGAUGUUUUGACUUCUCGUCGACAAAUAAUACUAAUCUUGUCUGGUACCGCCUUGGUUUCACCGGCCCUCUAGUACAAGGUUAUUAUUAUUUGGCACGAUAAGCCCUUAGCACCAUAUUGAUUAGAGCGUGGUUCAUGAGGUGUGGAUUCCCCCCUCAUGAUUUAAUUGGCAUUAAUACGGAUUAUUUAGCCCAUGAUGCAUGUUGAUACGGAUCCAGAUACCCAAGUACGUCAUUUCAAUCUAAUUCUCGUCAAUUUAUUCUCGCCAUUUCAAUACCAAUUUUAGAAUUUAUCCUCGCCAUUUUAAUUUAAGUUUUAGCAUAUUCCAAAUCAUUUCCACCAUAAAUCCAAUCACCCAUUUACAAAAUUAAUUCUACACAAUUAAAAUCCACCUCCUCGUGGGAUCGACACUCGUCACCAUAGAUCUAUACUACAAUAGAUUCGUGCGCUUGCGAGUACAUUAAAAUUUGCACAACAAGUUUUUGGCGCCGUUGCCGGGGAGGUAAGUAAUUUUAAUUCAUAGAAUUAAUUUUUUUGAAUAAUUUCUUUUAUUUGUUUUCUUGUAUUUUUUUAUUAAAUUAAAAAAAAGAAAAAAAAAGUGAAUCUACAUUUAAAGGUUAGUAUUUCUUUUCUUUUUCUCUUCUUUAAAAUUCUGUAAUUUAAUUUUCCAUUUAUUUUUCUUUGUAAUUUUUUUUAUUUAUCUUAUUAAUUUAAUUUUUAGUUAAUUUCUUUCACGUAUUUAUUUUUGUGUAUUUUUAUAGAAAUGUUGUAAUAGCGUAAUAAGGUUAGUAUCGUAAUUUCUCCCUCUUCUUUAUUUUUAUUUGUUUUGUUCCCAUCUUUAUUUUUUGUUCUGUUUGCAUCUUUAUUUUUAUUUUAUUUAUUUUGCAUGCAUGGUCGUAGGUCAUUAUUACCUAAUCUUGAACCUAUAGAUCUUGAACUAGAAAAAACACUUCGCACACAAAAGCACAUUAAAAAUAAAUUUGGAAUGGAUUUACAAGCACCACAAGAGAGGCCAUUUAAGGACUAUUUUAGUCCCUUAGCUAAUUUGAGCACAUCAUGCAUAAGAUACCCAAAUGUAGCUGCUAGGAGUUUUGAAUUAAAACCUAGUGUGCUAAAUUGUCUCCCCACAUUUUAUGGCCUAGAAAAUGAGGAUCCAUAUAAUCAUCUGAAUGAUUUUCAUGCUAUUUGUCAAACUUUUAAAUACGAAAAUUUUUCAGAUGAUGAUGUAAAGCUUAGAUUAUUCCCAUUUUCUUUAAAGGAUAGAGCUCGUUCAUGGCUUAAUACAUUGCCUGCCAAUAGCAUUUCAUCAUGGGAACAAAUGGUAACUAAAUUUUUGAAUAAAUAUUUCCCAGUGCAUAAAACCAAUGCUAUUCGCAGGGAAAUCUCGGAGUUUACCCAGAGAGAGGACGAGCAAUUUUUCGAAACAUGGGAGCGAUUCAAUGGGCUACUCUUGAAGUGUCCACAUCAUGGGUACGAGAAAUGGCACCAAUGUCAAUACUUUUUGGAGGGAUUACUACCAAAUGUGCAAGAAUGGCUAAUGGCAACAAGUGGAGGAGAGCUAAUGUCAAAAAGUGCAUCAGAAAUUUGGGAAUUCUUCCAGCGACAAGCGGAUAAUUCCCAACAACGGAGUCGAUCACUCAGGAAUACUAGAAGAAUUAAAGGAGUAAAUGAGGUUCAAAUUGGCGAGUCAACUUCGGGAAUCAAAGAAGUCAAGGAGAUGGUUGAAGGUCUUGCUCGACAAAUAGCAUCGUUAUCGACUGCUAAAUCAACAGAACCACAUGACCAUGACUCAUACUCAGAUCAAGCCAAUGCCAUAGGUGUAAUGAGAAAGCCAUCAAAUUACAACCCAUACUCCAACACAUAUAAUCCUGGAUGGAGAGACCACCCCAAUUUUUCAUGGUCUCAAGGAUUCCAACAGAAUGGACCAGCAGCUCCAGCUCCACCAAUGCAACAAAUUCCUCAAGUUCCUCAAGCCUCUCAGCCACCAUUUAGACCAUACAAUCAGAAUCAGAAUUUCUCUCAACCCAGACCAUGGGAGGAUUCAUUCCAGAAUCUCAAGAAUCUUACUCACUCCACGAUUGAGCAACAAAACCGCACCAUUGAUGGACUACGAAAUGAGUUGAGAGCAGGUUUCAACUCACAAGCUCAAUCAGUUUCAAGCCUAGAAAAGAUGGUGGGACAACUUGCUUCUUCAGUUCAGACCUUGGCAAUGACUGUUGAGAAAGGCAAGUUUCCAAGUCAACCAGUACCUAAUCCUAAAGGAGUGCAUGAAGCAAGUACCAGUUCACCACAGCAGCAUGGAGAGGUCAAAGCAGUCAUGACCUUACGAAAAGGAAAAGAAGUCGACAACAAAGUGGAGAUGCCAGUAAUAAAAGAAAAUCAAAUUGUACCUGUGAGUGUUGAUGACUCAUCACCGGAGGAGAAAGAAGAAACCAACCCACGAGAAUACGUUCCCAAAGCUCCAUUCCCCCAGAGGUUAGCUAAAGGCAAGAAGGGAAAAUCCACAGGUGAGAUUCUCGAAAUCUUCAAACAGGUAAGUGUUAACAUCCCUUUGCUUGAUGCUAUUAAGCAAGUUCCAUCUUAUGCCAAGUUUCUUAAAGACCUUUGUACUAAAAAGAGAAACAUGCAUGUUCAAAAGAAGGCAUUUUUAACAGAAAACGUUAGUUCUAUACUCCAACAUAAAAUUCCUUUAAAAUGCAAAGACCCAGGCUCCCCCACUAUCUCAUGUAGUAUAGGGAACCACACAAUUGAGAAUGCUUUGUUGGAUUUAGGAGCUAGUGUAAAUUUGUUGCCUUAUUCAGUAUUUGUGAAACUUGGACUUGGAGAAUUACACCCAACUCCAGUGGUGUUACAGCUUGCAGAUCGGUCCACGAAAAUACCUCGUGGUAUUGUGGAGGACGUGCUUAUCCAGGUAGACAAGUUUUAUUUUCCUGUUGAUUUUAUUGUAAUUGACACUCAACCAAUACAGGAUUCAAGGAAGCACAUCCCCAUUAUUCUAGGCCGACCUUUCUUGGCAACUGCAGAUGCUCACAUUCAAUGCAGGACUGGAAAUAUGCAGUUGUCCUUCGGCAACAUGACUAUGGAGCUAAACAUUUUCAACAUUGCCAAACAACCUCACAGUGCAGAUGAUGGAAUUGUUGAUGUGGAUUUAAUUGAAGCAUUAGUUGAUGAUACUUUUGUUUCAAACCUUAGUGAUCCUUUACAAACAUGUUUAACUCACUUUGGUUUGGAUUUUGAUAUUGACAGAUCGGUCGAUGAGGUCAAUGCCCUGCUUGACUCAGCACCAUCUAUGGACACUAAUAAAUGGAAGUCAAGAGUUGAGCAACUAGCACCAUCAGAGAAGCAACUCAUUCCAUCGUCAGAAUCACCACCGAAACUCGAGCUCAAACCAUUGCCCAACACAUUGGAAUAUGCAUUUUUGGGAGAAGAAAGUACUCUGCCGGUAAUCAUCUCAUCAUCCCUAAAUGACGAACAAAAAGGUAAGUUGUUGGAUGUUUUAAAAGAGCACAAAGGAGCAUUAGGAUGGAUCAUAGCAGACAUUAAAGGUAUAAACCCAGUAGACUGCAUGCAUUACAUUCACCUUGAUGAAAAUGCUAAAUCUACUAGGGAAAUGCAACGUCGGUUAAAUCCUAAUAUGAAAGAAGUUGUUAGAACUGAAGUCCUUAAGCUAUUAGAUGCAGGUAUCAUUUACCCCAUUUCUGAUAGUUCAUGGGUCAGUCCUGUACAAGUUGUCCCCAAAAAGUCAGGAGUUACAGUAGUUACGAAUGCUGAUAAUGAAUUGAUACCCACUAGAGUGACUACAAGAUGGCGUGUAUGCAUUGAUUAUAGAAAGUUGAAUUCUGUCACACGUAAAGACCAUUUUCCUUUACCAUUUAUUGAUCAAAUGCUUGAUAGAUUAGCAGGCCAUGAAUUUUAUUGCUUUCUAGAUGGCUACUCAGGAUAUAAUCAGAUUCCCAUAGCACCAAAAGAUCAAGAGAAAACUACUUUCACUUGCCCUUUUGGCACAUUUGCAUAUAGGAGAAUGCCAUUUGGAUUAUGUAAUGCACCUGCUACAUUUCAACGAUGCAUGUUGAGCAUUUUUUCUGAUAUGGUUGAACGAUUCCUUGAAAUCUUUAUGGAUGACUUUUCUGUCUUUGGUGACUCGUUUGAUCAAUGUUUACAUCAUCUAACACUAGUUCUGCAGAGAUGUAUUGAGAAGAACUUGAUCUUAAAUUGGGAGAAAUGCCAUUUUAUGGUAAAACAAGGUAUUGUUCUCGGUCACAUCAUUUCGAGCAAAGGUAUUGAGGUUGACAAAGCCAAGGUGGAUCUCAUUUCUAAUCUUCCUCCACCUAAAACAAUCAGAGAAGUAAGAUCUUUCCUUGGGCAUGCUGGUUUUUAUAGACGUUUCAUUAAAGAUUUUAGCAAAGUUUCUAGACCCUUAUGCAAUCUACUUGCUAAGGAUGUACCUUUUAUCUUUAAUGAUUCAUGUCUUAUGGCGUUUGAAAAAUUAAAACAGUUGUUGACAUCAUCACCCAUCAUUCAGGCCCCAAACUGGAGCUUACCAUUUGAGCUAAUGUGUGAUGCAUCUGAUUAUGCAGUAGGAGCAGUAUUAGGACAAAGAGUUGAUCGAAUUCCCCACGUUAUUUACUAUGCUAGUAUGACAUUAAAUGAUGCACAGUUGAACUAUUCAACUACUGAAAAAGAAAUGCUAGCAGUAGUGUUUGCAUUGGAAAAAUUUCGAUCAUAUCUCAUUGGUUGUAAAAUAAUUAUAUUCACGGAUCAUGCUGCUCUUAAAUAUCUUCUCACAAAGAAAGAUGCAAAAGCCAGACUAUUUCGUUGGGUGUUACUUUUGCAGGAAUUUGACUUGGAAUUCAAAGAUAAGAAAGGGACAGAAAAUGUUGUGGCGGACCAUCUCUCUCGUCUCCAUUUUGACACAAUUAUAGAACAAUUACCAUUAAAUGAGUCAUUUCCAGAUGAACAAUUAAUGAGUGUGGAAGUAUUACCUUAGUAUGCUGAUAUAGUUAAUUAUCUUGUUACAGUUAAACUUCCAGAGCAUUGGACCAAGCAAGAUAAGGCUAAAUUCUUUGCAGAGAUAAAGAAUUUCUUUUGGGAUGACCCGUAUUUGUUCAAGUAUUGUGCAGACCAAAUUGUUAGACGAUGUGUCCCAGAAAGUGAAAUUCAGAAUAUCCUUUCAUUCUGCCAUGAACAAGCUUGUGGAGGCCAUUUCAGUGCUAAGAAAACCGCGACUAAAGUUUUACAAUGUGGUUUUUAUUGGCCAACUAUAUUUCGAGAUGCUUACACUUUCUGUUCUUCAUGUGAUAGGUGUCAACGAAUGGGGAGCAUUACGCGAAGGAACAUGAUGCCACUAAAUCCAAUUUUAGUGGUUGAGAUUUUUGACGUAUGGGGUAUCGACUUCAUGGGACCCUUUCCCCCGUCUUUUGGUCAUCAAUACAUAUUGAUUGCUGUUGACUAUGUAUCAAAAUGGGUAGAAGCUAUUCCAUGUAGGACCAAUGAUCACAAGGUGGUGAUAGCAUUUUUAAAAAGCAACAUUGUUUCACGCUUUGGAUUCCCUCGAGCAAUAAUCAGUGAUGGUGGUGCCCACUUUUGUAACAAAGCAUUCAAAGCUCUUUUGACAAAGUAUUCAAUCACACACAAAGUGGCGACCCCGUAUCAUCCGCAAACCAGUGGCCAAGUUGAGAUUUCCAAUCGAGAAAUAAAGCACAUAUUAGAAAAGACGGUGAAGCCAGACAGAAAAGAUUGGUCAUUAAGACUUGAUGAUGCCUUAUGGGCAUAUAGAACGGCUUUCAAGACCCCGAUUGGGAUGUCACCCUACAGGCUAGUAUAUGGAAAAGCUUGCCACCUACCUGUGGAACUCGAGCAUCGUGCAUAUUAGGCUAUCAAGAAAUUCAAUUUUGACAUGCAGCAAGCCAGCUCAGAAAGAAGAUUACAGCUGGCAGAACUUGAAGAAAUUCGCAAUGAUGCAUACAAAAAUGCCAAGAUUUACAAGCAACGAAUGAAAGUCUUCCAUGAUAAGCAAAUUAUGAGAAAAUCGUUUACUCCAGGUCAGAAAGUGCUUUUGUUCAAUUCUCGCUUGCACCUAUUCCCAGGUAAGUUACGCUCUUGUUGGUCUGGUCCCUUUAUUGUUCAUACUGUUUUUCCACAUGGGGCAAUUGAAAUUAAGGACCCAAAGAACGGUGUCACGUUUAAAGUUAAUGGUCAAAGAUUAAAGCCAUAUCUAGAGUACCAACCACAUGACGAAGACACCGAAAUAAAUUUGAGUGACCCACCAGAUUUGAAUUGAUUUUUUUUCUUUUCGUUGAUUUGAUUUUUCUUUCUUUCUUUUUAUUAUUAUUCUUUUGCUAAUUGAAAUUGUUUUUGCAUAAGUGUGUUUAUUUUACCAUUAAGUUUUCUCUUAUCAUUUUUAAUCAUGAGUCUCAUACUUAGACCGUUCCUCCUGAACAUUCUUAAACCACUUCAACGUGUCAAAACUCAUCUCAAAAGGCAGAUUCAAUUUUGUAAAACACAACGCAUUUGGGCUCUACAACAACCAGAGUUAGUAGCCUAUGUUGAGGGUUUAGAACGCCAACUCCGAGACAUUGAGAGAAGUGUUUACGACAUCCAGUUGGAGCUUGAGGUAAAUUUAAUAAGAGGACGAUUUUAAUUUUCUUUGUGUGUUUUAAUUUGUUUUUCUGUUUGUGUGCUUUAGUUUGUUACCCCGGUGAAGUGGCGGAUAACGGUACUCCGUGACAAUCAAGUUGGUUACUUCAGUUUCCCAUAAUAACUGAUAUUCUAAGGCGAAGGUAUGGACAGAAACGAGAUUCUAGCGAAGCUUCACAAGCGAUUCCCUUCACUUCCUCAGAAUGCCCUCCUUACGAUCUAUAAAGCUCGGUCCGAACGCAUGCGAUUACUCAUGAGGAAUAACAUACCUGCUGACAUCCGUUGGUUAAUCGAGGCUAAAGUACAAUCGGCAGGUGAGUUACCUCCAAAAUUUAUUGCAUUCAUGCCUGGUUGUGGUAAAGGAAAUUAUGCAAGAAAACGACGAGCUCGAAGAAUUUCUGUUGCUUGUCAUAAGUGUGCCAGAAUGAGUUGCAAUAAAAACCCAUGUUCUUUAGGAAUGGUGUCUGAUAACAGGGAAGAUAAGAUUCAAUUCAUUAGGGAUGGCUUGAAUAAGGAGUCAUUGGAUGAUAUCCUUUUGUCUCUUGAAACGCAUCCCAGUGGAUAUGUGCAAGGAGCGAUUCUCCAGUUAUGGCCAUUAUUCCAGAAAGAGCAUGCACGAUAUAGUCUUGGGAAUCUGACUAUAAACGACCCUGUUUGCCAGUUUAUAAGAAAGCUGGAUAGGAAGCCUAUCCUCGACCCAUAGAGGGCGUUCAAGCCGUUUCUGGACGUAAAACCAGAGGAAGAUGUGAGCCACAGUCGCAACUACCUGUAAAUAUCCUUUUACUUUAUUGUUAUUUUAUUUCACUAUUGUCUUAUUGUUUGCAUUAUUGUCUUUAAUAAUUUUAUUACUGUUUGCUUUUUCCUUUUUACUGUUUUCUUUUUGACUUGCGAGCCACGUGCUUUACGCGUUAUUUGACACUGACAUAUUACCUCAUACACAACCAUGACCCACUAUCACCAAGAUUCUUAAAUGUGAUUUCUUUUUUGUCAAGCACUCACAAAUUGUUUUUGAGAAGUAUCACAAUGUCAGCUACUCCCAAUAGACAAUUCAAGAACAUUUGUGUGCUUUCUGGAUUUACAUAUGGCAAACAUAAAGAGUUCGUUGAGGCAGCCAUAGAUCUUGGUCGAAGCAUAGCAGCGAGAAAAUUACACUUGGUGUAUGGAGGAGGUAAUCGAGGGUUAUCAAAAAUGGUCUCAGAAGCAGCUUUUAUCAGAGGAAGUCAAGUGUUAGGAAUCAUCCCAAGAGUCUUAAAACCAUUGGACAGUUCGUCUGACUCAUCAACUGGAGAAGAGUUAGUCGUCUCAGGUAUGCAAGAAAGAAUAACUGAAAUGCUUAAUCAUGCUGAUGCUUUUAUUUUCCUUCCAGGAGAUCUUGCAACACUAGAGGCACUUAUCACGCUAGCAUCUUGGGCCCAUCUGCACAUCCACCAAAAACCCAUCGGUUUGUUAAAUGUCAAUAACUUUUAUGAUGGCUUUAUCGCAUUUCUUAACCAUGCAAUAAAAAACUAUUUCAUUCCCGCUAAUAUGAAAAAACUCUUUAUUUGUGCUCACACUGCUAAUGAGCUACUUGAUCUGUUACAAGCUUAUAAACCGGAGCCAGACCCCUGGACCUUUGUGUUGGAGCGCCCAAAUAAUGAUGGUAACAGUAGCCGCAGUAAGAAGUACAAAUUAGAUUUAACUCUCCGCUUGUAAAUAUUAUUUUCUGUGUUGCACCACCCAGGUGAUGUCUUCUAAACUCUACUUCUUUCCUUUGAAACAUUGAGGACAAUGUUUCGUUCUGGUUGGGGGGAGGGAAUAGUCGACAAUUGUGGAAUUUUGGUUAAGUUUUUACUAAUUUUUGUUGUAGAAACUAACUGUUGCUAACUUUUUGUGUCGAAGAUGGCUGAAUAUGGAGUGUAGUGACUCUAGAAACGCAUCUUCAUCGUAAAAAAAAAAAAAUUAAAAAACUAAAAAAACAAAAUAAAAAUUUCAGACAUUUUUUUUUCUUUAUUAUAUGUUUAUGUUUAUUUUUCUUCUUUUUAAUUUCUCCUCUAUCAAUAUACAUUUUCCAACUUUUGAGUCGAAGAUGGCUGAAUAUGGAGUGUAGUUCCUCUAGAAACGCAUCUUCUUUAAAAAAUAAAAAUAAAAAAUUAUUUUCGUUUUCUAUCAUUUUACGUGUAACUUUUCUAAUUAGUUUUUAUGCAUCAUUUUCACAUUUCUGCAUGCAUAUUUUCCUUUCAUGUUUAGAAUAGGUUGGGGGGUAGAAUGUUGUUUAAAAAAAAAAAUUGUGUGAUUUGUUUUAACAUUGGAUGACAUGAUUAAUUUUAAAUUUUAGUAUUUGUAUUAUCUUUGGUCUUAAGUGAUGUUACGCUAUGUUUGCUACUCUACAUGUUGAUGUCGGAGACAAAUAUGCGUUGCUUGAAGGAAUGAACAUGUCAUAAUAAGUAUCAAGUGAGUUUUUGAGCCUAGCAUUUUUCUUGGAGAGUAACCCUUUUGCCCAUUCUUUAUACAGCUUAACAGUUUAUUAUUGUAUACACGAUCUCUAGAUUUCUUUUGAGUUAACCCUUAAUAAAAAAAAGAAAAAAAAAGUGUGUUGCUACAUUUGGAGGCCCAUCUAACUAGUAGAUAUGGAAGGUUAUUUAGAGCCCUAAAAGACGAUGGAAAGGCCAUCUUUGAUCCGUUUGAGCCUUUCUAGCCAUCCCUUUUAUUAAAUAUCCAUAGUUAACUCUUUUGAGCCUUUAAAAAAAAAAAAAAAAAAAACAUUUUCUUUGUCAACUUAUUAUCUUGACCCACUCCGAUUUGGAGUAUUAUCCGAUAUCUUAUAAGUUCCAUCACCUAUUUAUGUUUGAGAAAAUGUAAAUAAUUAUGUUGUUCAGUGAAGUUAUACCAAAAAAAAAAAAGCAAAAAAAAAAAAACAACAAAACAAAAGUUGUUGUUUCAAAAAAAAUAAAAAUAACAAUAAUAGGUGAAAUCCACCUUGCAACUUCCAAAAAAUAAAAAAAAUAAUAAAAAAAUUCUUUGCAUUUUUCUCAAACAUACACUUUGUUUUCCUUAUUUCCUUUCUUUGUUAACCAUGUCCCUAGCUUACGUUACAUCCUAAUAAAAGUCCUUCCUGAUUUUAGGGAACUAUAAUCUGAAGUAGAAACUAGUUAUAUGGGCUAAAAAGAUGUAGUGAUGCAUAAUUAAAAAAAAAAAGAUAAAUAAAGUGGGUUGACUAACAUUUUAUUUGACUUGAGAUCGUAUUAUUUCUAAGCUGAGGGCAUAUUUAUUUCAUCUUGGUGAGAGCAUGUGAUAUCACUUCUUUAUUAUUUUCUCUCUCAAUUACCAUUCAUUGGAGUGACUAUUUUUAUUGGGUUUAAUUUAUUUGUGAGAGUGUCACUACUUCCAGUGAGAUUUUGGGGUUUGACAUGUCAUUCUUGAAAGUAACUAUAACAAAGUCUACUGGGCUAAUUCAUGUGGAUGGUUGAUGUGGGUGUGAUGUUACUUUAGACUGGAGAUAAUGCUUAUACUUUUAUUUGAUUGCUAUCAUUAAUCUGAUUGAAUAAACACAAGUGUUUCUAAAAAAAAAAAAAAAAAUCAUUUUGAAUUUGAAUUUUGUUUUCGCUUUAUUUGCUAGGGACUAGCAAUAAGCUGGUUGGGGGGUGUGUUGAGUGUUAGAAAAUGCAUAUUUAUAAAGGAGAAAACCGUCAUUUUACAUUUCAAGUCUUACUAACAACCCUUACUUUUAUGUAUUUAACAUUCUUGUGAUUUAAUUACGUGUGUUUUAUUUUAAUUAAGUAAUUUAUGUAUUUUAGGGGCAUUAUAGUCAUUUCAUGAUAAAGGAGAGAUCAGACGGCAAAACGGACAUCACUUUUGAACUCAGGACGGUCGAAAACCUUGGGAGGAGCAUAAAAGGAAAAAUGACACUAUUCACAUGUACGGUACUAUUCACGUAUACGGGACUGUAUACGUUACUGUUCACGGCACUGUUCACAUAGACGGAUCGAUGACGUGGCAUUGACCGAUGAUGUGGCAUUGACUGAUGAGGUGUCACGAUCCUGUUGGACUAAAAUUCUUAUGUACUGUUGAUGGUGACGUGGAAGCAUAUCAGUGGACGAAAAAUCUCGCGUACGGUGCAUACAUCAUACAGGAUUAUUUUCAACCAAACUGCGUUACUGUUCAUCCGGGUCAAACCGCGUUACUAUUCAAAGUCGGGUCAAACCGUGUUACUGUUCAUCCGCGUGGUCAAACCGUGGACUGUUGACUGAUGACGUUGCGCAAUCCUGAGCGUCCAAACUGUUUUUAAUCCGAUGGCCAUGAUUUACUCCAUGUAUCUAUAAAAAGGGGGCCUCUCCCCCCUAAUUUGAUAUCUCUGAAUCCAUUUUUGGGAUCCAUUUUCUGUAAUUCCUUCUCCAUCUUGUAUUUUCUUCAUAUUUUAAUAAAUUCCCAUUUUGCCCCUAGUUCAAUUAUGAGUGGCUAAUUUUCUUUCAAGCUUGGGUUGAAGGUGAAGUCUCAACAUGUGUCAUGGGCUUAAUUUGGUAAAUUUACUUUCUCUUCCCCUCUAAUUUUUGUGGAUGUUUUGACUUCUCGUCGACAAAUAAUACUAAUCUUGUCUGGUACCGCCUUGGUUUCACCGGCCCUCUAGUACAAGGUUAUUAUUAUUUGGCACGAUAAGCCCUUAGCACCAUAUUGAUUAGAGCGUGGUUCAUGAGGUGUGGAUUCCCCCCUCAUGAUUUAAUUGGCAUUAAUACGGAUUAUUUAGCCCAUGAUGCAUGUUGAUACGGAUCCAGAUACCCAAGUACGUCAUUUCAAUCUAAUUCUCGUCAAUUUAUUCUCGCCAUUUCAAUACCAAUUUUAGAAUUUAUCCUCGCCAUUUUAAUUUAAGUUUUAGCAUAUUCCAAAUCAUUUCCACCAUAAAUCCAAUCACCCAUUUACAAAAUUAAUUCUACACAAUUAAAAUCCACCUCCUCGUGGGAUCGACACUCGUCACCAUAGAUCUAUACUACAAUAGAUUCGUGCGCUUGCGAGUACAUUAAAAUUUGCACAACACCGCCCAAGAAGAAAGACAAAGGAAAAGCUGUUCUUAAAGACAUUGAAUCACAUCCGACCUCCAAAGAACCCCAAUCAACCCCCUCUAAAGAAAAAUUACUUUCUUCUGCCAUGCCCAUCAAAUCCUGGAUUGAAAUGGUUGAAGAACAAGAAGCCCAGUAUAAAGCCAUUACCUCCGAAGACCAAGUAAAAGAAUGGAUGAACUCCAUUACAAAUUCUCCAGAGCUUAUGCUCGUAUUACAAAAUAUUUCCCAAACUAAAGCCCUUUCUCAAGUCUCUGAGAAAGAAAAACCUAUUUCUAAAGCAUUAUCAAAACCUUCUUCCUCUAAAGAAAUUGUUUUAUGUGAAAGCUCUUUUUCACAAAUUGUUAUUUCUCAAUCAAAGCUUUCACAAAAAUCCUCGGAUUGGUUUAAUAAAGCCUAUCAACAAAAUGUUUUAUCAAUGGAGGAUGGGUUUUAUCAUUCUGAUCUAUUUCAAGCAAUUUCAAAGAUUUUCCCGAAAGGCUGGUUUUUCAAACCAUGGAAUUUAUCAAUACCCCAGUCUUUCUACCAAAGCAUUCUUGAGUUCACUGAGUCAGUAAAGUUUAAGCAUUUCUUCCUUAGUGAAGCUCAUUCUGAGCCAGCCUAUUCCACAGCUACCAUUCUUAAAGUCUUAAGCCCAAAUCAGUGGGGUGACCAACUCCACAAGCCAAAAACUUUUCCCGCCAAUUUCCAAAGACGUUUAAACCAUUGCCCAUCUUUCUCCUACUGGGAUUAUCAACAGCCCUGGUUUAACACCUUUUUUAUCCAAAACCCCAAAAGAUCUCACUCUUGGUUAUUUUUCUUUAAUUCAAAAAUAACCGUCCAAAGCCUUCCAAACUGGUUCCAAAUUUGGUGGAACUACUUUGGGCCAAGCCUAGAAAUUUUAACCCCAAAUGCCAUCAAAUAUUUAAAUCUUUUUAAAGCCCAUUAUGUUCCUUCUGAGUCUGAGAAGAGGUUUCCUCCUUUUCUCUGUUUCUGUACAAACUUUUUCCUUCCCUGGGUUUGGAUGUGGAAUUUCCAAUACCACACCAUAGACACCCAACUAGUCCUACAAAGAACCUUCAAAGUCAAAUGGUGGUCUAAAUUUGACGAACAGUCAAAAUUGUCUGAAGCCACGAUCCAAUCCUGGCUUUCUUCAAGAGGCCUCCUUGCCCCAAGUAAAGACGUAACUAAAGCCCAAAGUACUUUCCUCGCCGAAAGGGCCAAAGCCCAAUCCCUGUUGGCCAGUGCCAAAACCGAGGAUGAGUAUUUCAAAGUUAUGUAGCAACUUCUUGCUACAAGAUCUGAGCCAUCCGUUGUAAGUUCUUCAUCAAGCUCCUCUGGAGAAGCUGAGCCGUUCAUUUCCCUCAGAGAUGAAAACGAAGAUGACUGCUUCAGAAUAUUUUCUCCUUUAAAGCAUUAAAGCUUUGUAAAAAAAAAAAAGAGUAAAGAUUGUCUUAUUUCCUUGUUGUCUUAUUUCCUUGUAAUUAUCAAUUGAUUUUUCCUUUUGUAUUUAUCUUUUGGUUUUUGGGUGUCCCUUGGACACAAGUGAGAGCGCACAUGUCUCUUCACCCAACUUUUGCUUCACCCCUUAAAGUCAAAAGCACCUCCUUUAGUAAAAUCAUUUUACCAAAGCUAAAGGUCCCAGCCAUGUGAAGCUUCUCGAAUUUCUCCAAAGCUGUUGUUGCCUUUCAUGAUGUUGUCCUCCAGCUACACAUGAAGACAAAAAUCAUAAAGAAGAUGUUGUCCCUUACAUGAGCAGAAGGACCCGCUCCACCAACCUCGCAUGUGAAGCCACAACCUCAUAAAGACUCUAUAGUUUCGCUACAGUUGAAGCUACAGACUCACCAUAGUUCAAGCUUCAGUUGUUUAAAUUCAAAGCUAUGUAAUUUUUUUUAGGCAGAACUUGGCUUACAGAAAUUUUUUGUAAAUCUCUCUCUCUCUCUCUCUCUGGGAAAUCAGGAUCAAGACAUCAAGGAAAACUAUUCAUGUCUUGAAAUUUUCCCUUUCUACAAAAAUCUAUAAACAAUUUCCAUUGUAAAGCUCUCGGAUCCAAGCAAUUAAUGUAAGCAUCUCUCAUUUAAUCUAUUUAAAGUUUAACUUCAAUUCAAUGCAUGUUUAAAUUUCUGUAUUUUAUUUAAAGUUUUUAAAUUUCAUAAAACUGCUACGUUCCUCUAAGGUAAAGAGACCAGAUCUCUGUCCUUAGUUGUAUUUUCUCUUCUCACUCCAUCCAUUCAGAAUACUAUUUCUGGGAUCUAGAUCUAGUAUUAUCUAUGAGCCUUUAGAUCUGUUGCUAAGCUUGCUUAAAGAAAAUUUUUAAUAUUAUUUUGGUAUAUCGGCUGGAAAACAGAACGUGCAUGAUAUUGAUCUGUUCUAAGUCAGAUUUGGUCACAAAGGCAGAUUAAGUUCUGUAAAGCUCUCGGAUCCAAGCAAUUAAUGUAAGCAUCUUCAUUAUUAAUUGAAUAUUGAAGUCGAAUUUAUAAAUUUUGCUAAAUUUACAUCCAUCCUUCGAUCCUAUUUCCUUACUGGUAUCAGUAAGGACGACCAUCUCUCAGACAAUAAGGAAAUAAGAUAAUUUGUAUCUCCUUCAGUAUCUCCUCUAUAAAUGCUUCUAUAUAAGAUUUUAAUAAAGCAAUUGAUAAUUUGGAAUUACCAAAAGUUAAUAAAGAAAUGAUUUACAAAACAAAAAAGCUUGAUUUCUUUAAGAAUGAUUAUGUUAUAAAAACUGAAGAACAUGAUAUAAUCCUUUCAAAGCCUUUUGAAACAAUUAAUUUGUUUUCAGAAUAAUCUUUAAAGAAAUUAAAAGAUAAAAAUUUUAAUUAUGUUCACAUCGGCUUAAUACAAGUCGACAUAAAACCCCUUACUAAAGAAGGUCUUAAUACCUCCAUUCUUGCCGUACUGAGAGAUGGUCGAUUCAUCUCUUUUGACGAUUCUUUACUAAGUAGUAUAGAAGUCUAAUUUACGCCAAUCCUAUAUUUCCUUACUGGUAUCAGAGCCAGGGGGAGGAUAGUGUAAUAUAGGAUAGAGACUUUGUGUUUAAAGACUUGUGUUUUGGUUGAACAUUGUUUGUGUGGUGAGUGUUACCUCUGUGUGCCUUGGUAGUGUUUGGUCGUAAGUCUCGAUUUAAUUGAAGGGCAGUAAAACCAAUUCUUACUGGCUAGUAAGGGGUUUUAUGCCAAAUUGUAUUAAGCCGAUGUGAACAUAAUUAAAAUUUUUAUCUUUUAAUUUCUUUAAAGAUUGUUCUGAAAACAAAUUAAUUGUUUCAAAAGGCUUUGAAAGGGUUAUAUCACGUUCUUCAGUUUUUAUAACAUAAUCAUUCUUAAAGAAAUCAGGUUUUUCUCUCUCAGAGACUUGAGAAAGGGCUUUAGUUUGGGAAAUAUUUUGUAAUGCGAGCAUAAGCUCUGGAGACUUUGUAAUGGAGUUCAUCCAUUCUUUUACUUGGUCUUCAGAGGUAAUGGCUUUAUACUGGGCUUCUUGUUCUUCAACCAUUUCAAUCCAGGAUUUGAUGGGCAUGGCAGAAGAAAGUAAUUUUUCUUUAGAGGGGGUUGAUUGGGGUUCUUUGGAGGUCGGAUGUGAUUCAAUGUCUUUAAGAACAGGUUUUCCUUUGUCUUUCUUCUUGGGCGGCAUUAUCUGUUUUGAAGAAAUUCCCUGGUUAGAAAAUCAGGGAUAGAAUUUGUAUCUCCUUUAAUAAAUUCAAUAUCAAAAUUAAAAACACUUAAAAUGGCUUGCCAUCGUGCAAAAAUCUGUUUUGAAGUAAUAUUUUGAACAUCUUUUUCCAAAACAUGUUUUGCAGCUUUGCAAUCGAUUCUAAGUAAAAAUUUUUGAUUUAAUAAAUCACUUUGAAAUUUAGAAAUGCAUAAUACAAUGGAAAGAAUCUCUUUUUUAAUACUAGAGUAAUUUCUUUGACAUUCAUUCCAAUGAGCAGAAACAUAUUGUACUAUUUGUUCUUUGUUAUUAUCUUUUUGUUUUAAUAUACCUCCAUAACCUAAAUCUGAUGCAUCAGUUUCAAUAAUUUUAGGUAGUGCAGGAUUUGCAAGAAAUAAAUGUGGAAUAUUUUUAACAGAAUUCUUUAUUAGUUUAAUAGCUUUAGUAUGCUCAUCAUCCAUGCAACAGGGUUCUUUUUUAAGCGAUCAUGUAAGGGUUUUGACAUUCUGUUGAUAUUAGGACAAAAAUCAAGAACAUAAUUUAAACUUCCUAUAAAUCUUUGCAGUUGGGUUUUGUCAAGGAUUUUAUCAGGAAAUUUGUCAGCAAACAUAAGAGAUCGCUCAAUAGGAGUAAUGGUUCCUUUGGAAAUGUAAUGACCUAGAAACCUGAUUUUUGUUUGAAACAAGGAAACUUUAGAAAUGGAAAUGGCUAAGCCGGCUUUUCUACUGGCAAGGUAGAAGGUCUUUAAAUGUUUGAAAUGUUGUUCAAUAGUUUGGGAAAAGAUUAACACAUCAUCAAUAUAUACAAUGCAAAAACUAGAAAAAAAGAUUAUAAAUGUCAUUCAUAAUUCUUUGAAAUCCUGAGGGUGCAGUGCAUUUUUUAAACCGAAUGCCAUGACAGUCCAUUCAUAUUGUCCAAAGGAACGGUCUUUAGGAUGAAUUUGAAUCUGCCAAAAUCCCGAUUUCAUAUCAAAUUUGAAGCCAUACCUACUGCCCUUCACUGAGUCAGUAAAACAUCCAUCCAUUCCUGAAGAAGAGCUAGAAAAGGACGAUGCUCUACAGAGCAGAGAAUCCAUGGAUAAAAACCUAUAUUCUAGUUUUAGUCCUGUAGGUAUGGCUACAAUCCAAGGCUAAGAAUUGGUUUUACUGCCCUUCAAUCAAAUGAUUCAAAGAAUAUUGUAAAUUCGGAAGAAUUUGUAAUUGAAGAUUUUAAUAAAGCAAUUGAUAAUUGGAAAUUACCAAAAGUUAAUAAAGAAAUGAUUUACAAAACAAAAAAGCUUGAUUUCUUUAAGAAUGAUUAUGUUAUAAAAACUGAAGAACGUGAUAUAACCCCUUCAAAGCCUUUUGAAACAAUUAAUUUGUUUUCAGAACAAUCUUUAAAGAAAUUAAGUGGCUCUGAUACCAGUAAGGAUAGAGACUUUGAAAGGCUUAUAGUGUAAUAUAGGAUAUAGACUUUGUGUUUAAAGACUUGUGUAUUAGAGCUCAAAGAUUUAGAAUGCUUAGAACAGAUCUAGUAUUUUCUAUUCUAGUCAACUGUUUUCCAAUAGUAUUUAGAUUAGCAUUACAAAAAUUAUUCUGUUGGAUAAUGCUAUCUAAAUCUGAUUCUGGAUCAGAUUUAGAUUGAUCAGAAACAUUAUCAAUUGCUUUAUUAAAAUGGAGGUGUUACCUUUGUGUGCCUUGGUAGUAUUUGGUCGUAAGUCCUGAUUUGAUUGAAGGGCAGUAAGUAGGCAACAACAGCUUACUAAGUAGUCACAAAUUCCUUACAAAUUCUUAAGCAUUAUCAAAACCUUCUUCCUCUAAAAAAAAAAAAAGAGUAAAGAUUGUCUUUCAAAAAAUAAAUACAAAUUUUCUAAAUCUAGCAAGUAACAAACACUAUUUUCCUCCAAAAAAAUAAAUACAAAUUUUCUAAAUUUAGCAAGCAACAAACAUUAUUUUCCUCCAAUUUCUAGCAUCUACCUUUGAAAAAAAUUAAAUCCAUCCAAUUUAUCUCCAAUUUCUAUUUAUUUUGGGUUAAAUUAUAAUUUUGAGGGGUAAAAGGUCAUUCCGUUAAAUUUGAUAACUUAAAUUAGACGGAAGUGGAAGAAUGCAACAAAAAGUAUACUUCAGGUGGCGCGCUGAAAAAAAAAAGUGUUUGUGUAUUUUUGAAAAAGACAAAACAAACAGGUGGACGGUUGUAAAUUUUCCUUUGUUUUUUCUAUUUGUGUGAUUUAGUUUGUUACCCCGAUGAAGUGGCGGAUAACGGUACUCCGUGACAAUCAAGUCGGUUACUUCAAUUUCCCAUAAUAACUGAUAUUCUGAGACGAAGGUAUGGACAGAAACGAGAUUCUAGCAAAGCUUCACAAUCGAUUCCCUUCACUUCCUCAGAAUGUCCUCCUUACAAUCCAUAAGCUAGGUCCGAACGUAUGCUAUUGCUUACGAGGAAUACCAUACCUAUUGACAUCCACUGGUUAAUCGAGGUCAAAGUACGAUUGGCAAGUGAGUUGCCUCCAAAAUUUAUUACAUACAUGCCUGGUUGUGGUAAAGGAAGUUAUGAAAGAAAACGAAGAGCUCGAAGAAUUUUUCUUGCUUGUCAUAAGUGUGCCAGAAUGAGAUGCGAUAAAAAACCAUGUUCUUUAGGAAUGGUGUCUGAUAACUGUUGAGUGUUAGAAAAUGCAUAUUUAUAAAGGAGAAAACCGUCAUUUUACAUUUCAAGUCUUACUAACAACCCUUACUUUUAUGUAUUUAACCUUCUUGUUAUUUAAUUACAUGUGUUUUAUUUUAAUUAAGUAUUUUAUGUAUUUUAGGGGCAUCAUAGUCAUUUCACAAUAAACGAGAAAUCAGAUGGCAAAACGGACAUCACUUUUGAACUCAGGACGGUCGAAAACCUUAGGAGGAGCAUAAAAGGAAAAAUGGCACUGUUCACUUGUACGGUACUAUUCACGUGUACGGUACUGUAUACGUUACUGUUCACGACACUGUUCACAUAGACGGACCGAUGACGUGGCAUUGACUGAUGAGGUGUCACGAUCCUGUUGGACUAAAAUUCUUAUAUACUGUUGAUGGUGACGUGGCAGCAUAUCAGUGGACGAAAAAUCUCGCAUACGGUGCAUGCAUCACACAGGAUUAUUUUCAACCAAACCGCGUUACUGUUCAUCCGGGUCAAACCGCGUUACUGUUCAAAGUCGGGUCAAACCGUGUUACUGUUCAUCCGCGUGGUCAAACCGUGGACUGUUGACUGAUGACGUGGCGCAAUCCUGAGCGUCCAAACUGUUUUUAAUCCGAUGGCCAUGAUUUACUCCAUGUAUCUAUAAAAAGGGGGCCUCCCCCCCCCCUAAUUUGAUAUCUCUGAAUCCAUUUUUGGGAUCCAUUUUCUGUAAUUUCUUCUCCAUCUUGUAUUUUCUUCGUAUUUUAAUAAAUUCCCAUUUUGCCCCUAGUUCAAUUAUGAGUGGCUAAUUUUCUUUCAAGCUUGGGUUGAAGGUGAAGUCUCAACAUGUGUCAUGGGCUUAAUUUGGUAAAUUUAUUUUCUCUUCCCCUCUAGUUUUUGUGGAUGUUUUGACUUCUCGUCGACAAAUAAUACUAAUCUUGUCUAGUACCGCCUUGGUUCCACCGGCCCUCUAGUACAAGGUUAUUAUUAUUUGGCACGAUAAGCCCUUAGCACCAUAUUGAUUAGAGUGUGGUUCAUGAGGUGUGGAUUCCCCCCUCAUGAUUUAAUUGGCAUUAAUACGGAUUAUUUAGCCCAUGAUGCAUGUUGAUACGGAUCCAGAUACCCAAGUACGUCAAUUUAAUAGAUUUUCUCUUCAAUUUAUUCUCUCCAUUGCAAUUCCAAUUUUAGAAUUUAUUCUCGCCAUUUUAAUUUAAGUAUUAGCAUAUUCCAAAUCAUUUCCACCAUAAAUCCAACUACCCAUUUACAAAAUUAAUUCUAUAUAUAAUUAAAAUCCACCUCCUCGUGGGAUCGACACUCGUCACCAUAGAUCUAUACUACAAUAGAUUCGUGCGCUUGCGAGUACAUUAAAAUUUGCACAACAAGUUUUUGGCGCCGUUGCCGGGGAGGUAAGUAAUUUUAAUUCAUAGAAUUAAUUUUUGUGAAUAAUUUCUUUUAUUUGUUUUCUUGUAUUUUUUUUUUAUUAUUAAAAAAAAAGAAAAAAAAAGUGAAUCUACAUUUAAAGGUUAGUAUUUCUUUUCUUUUUCUCUUCUUUAAAAUUUUGUAAUUUAAUUUUCCAUUUAUUUUUCUUUGUAAUUUUUUUGUUUAUCUUAUUAAUUUAAUUUUUAGUUAAUUUCUUUCACGUAUUUAUUUUUGUGUAUUUUUAUAGAAAGGUUGUAAUAGCGCAAUAAGGUUAGUAUCGUAAUUUCUCCCUCUUCUUUAUUUUUAUUUGUUUUGUUCCCAUCUUUAUUUUUUGUUUUGUUUGCAUCUUUAUUUUUAUUUUAUUUAUUUUGCAUGCAUGGUCGUAGGUCAUUAUUACCUAAUCUUGAACCUAUAGACCUUGAAUUAGAAAAAACACUUCGCACACACAAACACGUUAAAAAUAAAAUGGAUUUACAAGCACCACAGGAGAGGCCAUUUAAGGACUAUUUUAGUCCCUUAGCUAAUUUGAGCACGUCAUGCAUAAGAUACCCAAAUGUAGCUGCUAGGAGUUUUGAAUUAAAACCUAGUGUAUUAAAUUGUCUCCCCACAUUUUACGGCCUAGAAAAUGAGGAUCCAUAUAAUCAUUUGAAUGAUUUUCAUGCCAUUUGUCAAACAUUCAAAUAUGAGAAUUUUUCAGAUGAUGAUGUUAAACUUAGACUAUUCCCAUUUUCUUUAAAAGAUAGAGCUCGUUCAUGGCUUAAUACAUUGCUUGCUAAUAGCAUUGCAUCAUGGGAACAAAUGGUUACAAAAUUUUUAAAUAAAUAUUUCCCAGUGCAUAAAACCAAUGCUAUUCGCAGGGAAAUCUCGGAGUUUACCCAGAAAGAUGACGAGCAAUUUUUCGAAACAUGGGAGCGAUUCAAUGGGCUACUCUUGAAGUGUCCACAUCAUGGGUACGAGAAAUGGCACCAAUGCCAAUACUUUUUGGAGGGAUUAUUGCCGAAUGUGCAAGAAUGGCUAAUGGCAACAAGUGGAGGAGAGCUAAUGUCAAAAAGUGCAUCAGAGAUUUGGGAAUUCUUCCAGCGACAAGCGGAUAAUUCCCAACAACGGAGUCGAUCACUCAGGAAUACUAGACGAAUUAAGGGAGUAAAUGAGGUUCAAAUUGGCGAGUCAACUUCGGGAAUCAAAGAAGUCAAGGAGAUGGUUGAAGGUCUUGCUCGACAAAUAGCAUCGUUAUCGACUGCUAAAUCAACAGAACCACAUGACCAUGACUCAUACUCAGAUCAAGCCAAUGCCAUAGGUGUAAUGAGAAAGCCAUCAAAUUACAACCCAUACUCCAACACAUAUAACCCUGGAUGGAGAGACCACCCCAAUUUUUCAUGGUCUCAAGGAUUCCAACAGAAUGGACCAACAGCUCCAGCUCCACCAAUGCAACAAAUUCCUCAAGCCUCUCAGCCACCAUUUAGACCAUACAAUCAGAACCAGAACCACUCUCAACCUAGACCAUGGGAGGAUGCAUUUCAGAAUUUCAGGAAUGUUACUCACUCCACGAUUGAGCAACAGAACCGCACCAUUGAUGGACUACGAAAUGAGUUGAGAGCAGGCUUCAACUCACAAGCUCAAUCGGUUUCAAGCCUCGAGAAGAUGGUGGGACAACUUGCUUCUUCAGUUCAAACCUUGGCAAUGACCGUUGAGAAAGGUAAGUUUCCAAGUCAACCAGUGCCUAAUCCUAAAGGAGUACAUGAAGCAAGUACUAGUUCACCACAACAGCAUGGAGAGGUCAAAGCAGUAAUGACCUUGCGAAAAGGAAAAGAAGUCGACAACAAGGUGGAGAUGCCAGUGACAAAAGAAAAUCAAAUUGUACCUGUGAAUGUUGAGGACUCAUCACCGGAGGACAGAGAAGAAACCAACCCACGAGAAUAUAUUCCGAAAGCUCCAUUUCCUCAGAGGUUAGCUAAAGGAAAAAAGGGAAAAUCCACAGGUGAGAUUCUUGAAAUCUUCAAACAGGUAAGUGUUAACAUCCCUUUGCUUGAUGCUAUUAAACAAGUUCCAUCUUAUGCCAAGUUUCUUAAAGAUUUGUGUACUAAAAAGAGAAAUAUGCAUGUUCAAAAGAAGGCUUUUUUAACAGAAAACGUUAGUUCUAUACUCCAACAUAAAAUUCCUUUAAAAUGCAAAGACCCAGGCUCCCCCACUAUCUCAUGUAGCAUAGGGAACCACACAAUUGAGAAUGCUUUGUUGGAUUUAGGAGCUAGUGUAAAUUUGUUGCCUUAUUCAGUAUUUGUGAAACUUGGACUUGGAGAAUUACACCCAACUCCAGUGGUGUUACAGCUUGCAGAUCGGUCCACGAAAAUACCUCGUGGUAUUGUGGAGGACGUGCUUAUCCAGGUAGACAAAUUUUAUUUUCCUGUUGACUUCAUUGUAAUUGACACUCAACCAAUACAGGAUUCAAGGAAGCACAUCCCCAUUAUUCUAGGCCGACCUUUCUUGGCAACUGCGGAUGCUCACAUUCAAUGUAGGACUGGAAAUAUGCAGUUGUCCUUCGGCAACAUGACUAUGGAGCUGAACAUCUUCAACAUUGCCAAACAACCUCACAGUGCAGAUGAUGGAAUUGUUGUUGAUGUGGAUUUAAUUGAAGCAUUAGUUGAUGACACUUUUCUUUCAAACCUUAGUGAUGAUCCCUUACAAACAUGUUUAACUCACUUUGGUUUUGAUUUUGAUAUUGACAGAUCAGUUGAUGAGGUCAACGCCCUGCUUGACUCAGCACCAUCUAUGGACACUAAUAAAUGGAAGUCAAGAGUUGAGCAACUAGCACCAUCAGAGAAGCAACUCAUUCCAUCAUCAGAAUCACCACCGAAACUCGAGCUCAAACCAUUGCCCAACACUUUGGAAUAUGCGUUUUUGGGAGAAGAAAGUACUCUGCCGGUAAUCAUCUCAUCAUCCCUAAAUGACGAACAAAAAGGUAAGUUGUUGGAUGUUUUAAAAGAGCACAAAGAAGCAUUAGGAUGGACCAUAGCAGAUAUUAAAGGUAUAAACCCAGUAGAUUGCAUGCAUUACAUUCACCUUGAUGAAAAUGCUAAAACUACUAGGGAGAUGCAACGUCGGUUAAAUCCUAACAUGAAAGAAGUUGUUAGAACUGAGGUCCUUAAGCUAUUAGAUGCAGGUAUCAUUUACCCCAUUUCUGAUAGUUCAUGGGUCAGUCCUGUGCAAGUUGUCCCCAAAAAGUCAGGAAUCACAGUAGUUACGAAUGCUGAUAAUGAAUUGAUACCCACUAGAGUAACUACAGGAUGGCGUGUUUGCAUUGAUUAUAGAAAGUUGAAUUCUGUCACACGUAAAGACCAUUUUCCUUUACCAUUUAUCGAUCAAAUGCUUGAUAGAUUAGCAGGCCAUGAAUUUUAUUGCUUUCUAGAUGGCUACUCAGGAUAUAAUCAGAUUCCCAUAGCACCAAAAGAUCAGGAGAAAACUACUUUCACUUGCCCUUUUGGCACAUUUGCACAUAGGAGAAUGCCAUUUGGAUUAUGUAAUGCACCUGCUACAUUUCAACGAUGCAUGUUGAGCAUUUUUUCUGAUAUGGUUGAACGAUUCCUUGAAGUCUUUAUGGAUGACUUUUCUGUCUUUGGUGACUCGUUUGAUCAAUGUUUACAUCAUCUAACACUAGUUCUGCAGAGAUGUAUCGAAAAGAACUUGGUCUUAAAUUGGGAGAAAUGCCAUUUUAUGGUAAAACAAGGUAUUGUUCUCGGUCACAUCAUUUCGAGCAAAGGUAUUGAGGUUGACAAAGCCAAGGUGGAUCUCAUUUCUAAUCUUCCUCCACCCAAAACAGUCAGAGAAGUAAGAUCUUUCCUUGGGCAUGCUGGUUUCUAUAGACGUUUCAUUAAAGAUUUUAGCAAAGUUUCUAGACCCUUAUGCAAUUUACUUGCUAAGGAUGUACCUUUUAUCUUUAAUGAUUCAUGUCUUAUGGCGUUUGAAAAAUUAAAACGGUUGUUGACAUCAUCACCCAUCAUUCAGGCCCCAAACUGGAGCUUAUCAUUUGAGCUAAUGUGUGAUGCAUCUGAUUAUGCAGUAGGAGCAGUAUUAGGACAAAGAGUUGAUCGAAUUCCCCAUGUUAUUUACUAUGCUAGUAUGACAUUAAAUGAUGCACAGUUGAACUAUUCAACUACUGAAAAAGAAAUGCUAGCAGUAGUGUUUGCAUUAGAGAAAUUUCGAUCUUAUCUCAUUGGUUGUAAAAUAAUUAUAUUCACAGAUCAUGCUGCUCUUAAAUAUCUUCUCAUAAAGAAAGAUGCAAAAGCCAGACUAAUUCGUUGGGUGUUACUUUUGCAGGAAUUUGACUUGGAAUUCAAAGAUAAGAAAGGGACAGAAAAUGUUGUGGCGGACCAUCUCUCUCGUCUCCAUUUUGACACAAUUAUAGAACAAUUACCAUUAAAUGAGUCAUUUCCAGAUGAACAAUUAAUGAGUGUGGAAGUAUUACCUUGGUAUGCUGAUAUAGUUAAUUAUCUUGUUACAGGUAAACUUCCAGAGCAUUGGACCAAGCAAGACAAGGCUAAAUUCUUUGCAGAGAUAAAGAAUUUCUUUUGGGAUGACCCGUAUUUGUUCAAGUAUUGUGCGGAUCAAAUUGUUAGACGAUGUGUCCCAGAAAGUGAAAUUCAGAAUAUCCUUUCAUUCUGCCAUGAACAAGCUUGUGGAGGCCAUUUCAGUGCUAAGAAGACAGCGACUAAAGUUUUACAAUGUGGUUUCUAUUGGCCAUCUAUAUUUCGAGACGCUUACACUUUCUGUUCUUCAUGUGAUAGGUGUCAACGAAUGGGAAGCAUUACACGAAGGAACAUGAUGCCACUAAAUCCAAUUUUAGUGGUUGAGAUUUUUGACGUAUGGGGUAUCGACUUCAUGGGACCCUUUCCCCCUUCUUUUGGCCAUCAAUACAUAUUGGUUGCUGUUGACUACGUAUCAAAAUGGGUAGAAGCAAUUCCAUGUAGGACCAAUGAUCACAAGGUGGUGAUAGCAUUUUUGAAAAGCAACAUUGUUUCACGCUUUGGAUUCCCUCGAGCAAUAAUCAGUGAUGGUGGUGCCCACUUUUGUAACAAAGCAUUCAAAGCACUUUUGACAAAGUAUUCAAUCACACACAAAGUGGCGACCCCGUAUCAUCCGCAAACCAGUGGCCAAGUUGAGAUCUCCAAUCGAGAAAUAAAGCACAUAUUAGAAAAGACGGUGAGGCCGGACAGAAAAGAUUGGUCAUUAAGACUUGAUGAUGCCUUAUGGGCAUAUAGAACGGCUUUCAAGACCCCGAUUGGGAUGUCACCCUACAGGCUAGUGUAUGGAAAAGCUUGCCACCUACCUGUGGAACUCGAGCAUCGUGCAUAUUGGGCCAUCAAGAAAUUCAAUUUUGACAUGCAGCAAGCCAGCUCAGAAAGAAGAUUACAGCUGGCAGAACUUGAAGAAAUUCGCAAUGAUGCAUACGAAAAUGCCAAGAUUUACAAGCAACGAAUGAAAGUCUUCCAUGAUAAGCAAAUUAUGAGAAAAUCGUUCACUCCAGGUCAGAAAGUGCUUUUGUUCAAUUCUCGCUUGCACCUAUUCCCAGGUAAGUUACGCUCUCGUUGGUCUGGUCCCUUUAUUGUUCAUACUGUUUUUCCACAUGGGGCAAUUGAAAUUAAGGACCCAAAGAACGGUGUCACGUUUAAAGUUAAUGGUCAAAGAUUAAAGCCAUAUCUAGAAUACCAACCACGUGGAGAAGACAACGAAAUAAAUUUGAGUGACCCACCAGAUUUGAAUUGAUUUUUUUUUCUUUCUUUUCGUUGAUUUGAUUUUGUUUUCUUUCUUUAUAUUAUUCUUUUGCUAAUUGAAAUUGUUUUUGCAUAAGUGUGUUUAUUUUACCAUUAAGUUUUCUCUUAUCAUUGUUAAUCAUGAGUCUCAUACUUAGACCGUUCCUCCUGAACAUUCUUAAACCACUUCAACGUGUCAAAACUCAUCUCAAAAGGCAGAUUCAAUUUUGUAAAACACAACGCAUUUGGGCUCUACAACCACCAGAGUUAGUAGCCUAUGUUGAGGGUUUAGAAAGCCAACUCAGAGACAUUGAGAGAAGUGUUUACGACAUCCAGUUGGAGCUUGAGGUAAAUUCAAUAAGAGGACGAUUUUAAUUUUCUUUGUGUGUUUUAAUUUGUUUUUCUGUUUGUGUGCUUUAGUUUGUUACCCCGGUGAAGUGGCGGAUAACGGUACUCCGUGACAAUCAAGUCGGUUACUUCAGUUUCCCAUAAUAACUGAUAUUCUGAGGCGAAGGUAUGGACAGAAACGAGAUUCUAACGAAGCUUCACAAGCGAUUCCCUUCACUUCCUCAGAAUGCCCUCCUUACGAUCUAUAAAGCUCGGUCCGAACGCAUGCGAUUACUCAUGAGAAAUAACAUACCUGCUGACAUCCGUUGGUUAAUCGAGGCUAAAGUACGAUCGGCAGGUGAGUUACCUCCAAAAUUUAUUGCAUACAUGCCUGGUUGUGGUAAAGGAAAUUAUGCAAGAAAACGACGAGCUCGAAGAAUUUCUGUUGCUUGUCAUAAGUGUGCCAGAAUGAGUUGCAAUAAAAACCCAUGUUCUUUAGGAAUGAUGUCUGAUAACAGGGAAGAUAAGAUUCAAUUCAUUAGGGAUGGCUUGAAUAAGGAGUCAUUGGAUGAUAUCCUUUUGUCUCUUGAAACGCAUCCCAGUGGAUAUGUGCAAGGAGCGAUUCUCCAGUUAUGGCCAUUAUUCCAGAAAGAGCAUGCACGAUAUAGUCUCGGGAAUCUGACUAUAAACGACCCUGUUUGCCAGUUUAUAAGAAAACUGGAUAGGAAGCCUAUCCUCGACCCAUAGAGGGCGUUCAAGCCGUUUCUGGACGUAAAACCAGAGGAAGAUGUGAGCCACAGUCGCAACUACCUGUAAAUAUCCUUUUACUUUAUUGUUAUUUUAUUUUACUAUUGUCUUAUUGUUUGCAUUAUUGUCUUUAAUAAUUUUAUUACUGUUUGCUUUUUCCUUUUUACUGUUUUCUUUUUGACUUGCGAGCCACGUGCUUUACGCGUUAUUUGACACUGACAUAUUACCUCAUACACAACCAUGACCCACUAUCACCGAGACUCUUAAAUGUGAUUUUCUUUGUCAAGCACUCACAAAUUAUUUUUGAGAAAUAUCACAAUGUCAGCUACUCCCAAUAGACAAUUCAAGAACAUUUGUGUGCUUUCUGGAUUUACAUAUGGCAAACAUAAAGAGUUCGUUGAGGCAGCCAUAGAUCUUGGUCGACGUAUAGCAGAGAGAAAAUUACACUUGGUGUAUGGAGGAGGUAACCGAGGAUUAUCAAAAAUGGUCUCAGAAGCAGCUUUUAUCAGAGGAAGUCAAGUGUUAGGCAUCAUCCCAAGAGUUCUAAAACCAUUGGGCAGUUCGUCUGACUCAUCAACUGGAGAAGAGUUAGUCGUCUCAGGUAUGCAAGAAAGAAUAACUGAAAUGCUUAAUCAUGCUGAUGCUUUUAUUUUCCUUCCAGGAGAUCUUGCAACACUAGAGGCACUUAUCACGCUAGCAUCUUGGGCCCAUCUGCACAUCCACCAGAAACCCAUCGGUUUGUUAAAUAUCAAUAACUUUUAUGAUGGCUUUAUCGCAUUUCUUAACCAUGCAAUAAAAAACUAUUUCAUUCCCGCUAAUGUGAAAAAACUCUUUAUUUGUGCUCACACUGCUAAUGAGCUACUGGAUCUGUUACAAGCUUAUAGACCGGAGCCAAACCCCUGGACCUUUCUGUUGGAGCGUCCAAAUAAUGAUGGUAACAGUAGCAGCAGUAAGAAGUACAAAUUAGAUUUAACUCUCCACCUGUAAAUAUUUUCUUCUGUGUUGCACCACCCAGGUGAUGUCUUCUAAACUCUACUUCUUUCAUUUCAAACAUUGAGGACAAUGUUUCGUUCUGGUUGGGGGGAGGGAAUAGUCGACAAUNNNNNNNNNNNNNNNNNNNNNNNNNNNNNNNNNNNNNNNNNNNNNNNNNNNNNNNNNNNNNNNNNNNNNNNNNNNNNNNNNNNNNNNNNNNNNNNNNNNNNNNNNNNNNNNNNNNNNNNNNNNNNNNNNNNNNNNNNNNNNNNNNNNNNNNNNNNNNNNNNNNNNNNNNNNNNNNNNNNNNNNNNNNNNNNNNNNNNNNNNNNNNNNNNNNNNNNNNNNNNNNNNNNNNNNNNNNNNNNNNNNNNNNNNNNNNNNNNNNNNNNNNNNNNNNNNNNNNNNNNNNNNNNNNNNNNNNNNNNNNNNNNNNNNNNNNNNNNNNNNNNNNNNNNNNNNNNNNNNNNNNNNNNNNNNNNNNNNNNNNNNNNNNNNNNNNNNNNNNNNNNNNNNNNNNNNNNNNNNNNNNNNNNNNNNNNNNNNNNNNNNNNNNNNNNNNNNNNNNNNNNNNNNNNNNNNNNNNNNNNCAUUUUUCUUGGAGAGUAACCCUUUUGCUCAUUCUUUAUACAGCUUAACAGUUUAUUAUUGUAUACACGAUCUCUAGAUUUCUUUUGAGUUAACCCUUAAUAAAAAAAAAAAAAAGUGUGUUGCUACAUUUGGAGGCCCAUCUAACUAGUAGAUAUGGAAGGUUAUUUAGAGCCCUAAAAGACGAUGGAAAGGCCAUCUUUGAUCCGUUUGAGCCUUUCUAGCCAUCCCUUUUAUUAAAUAUCCAUAGUUAACCCUUUUGAGCCUUUAAAAAAAAAAAAAAUUUUCUUUGUCAACUUAUCAUCUUGACCCACUCCGAUUUGGAGUAUUACCCGAUAUCUUAUAAGUUCCAUCACCUAUUUAUGUUUGAGAAAAUGUAAAUAAUUAUGUUGUUCAAUGAAGUUAGUUCAAAAAAAAAAGCAAAAAAAAAAAAAAACAACAAAACAAAAGUUGUUGUUUCAAAAGAAUAAAAAUAACAAUAAUAGGUGAAAUCCACCUUGCAACUUUCAAAAAAAAAAAAAAAUUCUCUGCAUUUUUCUCAAACAUACACUUUGUUUUCCUUAUUUCCUUUCUUUGUUAACCAUGUCCCUAGCCUACGUUACAUCCUAAUAAAAGUCCUUCCUGAUUUUAGGGAACUAUAAUCUGAAGUAGAAGCUAGUUAUAUGGGCUAAAAAGAUGUAGUGGUGCAUAUAUAAAAAAAAAAAAAAUUGGGUUGACUAACAGUUUUUAUUUGACUUGAGAUCGUAUUAUUUUUAAGCUGAGGGCAUAUUUAUUUCAUCUUGGUGAGAGCAUGUGAUAUCACUUUUUCAUUAUUUUCUCUCAAUUAUCAUUCAUUGGAGUGACUAUUUUUAUUGGGUUUAAUUUCUUUGUGAGAGUGUCACUACUUCCAGUGAGAUUUUGGGGUUUGACAUGUCAUUCUUGAAAGUAGCUAUAACAAAGUCUACUGGGCUGAUUUAUGUGGAUGGUUGAUGUGGGUGUGAUGUUACUUUAGACUGGAGAUAAUGCUUAUACUUUAUUUGAUUGCUAUCAUUAAUCUGAUUGAAUAAACACAAGUGUUUCUAAAUUUAAAAAAAAAAAUCAUUUUGAAUUUGAAUUUUAUUUUCGCUUCAUUUGCUAGGGACUAGCAAUAAGCUGGUUCGGGGGUGUGUUGAGUGUUAGAAAAUGCAUAUUUAUAAAGGAGAAAACCGUCAUUUUACAUUUCAAGUCUUACUAACAACCCUUACUUUUAUGUAUUUAACCUUCUUGUUAUUUAAUUACAUGUGUUUUAUUUUAAUUAAGUAUUUUAUGUAUUUUAGGGGCAUCAUAGUCAUUUCACAAUAAACGAGAAAUCAGAUGGCAAAACGGACAUCACUUUUGAACUCAGGACGGUCGAAAACCUUAGGAGGAGCAUAAAAGGAAAAAUGGCACUGUUCACUUGUACGGUACUAUUCACGUGUACGGUACUGUAUACGUUACUGUUCACGACACUGUUCACAUAGACGGACCGAUGACGUGGCAUUGACUGAUGAGGUGUCACGAUCCUGUUGGACUAAAAUUCUUAUAUACUGUUGAUGGUGACGUGGCAGCAUAUCAGUGGACGAAAAAUCUCGCAUACGGUGCAUGCAUCACACAGGAUUAUUUUCAACCAAACCGCGUUACUGUUCAUCCGGGUCAAACCGCGUUACUGUUCAAAGUCGGGUCAAACCGUGUUACUGUUCAUCCGCGUGGUCAAACCGUGGACUGUUGACUGAUGACGUGGCGCAAUCCUGAGCGUCCAAACUGUUUUUAAUCCGAUGGCCAUGAUUUACUCCAUGUAUCUAUAAAAAGGGGGCCUCCCCCCCCCUAAUUUGAUAUCUCUGAAUCCAUUUUUGGGAUCCAUUUUCUGUAAUUCCUUCUCCAUCUUGUAUUUUCUUCGUAUUUUAAUAAAUUCCCAUUUUGCCCCUAGUUCAAUUAUGAGUGGCUAAUUUUCUUUCAAGCUUGGGUUGAAGGUGAAGUCUCAACAUGUGUCAUGGGCUUAAUUUGGUAAAUUUAUUUUCUCUUCCCCUCUAGUUUUUGUGGAUGUUUUGACUUCUCGUCGACAAAUAAUACUAAUCUUGUCUAGUACCGCCUUGGUUCCACCGGCCCUCUAGUACAAGGUUAUUAUUAUUUGGCACGAUAAGCCCUUAGCACCAUAUUGAUUAGAGUGUGGUUCAUGAGGUGUGGAUUCCCCCCUCAUGAUUUAAUUGGCAUUAAUACGGAUUAUUUAGCCCAUGAUGCAUGUUGAUACGGAUCCAGAUACCCAAGUACGUCAAUUUAAUAGAUUUUCUCUUCAAUUUAUUCUCUCCAUUGCAAUUCCAAUUUUAGAAUUUAUUCUCGCCAUUUUAAUUUAAGUAUUAGCAUAUUCCAAAUCAUUUCCACCAUAAAUCCAACUACCCAUUUACAAAAUUAAUUCUAUAUAUAAUUAAAAUCCACCUCCUCGUGGGAUCGACACUCGUCACCAUAGAUCUAUACUACAAUAGAUUCGUGCGCUUGCGAGUACAUUAAAAUUUGCACAACAAUAACAGAGAAGAUAAGAUUUCAAUUCAUUAGAGAUGACUUGAAUAAGAAGUCAUUGAAUGAUAUCCUUUUGUCUCUUGAAACGCAUCCCAGUGGAUAUGUACAAGAAGCGAUUCUCCAGUUAUAGCCAUUAUUCCAGAAAGAGCAUGCACAAUAUAGUCUCGAAAAUCUGGCUAUAAACGACCAUAUUCGCCAGUUUAUAAGAAAACUAGAUGGAAAGCCUAUCCUUAACCUAUAGAGGGCGUUCAAGCCAUUUCUAGACUUAAAACUAGAGAAAGAUGUGAGCCACAGUCGCAACUACCUGUAAAUAUCUUUUUACUUCACUGUUAUUUUAUCAUUUGCAUUAUUGUCUUUAAUAAUUUUAUUUUAUCAUUGUUUUUUUUCCUUUUUAUUGUUUUCUUUUUUACUCUCAAGCCAUGUGUUUUACGCGUUAAUUGACACUGACAUGCUACCUCAUACACAGUUGUGACCUACUGUCACCAAGAUUCUUAAAUAUGACUUUUUGUUAAGCACUCACAAAUUAUUUUUGAAAAGUAUCCCAAUGGCAGCUACUCCCAAUAAACAAUUCAAGAACAUUUGUGUGCUUUCUGGAUUUAACUAUGGCAAACAUAAAGAGUUCGUUGAGGCAACCAUAGAUCUUGGUCGAAGCAUAGCAGAGAGAAAUUACAUUUGGCGUAUGGAGGAGGUAAUCGAGGGUUAUCAAAAUUGGUCUCAGAAGCUGCUUUUGUCAGAGGAAGCCAAGUGUUAGGCAUUAUCCCAAGAGCCCUAAAACGUUUGAGCAGUUUGUCUGACUCACCGACUGCAGAAUAGUUAGUCGUCUCAGGUAUGCAAGAAAGAAUAACUGAAAUGCUUAAUCAUGUUGAUACUUUUAUUUUCUUACCAUGAGAUCUUGUAACUCUAGAGGGACUUAUCACAUUAGCAUCUUGGGCUCAUCUGCAUAUUCACCAGAAACCCAUCGGUUUAUUAAAUGUCAAUAACUUUUAUGAUGGCUUCAUCGCAUUUCUCAACCAUGCAAUAAAAAACUAUUUCAUUCCUUCUACAGCGAAAAACUUUUUAUUUGUGCUCACACUGCUAAUGAGCCACUUGAUCUGUUACAAGCUUAUAGACCAGAUCCAGACCCCUGGACCUUUGUGUUGGAGCGCUCAAAUAAUAAUGGUAACAGUAGCCGCAGUAAGAAGUGCAAAUUAGAUUUAACUCUCCGCUUGUAAAUAUUUUCUUCUGUGUUGCACCAUCUAGGUGAUGUCUUCUAAACUCUAUUUCUUUCUUUUAAAACAUUGAGGACAAUGUUUUGUUCUGGUUGGGGGAGGGAAUAAUUGACAAUUGUGGAAUCUUGGUUAAGUUUUUACUGAUUUUUUGUUGUAGAGACUAACCGUGGCUAACUUUUUGUGUUGAAGAUGGUUGAAUAUGGAGUGUAGUUACUGUAGAAACGCAUCUUUGUCUAAAAAAAAACAAAAAAAAAUUCCAGACAUUUUCUUUUUCUUUGUUAAGCUUUGAGAAGCAUUUUUUUUCUAACUUCUUUUUUCUGAUUUCUCCUUUAUAAAUAUACACUUUCAAAUUUUUGAGUCGAAUAUGGCUGAAUAUAGAGUGUAGUGACUCUAGAAACGCAUCUUCUUAAUUAAAAAAAAAUUCUUUUUCUAUCAUUUUUAGUGUAACUUUUCUAAUUAGUUUUUCUGCAUCAUUUUCACCUUUCUAUAUUUUCUUUUCAUGUUUAGAAUAGGUUGGGGGGUAGAAUGUCGUUUGAACCUAAAAAAAAAAUGUAUGUAUUUUUUUAACAUUGGAUGACAUGAUUACUUUCAAAUUUUAGUAUUUGUAUUAUCUUUGGUCUUAAGUGAUAUUACGCCAUAUUUGCUACUCUACAUGUUGAUGUCGGAGACAAAUAUGAGUUGCUUGAAGGAAUGCACAUGUCAUAAUGAAUGCCAAGUGAGUUUUUUAGCCUAUUAUUUUUCUUGGAGAGUAACCCCUUUUUGCCCAUUCUUCAUACAACAAAGCAGUUUAUUAUUUUAUACAUGAUACUUAGAUUUCCUUUGAGUCAAUCCUUAAAAAAAAGUUAAAUAAAAUAAAAAAAAGAGAGAAAAAAGUGUGUGUUGCUACAUCUGGAGGUCUAUCUAACUAGUAGAUAUUGAAGAUUAGUUAUAGCCCUAAAAAACGAUAGAAAUGCCAUUUUUGACCCGUUUGAGCCUUUCUAGCCAUCCCUCUUGUGAAAUAUCCAUAGUUAACCAUUUUGAGCCUUAAAAAUAAAAAAAAAAACACUUUUCUAUGUCCACUUAUCAUCUGGACCCACUCUAAUUUGGAGAAUUACUCGAUAUCUUACAAGUUCCAUCACUUAUUUAUGUUUGAGAAAAAUGUAAAUAAUUAUCUUAUUCAGUUAAGUUGUGCCAUACAAAAAAAAGAAAAGAAAAAAUUGUUUAAAAAAAAAGAGAAAAAAAUAAAAAAAGAGAAAAAAUAACAAUAAUAAUUAAUAAGCGAAAUGUACCAUGUCCCUAGCCUACGUUACGUCCUAAUAAAAGUCCUUCUUGAUUUUAGGGAUCUAUAGUAUGAAAUAUAAGCUAGUUUUAUGGGCUAAAAAGAUGUAGUGAUGUAUAAAAAAAUAAAAAAAUAAAUUGGGUUGACUAGCAUUUUGUUUGACUUAAAGAUCAUGUUAUUUCUAAGUUGUGGGCAUAUUUCUUUCAUCUUGGUGAGAGCGUGUGAUAUUGCGUCCUUAUUAUUUUUCUCUCAAUUUAUCAUUUAUUGGAGUGACUAUUUUUAUUGGGAUUAAUUUCUUUGUGAGAGUGUCAUUACUACUGGUGAGCUUUUGGGGUUUGACAUGUCAUUCUUGAAAGUGGCUUGAUUACUAUAACUAUGACAAAUUCUACUGAACUGAUGCAUGUGGAUGGUUGAUGUGGGUGUAAUAUUUCUUUAGACUAGAGAUAAUGUUUAUACUUUUAUUUGAUUGUUAUCAUUAGUCUGAUUCAAUAAACACGAGUGUUUAAAAAAAAUUCGAUUUGAAUUUUGUUUUCGUUUUAAUUGCUAGGGACUAGCAAUAAGCUGGUUGGGGUUGUGUUUAGUGUUAGAAAGUGUAUAUUUAUAAAAGAGAAAAUUGUCAUUUUACAUUUAAAGUCUUACUAACAUCCUUACUGUUAUGUAUUUAAGCUUCUUGUGAUUUAAUUAUGUGUAUUUUAUUUUAAUUAAGUAUUUUAUGUAUUUUAAGGGCAUUAUGGUCAUUUCACAAUGAACGAGAGAUAAGACAGCAAAACGAAAAUGAGUUUUGAACUUAGGACAGUCGAAAACCUUAAGAGGAGCAUAAAAGAAAAAAUGACACUGUUCACAUGUACGGUAGUAUUCACAUGUACGGUACUGUCCAUGUUACUGUUCACGACAUUCUUUACAUAUACGGAAUGAUGAUGUGACAUUGACUGAUGAGGUGUCAUGAUUCUAUUGGACUAAAAUUCUUAUGUACCGUUGAUCGGUGACAUGACAGCAUGUCAGUGGACCAAAAAUCGUGUAGGAUACAUGCAUAUACAUAAGAUUAUUUACAACCAAACUACGUCACUAUUCAAGCCGCCUGAUUGUUCAAACCACGUACUGUUGACUGAUGACGUGGUGCAAUCUUGAGCGUUCAAAAUAUUUUUAAUACGAUGGCCAUGAUUUACUCAGUGUAUCUAUAAAACAAGAGGCUCUUCCCCCCUAAUUUGGCAUCUCUGAAUUCAUUUUUGAGUUCAAUUUUCUGUAAUUCCUUCUCCAUCUUGUAUUUUCUAUGUGUUUUAAUAAAUUCUCAUUUUGCCCCUAGUUCAAUUAUGAGUAGUUAAUUUUCUUUCAAGCUUGGGUUGAAGGUGAAGUCUCAACAUGUGCCAUGGGCUUUAUUUGGUAAAUUUAUUUUCUCAUCCCUUCUAAUUAAGGUAGAUGUUUUGACUUUUCGUCGAUAAAUAGUAAUAAUUUUAUCUAGAUACCGUUCUGGUUUAAUCGGCUCCCUAGUACAAGGUUAUUAUUAUUUGACGUGAUAAGCCCUUAGCACCAUAUUGAUUAGAGCGUGGUUCAUGAGGAGUGGAUACCCCCCUCAUGAUUUAAUUGGCAGUAAUAAAGAAUAUUUAGCCCCUGGUGCGUGUUGAUGCAGAUCCAGAUACCCAAGCACUUCAAUUAUAAUAUUUUUCACUUUAAUUUAAUUCUACCAUUUCAAUUUAAAUUUUAGGAUAUUCCAAAUUAUUUUUACCUUAAAUCCAACCACCAACUUAAAAAAUUAAUUCUACACAUAAUUAAAAUCCACCUCCUCAUGGGAUCGACACUUGUCACCAUUGAUCUAUUCUACAAUAGAAUUGUGCGCUUGCGAGUUCAAUAAAAUUUGCACAACAGAUGAUAUGCUAAUUGCAAGCAAACAAAAAUAAAUUGAAGAAUCUACUGAAUAGUGAGUUUGAAAUGAAGGAUCUAGGAAGUGCAAAAAGAAUCCUUGGUAUAGAGAUAUUAAAAAACAGGGCUGCUGGUACUUUGUUUCUAAGCCAAGAAAAAUAUAUCAAGAAGGUUUUGGAAAGGUUUGAUAUGCACAAUAGCAAAUCUGUUUUGACACCUCUUGGUUCUCAAUUCAAAUUGUCAGCAGCUCAACUCUUAAAGGCUGAAAGGGCUCAAAUGGAUGGGAUACCAUAUGUACAGGUUGUGGGAAGCCUGGUGUGCACAAUGGUUUGCACCAGGCCAGAUAUAGCCUUUGCUGUGAGUGUGGUCAGUAGGUUUCUGAGUUGUCCAAAUAAAACUCAUUAGGGUGCUGUUAAAUGGAUUAUGAGGUAUCUUAGGGCUCUUUUACAUAUGGUCUUCUAUAUGGGAAGUCAAGAAGUGGUGUAAGUGUGCGCAAGCGCAUACAUAAAAGACCCUGCAUUACAAAGUUAAAAAUAUUCUUGUUAGUUUUGUUUACCAGUAAUGUUGACUGGGGAACAAAUCUCUUUUAUCAUGGAUAAUAUGUAGAGAGAUGAGAGAGUAGUGUUGUGUUAUAAAUAUUAACUGUCAAACAAAAUAUUAUUUCUUAAGAGAUCUGACUUUCUCGACAGAGUUCUCAAAAAACAAUAAUUGUCAAGAAACAUGUUGACCGUUGAUAAGGCUUUUAACUAACUGCCUUAAGUAACAACUUUAAUAAAUAUUACUUUUUCAGAUUUCAAUAAGUUGUAGUUGGCAAAACAAAAUAUAACAUUUAAUCAUUAAAUAUUAUCCAAGUCCAACCCAACAAAAUAAAAUCAAGGAGCAUUAACAGAGGUCAACUAGCCCCCACCCCCCGGCAUAUUUUUUACAGUUUCUUGUGAUUGUACUUGUUACAACUACCAUCUCAUAGUUAUUGAAGAGGUCACUUUAGAUUCGGAAGGAGAUGGGAAACAAGUCAAAAUUAGACCACAAAGAAGAUAGUUUUCAGAGGAAAUUAAAAAGGAAUUAUAAGACUCAUAUUAUGUAAAUGAGCGGCCUACAACACAUCAGAGUUGCAAAGUACUAAAAAGCUUGCAAUAAGGACCCAAAAGAGAAAGAGAGAGAGAGACAUAAAAUUAGCAUCUCUAAACAAAAUGCUGAAUAAUAGUUUGAGAAAUAUUUGUUUUUUCUACUUUUCCAUAGUGAUGGGACUGGGAAUUAAGAUCAAGUAAAGAAAAUUAGGCAUAAUUAUUGUAAAAAAAUAAAAAACCAUCAAAACAUAGCAGACAGAGAGAUCACCAACAGCAAGCAUGGAUAUGAAAUUAAAACAACUCAACAAAAAGUUAAUUAUUUUAGUAAGUAGACUGAACUAACUAUAUGCUUCCUGCCAAUAUAAUAACUAUAAGAACCUGACGGUCAUGAACACCAAAGCUUGUGAUUUUCGCCAGCUAGGAGCCCACCUACACUGAAGUCUAUAGGUACAACAAUACCCAAAAUAAUAAUAAAAGCCAUGAAUGGAGUUUUCAAAAGUUCAUAAUUCGGUUUUAGAACAAUUGAUGGAUAAACCUAAAAAUUCGAAGUACACCAGUCAGUUUGAAGUACUUCAUACAGCUUUCAUAUAUAAAAUAUAAAUGUGAAAUAACAUGUUCACAGUGGAGACCAGUCAGUUGCUGGAGAAACUAUUGCCUUGCUUUACAUAUACAGAGCAUCCCAUGCUCAUUAUCAUGGAAUGGUGUCCUACGGCCUACUACUCAAAUUAUGGACAAUUACACAAGUACCGAUCAAAGCUUUUGUUCGCAAUCUUAAAACAGAUCACAUAAAGUUCAUUAAAAAAAAGGGCCAACCUAAGUGAAUCCGGAACUUUGCCAGAGAAGUUGAAUAAAAUGAUCUCUAGCGUUUUCAAAGAAGAAAGUUUUCCCAAGGAAGCAGGCAACUCACCCGAAAAAUCAUUACCAGAAAGGUAUAGAUGGUUGAGCUUAAAGCCUCAAAGCCACAAGACUUAAACAAAAAACAAAAUCAAUACCUAAAGAAAAGUGCAACCUUCCAAAUAAACAUGAAUUUCUCAACAUCGGCAACAACCCAAAAAUUAAAAUUACAAAAAAUAAUCAUAAGCUAAAAUUAAAAAAAAAAACCAUUGAAUAAUUGACAAAAAAAAUAUUAAGCCAUUACCAAUUGUUAAAAUAAACCUCUCUGCCCUUAAAGUCGUUGAAAUCCUCCUCUACAAUUCUAGGCAUAGGCGAACAUUCUAUAGCAAACAAAUUAACUAGCUUCUCAACAAUUAUCUCAAAUUCAAGCAAAUGGGUUUCGAGUGUGAACAAAAAAAGUGAAAUUUGAAUAGGAAAAAAAAAACUCCGACGAAAGAAGCCUCAAUUAGGGUUUCGCUUUGCUUUUCAUUAUCUGUUUGAAUUAAUUGAAUUGAGUUUGUAAAUGGACAACUGGAAACAAAAGAGAUCGAGAAGAGAAAAAGGAAAAAGAGAAAGAGAAAGCAAGAUAGUGAUAGGGUUUGGUUCAGAUAUUUGCGUGCAUAAACGAAAUAAAGUUUCCAAGUCUGGGUUAUAUUUUGCUUUUGUUAUUUUAAUUUUGUUUUUUAAUUCAUUAACGCUGUUAUAUCUUAAUUCUACAAGGUCUAAUGGUGUAUUGUCCAUAUGUUAUAGCUUUGAAUUUUAAAAGUCUUAGGUUCGAGUUGGAGUUAAAGCAAAUUUUAAUGAUUUUUCUUUUAAUCUCUGAUAUUUCAAUGUCAACAAUAACUGAUAUUUAAUUUAUUGACACAUUAAUAUUAAAUAAUUUAUGAUACUUAUUUAUUAAAAAUGAAAAAUGGUGCAUAUGAACAUAAUUAAUGAUAUUUUUUAUAAUGUGUCAGUAAUUAUGUGUCAGUAAAAAUCAUUUUUUUUAGUAGUGAAGGUGGCGAGUGUGAAGAAUUGUGUUGUGAAUUUGGGGACUAAAAUGCAAUCGAAAGAGAGUUAUGGGCCAUAGUCCAAAUCGCAUUCAGUGUAGGGGUGAUAUGCAAAUAAUUUGCUAAUGUGGCAAAGUUUGUUAUGGUCGUUAGAAGCGUUUUUGGAAAAUUUCCAGAACCCUCUGUAUAAAAGGGCUGAUGAACAAACUCUGAUAUGCGCGUGUUUUCUCUUUCUUUUCUCAUCCAAAUUCUGUAAUUGUUGCUUUAAUUGAAAACUUGUAAUCUCCUCUGUAACGUGUGAUCGAGGUGUAAUCAGUUUGAGAAAUAAAAGCUUGUGAGUUUUUCCUUCAAACAGUAUCGUUUUGGUUAAGCUCAUUAGUUGUUAUGUGCCUCUGUGUUUGGCGUUUUUCUUCUCUGAUUCUUGAUCUGUUUCUUAAAUCUUUUUCUGGUAAUUUGUUCUCAAAAUUAACAUUUAGUCUUUUUAUUAAUUGAAAAAAAAAAAGAAAAUUCACUCAAUGAAGGGGUCGUAACCCGCCUUACCCGAAGUAACACUAGGCAUAAAGCCAAGAGCACAAAUUGGCAACAUCUUGAGGACCCCAUUAUGUUUGAAACUGGAAAGGAAAAUACAAAUAAUUAUAGAUCAUAGAGGAAUAUAUGAUUAAAUAAAGACUUUAGUUGAAAUAGUCAAGGCAAAAAUGUGUGCGUAUAUAUAUAUAUAUAUAGCUCGCGCCUCUCUCUAUAGACUUCUGCAAUUUUUUUUUCUUGAAUAAUUUCUCAUGGAAUGAACACGUAACUUAUACAAUCCAUUAAAAAAUCCAAUUGUCAAUAAAAUAAAUAAACAAAGUUUACAAAUGAAUUUAACUUAAAAAGAAAAGAAGACUAUAACAUAGGUGGUCCAUAUAACAUUUUGAAGAUAACGUGCUUUAGCCUAGAGCACAUCUGGUGACGAUGCCAUUAUAUGAGCAGAUUACAAAGUCAAUGUAUCCUGCAAUGGGAUCAAUAAAAAAAUUAAGGAGGAAAGAACAUUUCCCGGCCAGCUAAAGGGCAUUUGAGGCCUUAGCCAAUUCUUUUUACAAGGCCUCUUAACAGUAAUAUAAAAAUUACUUAAAAUGUUUCACAAAUUUUCUGUUGAUAGAAAGAUUUCGGGCCAAUGGAAGAUUGUUGCAACUGAUGAAAUAAGUUACUUCUAUUAUGCGUAUGAAAUAAGCCACUAAAUAAACAUGCAACUAAGUGUUUAAUAAACUAUGUUGUUGUGAUUGCCGUAAGUUUUAAAAGCAAAAUAUUUUCGUUUGGUAAAUUUUAUUCCUAAAGUGUUUGUUUUAUUGUACAAUGACUAAAAUGGACAUAAUUUGAUUUUUAUUUUUCUAGAGAAAAUUUGAUAAAUUUUCCAGAAACUUUUUUUCUUCUUUUAAACCACACAAAUUUAAUUAAAUUAAAAAAAAUCAACUCAUUAAAAUAUAAGGAAAUUAAUAAUAGUUAUAAAAAAAAUCUUACUAUAAUGUGCGUGCGUGUAUCUGUGUGUGUGUGUAAUAGAAAUUAAGUAAUAUGAAGUGGUGAUAAGAGUUAGCUUUAGAUCAAAAUUAUAUGGUGCUAUAAAUAGUUUAAAACAUUGUAAAAGUCUAUUUACGAUGUCGUAAAUCCUUUCUAGUUUUUUUUCCUAGACUUUGAUUCUAAAUUGAAUUUUUUUUUUAUUGUGGUAAUAUGUUAGAUUUAUGAUUUUUAUAUUAUUGUUUAUGGAAAAAUAUGGUAUAAUUUUUUUAUUAAAAUAAUAAGCUUAUUCUAGAGUGUAGCGACUUAUUUUGUAAUUUUCUUUUAAAAAGUAUUCCCUUAUUCCCUUCUAAAAGGUCGAUAAUAUUUUCACCCCCAAUUUUUGUAAAGCUACCCCACUUCUAGAAAGUAAUUACAUAAAGAUCACAUUAUUUUUUAAAAAUUUCAAAUAAAAAAGAAUUUUUAGAACUAAUUAAUUAAAUUUAUGUUAAUUUAUAUUUUUGUGUCUUACAUAUUUUAUUAUAUUUGACUGCUAAAGUUGUUUUUACCCUAAGUUUAAAUUUAUCAAUUUACCUUAGUAAGGUAAAUGUACCAAAACUUUACUUUAUCUUCAAUUUUUUACAAAAUUUAUUAUUUCUAAAUGAUGUAUCAAUACUAAUUUAUUACUAUGAUUAUUAAUUUUUAAAUCAACCAACAUAAUGUCUUUAAGGUACAAUACUCAUGUAAAUUAUUGGGGUAUCAAAUUCAUGUCAUUUACAUAUAUGGUAUUGAAAACUAUUAAAUUUCAUACAAAAACAUUAGAUUAUUGAUCACAAGAUUAAAUACCUAAAUUAUUGUUUACAAGAAUUAAUAAAUAUUCUCAGGUCGAUUAAUUUGGUCAUUUUAUGUGAAGAAAAUUAUCAACCACCCACCUUACUUUUUACUUUGCGUUCAAAAAUACUAAAAAAGUUUUAAUUUAUUUGAUUUUAAUUUCACCCUAAGUUUACAAAUUGUAUCAACAUAGUAAAAUAGAAACAAAAUGAUAAAAUAGAAGCAAAGAGACGAAAUUACCCAUACAAAAUGAUCAAACAAAAACAAACAAAAUUGACAAUGGUGGUCAUUUUGUAAAGGUAAUUUAUUUUUUUGGAUGGUAGAUAGAAAUUACAAACUUACGAAGGAUGAUUGAACAAAUUCUAACUUUUAUAGUAUUUUUAAACAAAAUGUAAAUUUAGAAUGGAUGGCUAAUAAUUACCCUUUUAUGUCGUAAUGAUAAAAUAGUCAAAUGAAAUUUAUGUUAAAGCAACCUUAGUGGUAAAAAUUGCUCAGAGAAACCAAAGUAAGGAAAAAUUAUAAGAAGGAUUAAUUAAUUAAAUGCACUAAUUUUUUACUAAUUUGUAUUUAUUAAAAAUAAUGAAAACAUAUUGUAUAUAUUUUCCAAGAAAUGGGUGAAUUUCCACAAUAAGUAAGGUGAAAAUAUCCCCGCUCUUUCUAAAAUAAAAUAUGUUAGGAAGUUACAAAAUAAAAUUUUUUGUUGGUCAACCAUAUUGGUGGAACCGUGGAAAUAAGCAAAAAAAUUAUUUAUUGAUUAAAAAGAGACAAUUAAACUCAAUCUUAAACUUUUUACCAGCCUUACCCCUCGUAAUAACAAAAUGCAAUAAGCCAAAAACAGAAAGAGCGACAACAUCUUGAAUUCUGAAGCUAAACCUUCAUUCCAAAAUAACAAUGAAAAUGCAGAUACGAAGAGGAACCAGCGAUGAAACAAAGACUUAAGACUUUAUUCCAAAUCCAGUAGGAGACCUAAAAAGGGUACACGAUCGAUAAUAAGAGUUUUAAUUGAUUUGAUGAAAGCAGUGAUUAAGCAAUUAACGAAUUGGUUGUAACCACGAUCAAUUCCUCUUUCUCUAAUAACAGCAAGCGAGUCCUCCUUGGAAAGAGUUCCCUCAGUGUCGGUAGGUUUAAUAACAUGAACCUCAGCACCAAUGUACACGUAUUAUUAAGAAGGUACCCUUUUAAAUGUUAAUUAAAUUCUACUAGGGUAAGAAAUUUGCCGAAGCCCCAUUCACUUGUCUGAUGAUCAUAGGUCCCCACUGGAGAUUUAGCAUCUUGGACUGCCAAGUAAUCCUUCCUAAUCUUAUCAUACACAAACAAUCUGUAGUAGACAUUAACACUCCAGGCAGCAUUAGAAUAAGAAUUGCUUUCAUCUAUUUUCAGGUAAAGGGAAAGAUGACGUCUAUGUUCUUUGUGAUCUACUGUAUUGCAUUUGAUGAGGGGUAAGGUUCAUAGUACGUAUGUCCUCUAAUUAAGUGUUUCUUUCUUUUUGAUUUAGACAAAAAUAUCUACAGUCUACCUAGAGUUUCACCAUUUUUCAAAAACUGUUCUACUUCCAACUUAAUACCGUUAGUAACUUUGAUAGAAUAUUAGCAAAAUGACAAUGUUGCCCUUUAAUUUACACCAUAAAAUAAUAAAAUUAUAACAGAAAUACAAACCAAAAUUAAAAAACAGGAAGGUAUUUUUCAGAAAUCCUCUACUUACAAAACCAAACCCUUCAUUAAAUCACAAUCUCAUAAAUCAUAACCCUAAUCUUACGACUCAAAUCCUACGAAAUCAAAACCCCCUUAAUCCUGUCCACUAUCUUAGGGAGAAAAAUAAAUAAAUAAAAGUCUAAAAUGAUCAAUUUUGACAAGUUCGAUUCUUCUUAUUUAUUUUAGAGAAAAAUGAAUGUAAAUGACUACUUUUGAUGAGUAAAUUAUAAAAUGAGGCAAUAGAUGUGAAGAGAGGGAAAAUGGAAAAUAGAGGAAUUCUAUAUUGAUUUGACAAUAAUGGAUUGUUCUUUAUACUAAAUUACGUUUGGGCUAUCUUAUAUAAAUAAAAAACAAAAAGUGUACUAAAUAUUUUUAUAGUACAAAUAGUCCCAUAAUUAUUGAUUUUAUAGGUAACUGUUGGAUUAAUUUUAUUAAGUACUUCUUUGGUUCGAUUAUCAAUCUCAACCUUAUGUUGAUCGAUUCAUCUAAUUGUUCUCGUCAUUCUUCAAAGUAACCCAGUUGGUUGAUUUCUAAUCUCGGUUACAGAGGUAAAAAACUGGCGUUAUUAGUCAGACUAUUCAUCCUAGAGAUGAUAUAGCAAAUGUGUUUUAUCUUCAAAAAAUUUGUAUCAACCACCUUAAACCUUUUAUUUCCACGCAAGAGAUUUUAGAGAAAAAAACUCGCUAAUACCCACAACUUUAUUUGAAGCUUUUGUUUAUUCAUUUUAUUGGCAAUUACUAUAUGUGUUACAUCGUCUUUAACAAAUGAAACUUAUACUAUUGACUAGCAUAGCUUAAUUUACACUGACCUUCCGUAAUUAAAGUUUUAUUACAAGCCCUAAUUGAAAUUAUUAAAGAGCAAAAUUUAUUAAUAUUGGCUAAUACAGGCUAGAUUUAUUAUAUAUAGUGACUUAACAAAAAUACUACAAUAUGAUAUUUAUUACUAAUAUAGCUAAUGACUUUAUUGGCUUUAAUUACGGUUUGUGCUAUAGUAGUCAUAUUUGAUGUCAACAUCUGAAACUUUCACGCGGCUGCUGCGGAGUCCUAUUGGUUAGGGGUAGUUGUUGUUAUAGUGAAAAUAAAUCUUUAGUUUUUAUUUACUUGUAGAAGUGUCCACUAAGUGAGCACUUGUUGCUCUCUUUUAACUGUCUUUGUUGUUUACUGUUACAGUCUCUGUAUAAAUUCAGAGUUCAAAGAUGAAUAAUGACAGCAGAUUAAUUUUCUUCAAAGUUCAUCUAGUAUUGCAGGCGUAGGGAUUUGAACGUUCAUCUAGUAUUAAGAGUCUAAAGAUGAAUAAAGGCAGCAAAUUAACAUAAAAAGAUCGUCUCCUGAUCUAAUUUGUUCUGAGUUUUUCAAGAUCUUCUGUCAUGUGUCUUUUAGUGGUAGUGUAUGGGUAAGAUUCAACUUAUUUUAUUUUUUUUAUUUAUUAACUACCAAUCAGUAAUUAAGUUAUUUGCUCAGGACAUGAUUACAUCAGGAGAGAAUCCUGAUCCGCAUAUUAACAUCUACUCAUUUAUUAUUAAGACCUUCGCCUUUACCUAACAAAAAUUAUUAAAGAAUGAAAUUUUUUAUUAAUAUUGGCUUAAGAUUUAAUUGGCAUUAGUCAUGCUAGUCUAUUUUUAAUGUUAAGUGAUUUUCAUUAUAUUACUAAAACAUCUUUUUUUUUCAUUAGAUUAAUAAAACUUGUUGAAAUUAUAUAAUGGCUACUUGAUCUAGAAUGACCCAAAAAAAAUAAAAACUCUAUCGGUGUCUCAUUUUAUUAAACGGGAAAAUUAAAUUAUUUCCUUCAUUGAGAAACAUAAUUAAACCUCAGGGAUUUGAAAGUUAUUAACUCAAACAAGGCUUGAAGUUCUAUGAUUCCAAUCUAUUAAAUUAGUUUUAUCUAAUCUCAUAGAACUCAAAUCAAGUCUUCGUUUUAAAGAAUAAAUUUAUUAUAAUGAACUUACCUAACAAAAAAAGUUAAAGAAAGACCUGAACUUGUUGAUAUUCCAUAUGGUAAUUAAUUUGAUUGAGAAUGACCUUAACUUAAUCAGAGACUUUUCGGAUUUGUUAAUAAAGAAAGAUAUGCUUUACGUUAUCCAGUUCACACAUUACAUAUGAUCAAGGGGCUAAACAUUGCUGCCUAAAACCGACAGUCGAUCCGGUGCUUGGUCCGCCGAUUUACACGUCCCAAAGGUACAUAAUACUUGGUGGACAAAACAGCUAUUGAGGACAAUUACUAUAGGUUGUAGUUUGAAAGGCACGAAUUCAUUAAAGUAAGGCCAAAAUUACAUUGAACCCUUAACUAGGUGACUUGUGGGAACUUAUGUCCGCAAAAAAAAAAAAGCCUCGUGAUACAAGAGUUAACGUAGAACCAAUCCUAGAGAGCUUUCCAAGCCAAUAGGAGGCCUAGACCGACGUUCUGACCAAUUGGCACGGAAGCGAUGUUAUCCCACGUAUGGUCCUGACAAAAGCCUUCGAGAAUAUCACUUCUCAUAAACCCUAGUUCACCUUACUGAAAAUAUUCAGCGAUACUGUUAGCGUUGGGUAUGGAUUCGGCAGGAUUGGAUAUAUGAAAACUCAACUCAACCUGCUACUGACUGAGUUGAUAAAAAAUCAACCAACCUAACCUAAUCAAAUAAAUAUGUCCAACCCAAACCAACUCAAUUCUCAAAUUAUUGGGUUGGAUUGGGUUGAGUUGAUUUGAUUGAUUAAAAUAAGAAGUAAAUGAGCAUUUACCCUAUUCAAAUAUAUCAACCAGUUAUAAAUGAAUGUCAAUAAUGAAGCAAUUUUUUUAUUAGAUUAAUUGAACUUGUUGAAAUUCCAUAAUUUGCAAGUUGAUUUAGGAUGACUUAAAAUGAUCACACCUGUGUUAGGGGAAUUUGUUAAUAAAGAAAGACUUGCUUCGCUUUCUCCAGACUUUGUUAAAUCUUAGAAUCUGCCUAUAUAUAGCUUGUAGUAGCUAAUCCAGAAUAUCCAUCGAAAGCUAAUUUCACAAAUUUCCUGCCUGCCUUUUGAGUUCAUCAAAUCCUUUAACCUUUUCAGAAAUUCUACCAUGGGCGACAACGGUACGUUUUGUGCUAAUUACUGCUUUUCGAAUAAUCUUAGUUUGUAUCAUUUAAAUUAUCAUCGUAUUAAUUAUAGUCAUUGCUACGUACAGUAUUCUUACAUAUCUAUUUUCAUGUGAAUUUUAGCAAUAUCAAGGGAGAAAAGAAGUCUUCCUCCAGCUGACUACUCACUGAAAAUAGAGUCAUUUAAGCUGCUAUCCGAAUCAACGGUUGAAAGUUUUGAAUCUGGUGUUUUCAAAUCCGGGGGCUACAACUGGUACGCCCAUCUAUGCAUGCCUGCCUCCAGUCUUUGUAUUGCUUAUAGAAUUGAAAAUGAAUGUAUUAUAUUACAUUUGUUAAUUAAUAUUUAUAAGUUUAAUUUAUUAAUUAUUUUUGUAUAUGGCAGGAAAUUGGUUUUCUACCCCAAUGGAAAAAAGAAUAAUGGUGGCAAAGACCACCUUUCCCUUUACCUGAAAAUAGACGACAGCAAUCCCCAUUCUGAUGGUACUUGGAAUGUUAAUGUGUACUACAAAUUGUUUGUGUACGAUCAGCUAUCGAACCAGUACUUGGUGGUUCAGGAUGCUAAAGCCCCAAUGAGGGGCUUUGAUAGGCGCAAGGGUGAAUGGGGCUUCGGCAAAUUUCUUGACCUUGCAACUUUUAAUGAACCUUCAAAUGGGUACCUUGUUGAUGAAAGUUGUGUAUUUGGUGCUGAGGUCUAUGUUGUUAAACCAACUGGCUCUGAGGAAAUUCUUUCCUUUGUUAGUGAACCUGAUGAUGGAACUUAUCGUUUUACCAUCCCAGCAUUCGGUUCUGUAGGUGAUACCGUUCAGCGCUCAGGUGAAUUCACUGUUGGAGAAAGAAAUUGGUAAGUAUGCACCUACUUUUAAUUUAAUAAAUGGUCACACAGAUUCACCUACUGCCCACUGUUUGGACAAACCGUGAAGUUUGUAUGACCAUUCUUUAAAACAAUAGGUCUCUGUGAUGAUUUUGCCAAACCUUAAGGUGUCGUUGUUCAUUUUUUUAAUUAAUUCUAUUUGGUAAAAUAUAGGCAACUGGUGGUUUAUCCGGCAGGAUCUGGAGCUGAUAGAGGCAACUAUCUUACUGUUUCAUUAAAGCUAGCUGAUUAUCAAAAAGUUACACCUAAGAAACCAGUUUAUGCAGAAUUUAAGUUCAAAAUACCCAACCAAUACAGCAGGAAUAGAGCUGGCGCUGAACAAAAAGGUGAGUACCCGCCCUUCACCGGCAUCAACUCUUUACUAGCUUCAUAUGUAUUUGAAGCCUAGCUUAUUACAUAAACAAGAGCUGGCUAACGCAUAUUAAUUAUACAUCGAACAUUAUUUUGUUGCAGUUAAGUAUUUUUUCAACUCGGCAGCGGAAAAAGAGUCUUCCAAAUUUUUGUCGAGGGAUGAUCUGUAUGACACCACCAAGGGAUACCUUCCAAGCAAUGAAACCCUAGUUGUUGAAGUCCAGUUUCUUGUUGUUUCAGUGAUUAAGGCCAACACUUAAUUCAUGCAUCGUCAUCAUGCAUGAUUUGCUGUGAUCGCUUUGGAUGAGUUCGUGAGAUUUCAUGAAGGGUGCUGAUGUUUUUAUUGAGUACUUGUUAAUGAUUUCCAAUAAAACGCUUGUGUUGCUAGUCUAUGCAAGAUUGCGUUUGCUUAUGUUAUUUUGUUUUGUUUCUUCACGAUGCGUUUUGUUGAAAAGUGUGUUCAUCAGGCAAUGCCUGAUUACAAAUAAGUUAAGAUGAGAGUAAUCAUCUGCAUGUGUUAUAAUAAAAAUCUUUGUGUCACUUGUGCUUCCUCUGUUAUUUGAAUGUAUUUUCGUUUUAAGAUGAUUGAUUAUUUUGUGGCGCAUUCUUCAAACAGUUGGUAAAUCUGUCAUUAACGAAAAUUAAAUACGCACUCUAAUCUGAACAGCUUGACUUGUAAUCUCAAUGUUUGAUCUCAUGUUUCAUGAUAAUGCAUGAUUUCCUCUGAUCGCUUUGGAUGAGUUCAUGAGACAGGGUAUUGAUGUUUUAAUGAAGUAUUUGUUGAUUUCGAAUAAAAUCAAUCAAAAUCUNNNNNNNNNNNNNNNNNNNNNNNNNNNNNNNNNNNNNNNNNNNNNNNNNNNNNNNNNNNNNNNNNNNNNNNNNNNNNNNNNNNNNNNNNNNNNNNNNNNNGAAUUAUCAAAAUCUCAUUGAGUUGUUUGAAUUAGAACCACAUUUAAUCAUGCUUCGAUUAGAGCGUAAUCUAAUCACAUUAGCUUGAUCGGCUCUAGAAUGAUAUCUAGUAUUUAUCUACCCUAUCAGUCCACUUCUGCUACCCUACUCCAUCUACUAGUAUUAGCAGUUAUGUGUUAGUCACGUAACUUUUUAGGCUUCCCACAUUCAUCUCUAUCGAAUCCAUCACAAAAAAAAAAAAAAACUUUUAAGAGGAAGUGAUUGAUGUAAGCAUUAUUUUAGGAUUUUUAAAAUUUUGUCAUUUUAGGUCUUUUGAUAUUUUUUUUUUUAAUUAGAGUCAGUUAUGAUCCUUUUAUUUCCAAUAUAAUUGUGAUUUAGAAGGCGCUUGUUAUUUUGUCUGAAUUCUGAAUAGAGCUGAAUGUCUAAAUGUAAAUGACAUGUUUUUUUUUUUGUUUGAAUAGCUAAAAAUAAAUAUUAAGUUGUUUGCUUUUUUAACUUAAAAAAUCUGAAAAACUAAUAUUUUUACAUUUAUGCCCUUACAAAUUAUAAUGUUAAACAAAUAAUAAACAUUUUAAAGAAUAUAAAUAAGGCAAUAAAUUAUCAUAACAUAAAUCAUAUUCAAUUGAGUACAACUCUUUAAUAUUUUAUAUUAAUACGUUAGUUAAUUUUAUUAUAGUUCGUAAUGUUUUUAUAUGAAAAAUAUUCAUAAAACAUUAUGAAGAUAAAUAAUGCUAAUUUGAACAAAAUAAAAAGAUAAAAAUGAUAAUACUCUACCACUAUAUAUUAUCACAAGUUAUAUACAGAUGGGUAAUAAUGCUAUUUAUUAAAUUUUAGUUAGUUAAGGAUGAAAAUUAAUUAAUUAAAUAGGAAUAUUUUGAAAAAUAUCUUUUAAUGAUAGGAUUCAAACUUUUUAGAUUAGGUAAAAAGAUAAAAAAUAUAGCUUAAUAACUUAAUUACUGAAAAUCUUCAUUAACUUGAAAAAAAAAACAUACUUAAUGACUUAACUGAUUAAAAUUAAGUCAAUUAAGUUAUUAAGUAAAAAAAAAAAACCUUUAGUUUCCCUUUUAAGGUAAUUUAGGGAAAUAGUUUUAUCCUAUUAUAAAAAAAGAGAUCUUGUUAUUGUUUCCAUAACCUUUGAUUAAUAAAAAACACUCUUUUAACAUGUUAUCAAAAUCUGAUUGAGUCAUUUAGAUCAGAACGAAAUCUAAUUAUACCUCGAUUAGAGCAUAACUAGUCGUAUUAACUUAGUCUGGUUCUAAAACGAUAUCUAAUAUUUAUCUACCCUAUCAAUUCACUUCCGCUACCCCACGCCAUCAAUAUUUUAGUUAUCUUAAAAGAGAUUAAUUUAGAAACAUACUUAAAAAAAAGUUAAAACUUAAUUGAUUCUUUUGUAAUUAAUCCUAAAAUAUUAGGGGUUUCAAAUAACUGUUUUAGCUAGGUCGAGCUGUAAAUCUGCCCCAAACUUUUUCCAGUUAACCUAGUUUGUUAACAUAUAUGUUUCCAUAAUAUUGAUUUUGAUGAUAACAAACAAGAUUAAGAAUGAUUAAUCUUUUAAGCUCAAAUUAUUUAAUAUUCUUUUUAAAUAAAUCAUUAUUUUCACAUUAUAAAUGUUUUGUAUUUAAUGGAAAAAUGAUUUUAUGAAAUUGAUUGUUUUUAUUCUUUUUAAAUAAAUCAUUAUUUUCACAUUAUAAAUGUUUCAUAUUUAAUGGAAAAAUGAUUUUAUGAAAUUGGUUGUUUUUCAAAGUUUAUGGUUUAAUUGAAAGCAUUUUGAAAACUUUGAAAUAAACAAGUAUUGCUUGAAAUUUUGGUGAAGGACUUAUUUGAAAAGUGUCAUAGCAUUUUGGGCUAUAACAUAAUUUUAAAAAGUUUUGGGAUUAACAAAGCAUUACUUAGAAAUUCUGAAAUUGGACAUAUUUGUAAAGUUUCAUAACGUUUUGGGCUAUAGUAUAAUUUUGUAAAGUUUUGGGGUCAAACUAUAAUUUCAAAAAAUAGUGCACUGUGCAUGUUACUGUAGCAAUCACUGUAGCAAACGGCUAACCGAUACUUUUCAGAAAGCAUGUUCUGCAAAGUAUUGUUAAAAUGAUGAUUCUGGAAACUAACGGUGAACCGUUUACUGAAAACGGUUAACCAAUUAUUUCCAGAUUGCUAAUCUUGAACCGUUUAGUAAAAACGGUUAAACCAAAUUUAUUUUGCAGGUCUCUGGAAAUUAACGGCGAAAGGGUAAGCCUAAACGGCUAACCGUUUAUUUGAAAAUUGGCCCAACGGUAACUUUGACCGGCCUAAACGGUUAACCGUUAAUGGUUAACGGCGAACCGUUUUUGAGCAGACAGUCUAUAACGGCUAGUUUUUCAGCUCCAACUAUAAAUAAGCUCAAUCCAAUUCAAACAAGAAGAUUUCCAACGAUCAUUAUUGAGCAAAAUAUAGAGAAUACAACUUUCAUUGAGCUUUAAAUCUUUGUAUUCAUCUCAUUCAUUCACACAUUGAGCUUUCACUUGUGAUCAAACACAUUGUGUGAGAGAGAUUCAUUUGUAAUCUUUUUUGUAAAAUCAAGUUAAAAGAUUGUAAGUGUUGGGAUACACUUGGGUUAAGAGAUUGGGGAUAAUCUCUUGUUGUAAAGGUCCAUUGACACCUUGGAAGUCAAUUGUAAGCGUUUGAAGCCUUGGGAGGCUAGCUUAGUGAAAUCCUCAAGCCCGGUGUGCUUGGAAGCGUGGACGUAGGCGGGAAUAGCCGAACCACGUAAAAAUUCUUGUGUUCGUUUUCUCUUCCCUUACUCUUUUAAUAUUGUGCUUGAUUGAAUUUAUUGUUUUCGAAUUUAUUAAGGCAUUCGAUUAAAUUGUUGUGUGGUUUGCCUAGGAUAAUUUUUAAAAUCCCAAUUCACCCCCCUCUUGGGUUGCCUAGUUAGUAUUUCAUAGUUAGCUCCUACAUAAUUUUCUUUCUCAUAGUUAGUUUUCAUAGUAAGGUUGUAACAGCGUGAUAAGGUUAAUAUCGUAAUUUCUCCUUCUUCUUUAUUUUCUAUUAGUUUUGUUCUCAAUUUUUUUUUUGUAUUCUUUGCAUGCAUGGUCGAAGGUCACAAUUACCUAAUCUUGAGCAUAUGGACUUUAAAUUGGAAAAAACACAUCGCACACACAAACACGUUGCAAUUAAAGGUAAAAUUGAAAUGGAUUUGCAACAACCGGCACCUCAGGAGAGGCCAUUUAAGGACUAAUUCAGUCCCUUAGCUAACUUGAGCACAUCAUCUAUAAGACACCCAAAUGUAGCUGCUAGGAGUUUUGAGUUAAAACCUAAUGUGCUAAAUUGUCUCCCAACAUUCUAUGGCCUAGAAAAUGAAAACUCAUAUAAUCAUCUAAAUUAUUUUCAUGCCGUUUGUCAAAUUUUUAAAUAUAAGAAAUUUUCAGAUAAUGAUGUUAAACUUAGAUUAAUCUAAUUUUCUUUAAAGGAUAUAGCUCGUUCAUAAUUCAAUACAUUGCCUGCUAAUAGCAUUACAUCAUGGGAACAAAUGGUAACAAAAUUUUUGAAUAAAUACUUUCCAGUGCAUAAAACCAAUGUUAUUCGCAGGGAAAUUUCAAAGUUUACCUAGAGAGAAGACGAGCAGUUUUUCAAAGUAUGGGAGCGAUUCAAUGGGCUACUCUUGAAGUGUUGACAUGAUGGGUAUGAGAAAUGGCAUCAAUGCCAAUUCAAUUUGAAGGGAUUAUUGCCGCAUGUGCAAGAAUGACUAAUGGCAACAAAUAGAGGAGAGCUAAUGUCAAAAAGUGCAUCAGGAAUUUAGGAUUUUUUCCAACGACAAGUGGAUAAUUCCCAACAAUGGAGUUGAUCACUCAGGAAUAUUAAAAGAAUUACAGGAGUGAAUGAGGUUCACAUUGGCGAGUCAAGUUCAGAAAUUAAAGAAGUCAAAGAGAUAGUUGAAGGUCUUUCUCGAUAAAUAGCAUUGUUAAUAGCUGUUAAAUCAACAGAGCCACAUGACCAUGACUCAUACCCAGAUCAAGCCAAUGCCAUAAGUGUAAUUAAAAAGCCAUCAAACUACAACCCUUACUCCAACAUAUAUAAUCCUGGAUGGAGAGACCAUCCCAAUUUUUCAUGUUCUCAAGGAUUCCAACAAAAUGGACUAGCAGCUUCAGCUCCACCAAUGCAACCAGUUCGCCAAAAACUUGUUGGUUAAUUUCUAUAAUCAAUUAUUAUCAAUGCCAAUGUGCAAGUAUACACAACAAGUAAUAAAGUGAUGAGCAUUCAAGAUCGUCUCCAUAGGGAUUGAUGUUACUCAAAAUGCUAAAGCAAAUCACAAUAAUGCAAAUCAAUUACGGACCGAAACAACCAAUUGUCGAAUAAUUCUAUGUAACUAAUAGUUGUAAGAGAUGAAAAUAAAACAAUACUGUAAUGAAAUAAACUCAGUUGAAUGUGUCUAAGAUUCAAUUGAGAAUAUAGUAGUUGAAUGAUCAAACUCUCCUAAUGGAAUGACUGUUGUUUACCAAAUUAAUACCAGUUGUAACAAUAAGUGCUUCAGCAAUGGGUAGAAUAACUUUGCAUCCGUAGCUAUCGCAUGUUGGAAAUCUCAUACGUUUAAAUCUACUAACAAUGACCAGUUGCUCAUAUAUUUAUGGUAUGGCAUUAUAACCUUUAAUCUCUCUACCCUACAAGGUGAACACCUAUGUCUAGAGUGUCACAAAUCUUAACUUCAAGUAUGGCCCUUAUGAGAUUCAAGAUAACCUAAUCCAGGAAACUCAACUUAAGAAUAAGUAAUACUCUAAUAAUGUCCACUAAGACAUGCCCUUUUGCUGCUCUGUCUUAACUGAAACUAUUAAAUGGGUGAUCAACCGAAAUAACAAUUGUAUUCAUAAAAACUACUCGAGUAUAAUGCUACAGCGUUACCAUAACAACAUAAAAGAACAGUCAAGAACCCAUUGGAUUAUUUGUCACUCAACCACAAGUAAAUUUAGUUCAUAAUCUGGAUGAGAAAAAUAAACACCAAUAUGUUGGUCUCGGAAUACAUCAAAUCAAUUAAAGGAAAAAGAUAAAUAUAAGUUGAGCACAAUGAAUAUCAAAGUCAAGUAAUUCUGCACGAUUGUUCAAUGUUACCGAAACAACACUCUUCAAUUCUGAUUUUCUUCUCCUUCGUUCCUUCUAAUUACUCUAAUGAUAAUUCCUUUCCGCCUUUCUAUGUGGUGCACACCUCCUUUUUAUAUUGCAAAUUAAGUUAAAACCAAAGCCCAUGAGCGUGCAUAUGUUUGAAUUAGGAAACAUGUAGAUCGCGAUUUUAUUGCUGACUUGCCCUAAGUUCUCUUCCGCAUUGCUCCCAGAUUGCUACAGCACUGUUUUAUUCCCGAUUGUGCUUUACUUCUUUUGUGGCCAUCUUCCUUCCUCAUCUUGUUCUUUUAAUGCCUCAACAUCCUCUCACGAAUUUAAAACCUACAAUUUAAACCUGUUUUUAUCACAAAUUACUGUGAUUCAAUCAAAACUUAUUAAAAUUCAACUAAAAUGAAUGUUUAUGCAAAAGGUACCCAAAAUGUAAUAAAAACACCUUAUUUGUUCUCUAAGUGACCUUGAUUCAAGUUUAGAAUUGAUGUAAUAAAUCUCAUUUCCUAGAGUUAUCAUUCCUUAAGCCUUACAACCACCAUUGAGACCAUACAAUCAGAACCCGAACUACUCUCAACCCAAACCAUGGGAGGAUGCAUUCUAGAAUUUCAAGAAUCUUACUCACUCCACGAUCUAGCAACAAACUGCACCAUUGAUAAACUAUGAAAUGAGAUAAGAGUAUGCUUCAACUCACAAACCCAAUCAGUUUUAAACCUCAAAAGAGAUGGUGGGAUAGCUUGCCUCUUCAGUUCAAACCUUAGCAAUGACUGUUGAGAAAGGCAAAUUCCUAAGUCAACCAAUGCCUAAUUCUAAAGGAGUGCAUGAAGUAAGUACCAAUUUAUCUUAGCAGCAUGGAGAGGUCAAAGCCGUUAUGACCUUGUGAAAAUGAAAAGAAGUCGACAGCAAAGUGGAGAUGUCGGUGACAAAAACAAAUCAAAUUUUACCUGUACAUGCUGAGGACUCAUCAUCAGAGGCAAAAGAAGAAACCAACCCACAAGAAUAUAUUCCUAAAGCUUUAUUUUCCUAGAAGUUAACUAAAUCAUUGCAUUUCUUAACCAUGCAAUAAAAAACUAUUUCAUUCCUUCCAUAGCGAAAAACUUUUUAUUUGUGCUCACACUGCUAAUGAGCCACUUGAUCUGUUACAAGCUUAUAGACCAGAGCCGAACCCCUGGACCUUUGUGUUGGAGCGUUCAAAUAAUGAUGGUAACAGUAGCCACAGUAAGAAGUUCAAAUUAGAUUUAACUCUCCGCUUGUAAAUAUUUUCUUUUGUGUUGCACCACCUAGGUGAUGUCUUCUAAACUCUAUUGCUUUCUUUUAAAACAUUGAGGACAAUGUUUUGUUCUGGUUGGGGGGAGGGAGUUGACAAUUGUGGAAUCUUGGUUAAGUUUUUACUUAUUUUUUGUUGUAGAGACUAACCGUGGCUAACUUUUUGUGUUGAAGAUGAUUGAAUAUGGAGUGUAGUUACUGUAGAAACGCAUAUUCGUCUGAAAAAUAAAACAAAAAAAAUUCUAGACAUUUUCUUUUUCUUUGUUAAGCUUUGACAAUCAUUUCUUUUUCUAACUUCUUCUUUUUGAUUUCUCCUUUAUACAUAUACACUUUCAAAAUUUUGAGUCAAAGAUGGCUGAAUAUAAAGUGUAAUGACUCUAGAAACACAUCUUCUUAAUUAAAAAAAAUAUUUUCUUUUUCUAUCAUUUUAAGUGUAACUUUUCUAAUUAGUUUUUCUGCAUCAUUUUUACCUUUCUGUAUUUUCUUUUCAUGUUUAGAAUAGGUUGGGGGAUAGAAUGUCGUUUGAACCUAAAAAAAAAAUGUAUGUAUUUUUUUAACAUUGGAUGACAUGAUGACUUUCAAAUUUUAGUAUUUGUAUUAUCUUUGGUCUUAAGUGAUAUUACGCCAUAUUUGCUACUCUACAUGUUGAUGUCAGAGACAAAUAUGAGUUGCUUGAAGGAAUACACAUGUCAUAAUGACUACCAAGUGAGUUUUUUAGCCUAUCAUUUUUCUUAGAGAGUAACCCCUUUUUGCUCAUUCUUUAUACAGCUUAGCAGUUUAUUAUUUUAUACAUGAUCUCUAGAUUUCCUUUGAGUCAAUCCUUAAAAAAAAAUUAAAUAAAAUCAAAAAAAGAGAAAAAAAUGUGCGUUGCCACAUCUGGAGGUCCAUCUAACUAGUGGAUAUGGAAGAUUAUUUAUCGCCCUAAAAAAUGAUAGAAAGGCCAUUUUUGACCCGUUUGAGCCUUUCUAGCCAUCCCUUUUGUGAAAUAUCCAUAGUUAACCCUUUUGAGCCUUAAAAAAAAAAAAUUCUAUGUCAACUUAUCAGCUUGACCCACUCUUAUUUGGAGAAUUAUUUGAUAUCUUACAAGUUCCAUCACCUAUUUAUGUUUGAGAAAAAUACAAAUAAUUAUCUUAUUCAGUUAAGUUGUGCCAUACAAAAAAAGAAAAGAAAAAAAUUGUUUAAAAAAAAAGUGAAAAAAAUAACAAUAAUAAUUAAUAAGCGAAAUGUACCAUGUCCCUAGCCUACGUUAUGUCCUAAUAAAAGUCCUUCUUAAUUUUAGGGAUUUAUAGUAUGAAAUAGAAGCUAGUUUUAUGGGCUAAAAAGAUGUAGUGAUGCAUAAAAAAAAUAAAAAAAUAAAUUGAGUUGACUAGCAUUUUGUUUGACUUAAAGAUCGUGUUAUUUCUAAGCUGUGGGCAUAUUUCUUUCAUAUUGGUGAGAGCGUGUGAUAUUACGUCCUUAUUAUUUUUCUCUCAAUUUACCAUUCAUUGGAGUGACUAUUUUUAUUGGGAUUAAUUUCUUUGUGAGAGUGUUAUUACUACUGGUGAGCUUUUGGGGUUUGACAUGUCAUUCUUGAAAAUGGCUUGAUUACUAUAACUAUGACAAAUUCUGCUAGACUGAUGCAUGUAGAUGGUUGAUGUGGGGUGAUAUUUCUUUAGACUAGAGAUAACGUUUAUACUUUUAUUUCAUUGCUAUCAUUGGUCUAAUUCAAUAAACACGAGUGUUUAAAAAAAUUCGGUUUGAAUUUUGUUUUCGUUUUAAUUGCUAGGGACUAGCAAUAAGCUGGUUGGAGGGUGUGUUUAGUGUUAGAAAGUGUAUAUUUAUAAAAGAGAAAAUCGUCAUUUUACAUUUCAAGUCUUACUAACAUCUUUACUUUUAUGUAUUUAAGUUUCUUGUGAUUUAAUUAUUUGUGUUUUAUUUUAAUUAAGUAUUUUAUGUAUUUUAGGGGCAUCAUGGUCAUUUCGCAAUGAAUGAGAGAUCAGACAGCAAAACGGAAAUGAGUUUUGAAUUCAGGACAAUCGAAAACCUUAGGAGGAGCAUAAAAGGAAAAAUGGAACUGUUCACAUAUACGUUACUAUUCACAUGUACGGUACUGUCCAUGUUACUAUUCAUGACAUUCUUUACAUAUAUGGAAUGAUGAUGUGGUAUUGACCGAUGAUGUGGCAUUGACUGAUAAGGUGUUACGAUUCUAUUGGACUAAAAUUCUUAUGUACUGUUGAUCGGUGACAUGGCAGCAUGUCAGUAGACCAAAAAUUGUGUAGGAUACAUGCAUAUACACAAGAUUAUUUACAACCAAACCGCGUCACUAUUCAAGCCACUUGACUAUUCAAACCGCGUACUGUUGACUGAUGACGUGGUCCAAUCCUGAGCGUUCAAAAUAUUUUUAAUCCGUUGGCCAUGAUUUACUCAGUGUAUCUAUAAAAGGGGGGCUCUCCCCCCUAAUUAUGAGUAGCUAAUUUUCUUUCAAGCUUGGGUUGAAGGUGAAGUCUCAACAUGUGCCAUGGGCUUUAUUUGAUAAAUUUAUUCUCUCUUCCCUUCUUAUUAAGAUGGAUGUUUUGAAUUUUCGUCGAUAAAUAGUAAUAAUCUUGUCUAGAUACCGCCCUGGUUUAACCGGCUCCCUAGUACAAGGUUAUUAUUAUUUGACAUGAUAAGCCCUUAGCACCAUAUUGAUUAGAGCGUGGUUCAUGAGGAGUGGAUACCCCCCUCAUGAUUUAAUUGACACUAAUAAAGAAUAUUUAGCCCAUGGUGCGUGUUGAUGCAGAUCCAGAUACCCAAGCACUUCAAUUAUAAUAUUUUCCACUUUAAUUUAAUUCUACCAUUUCAAUUUAAAUUUUAGGUAUUCCAAAUUAUUUUUACCUUAAAUCUAACCACCAACUUAGAAAAUUAAUUCUACACAUAAUUAAAAUCCACCUCCUCGUGGGAUUGACACUCGUCACCAUUGAUCUAUUCUACAAUAGAUUUGUGCGCUUACGAGUUCAAUAAAAUUUGCACAACAGAUGAUAUGCUAAUUGCAAGCAAACACAAAUCUGAAGUAGAUAAAUUAAAGAAUCUACUGAAUAGUGAGUUUGAAAUGAAGGAUCUAGGAAGUGCAAAAAGAAUCCUUGGUAUAGAGAUAUUCAAAAACAGGGCUGCUGGUACUUUGUUUCUAUGCCAAGAAAAAUAUAUCAAGAAGGUUUUAGAAAGGUUUGAUAUGCACAAUAGCAAAUCUGUUUUGACACCUCUUGGUUCUCAGUUCAAAUUGUCAGCAGCUCAACUCUUAAAGGCUGAAAGGGCUCAAAUGGAUGGGAUACCAUAUGUACAGGUUGUGGGAAGCCUGGUGUGCGCAUUGGUUUACACCAGGCCAGAUAUAGCGUUUGAUGUGAGUGUGGUCAGUAGGUUUCUGAGUUGUCCAAAUAAAACUCAUUAGGGUGCUGUUAAAUGGAUUAUGAGGUAUCUUAGGGCUCUUUUACAUAUGGUCUUCUAUAUGGGAAGUCCAGAAGUGGUGUAAGUGAAAUUAUAGGGUAUGUAGACUCUGGCUUUGUUGGUGAUUUAGACAAAAGGAAGUCCAUCUCAGGGUACAUGUUUAUGUUAAACAUGUGCAUUAUAAGCUGGAAAGCAUCCUUGGAGCUAGUAGUAGCCUUAUCAUCAACUGAGGCUGAAUUUGUUGCAACUACAAAGGUAGUUAAGGAGGCUACGUGGCUUAAGGGAAUACUCAACGAACUUUGGUUGAAUCAGAAAACAAUUCAAGUUUUCUGUGACAAUCAAAGUGCCCUGCAAUUGAUUAAGAAUCCAGUCUACCAUGAGAGGACCAAGCAUAUAGAUGUAAAGCUACAGUUCACCAGAGAGGAAGCUACAAAGGGGACUGUAACAAUGUCUAAAAUUCAUACAGACAUGAAUCCAGCUGAUGCACUUACCAAAAUGCUUCCCACUGUAAAGUUUGAGUUAUGUGUGAACUUAAUGGGUGUCUUACCCAACUCAAACUGAAUUCAGGAGUGAAUUAUUGUUGAAGGUUUUUUAGAUAUUGCUUUGGUGAUGGUUCAAACUGAAUUUGAUCUGCAAGCACUACUAGAAAAAUGAGCUUUAUUGAUACUAGUUUAGUGUCAGUAAUUACUUUUCUUAACACUUAUUAAUUGUGUCCGUAAUGCUCAUGUCAGAACACACUGACAUUAAUUUUUAGUGUCGGUGAUUAUUGUGUCAGUAAUUAGUGUCGUUGUAGUAUCACCUAAAUAAUAACACGAUGGUGUUAGUAUUUGAUGAUAUUAUUUAUACGUCAGCGAUUUAUGUGACUAUAGUAUCAAAAGCACACUGAUUCAAUAACAUCAAAAGUUAUUAUUGUCAUUUUAAAUAUUUAGUUUUAGUAUUUAAUGAUAUUAUGCUGCUUUUGGUUAAUAGUUUAUUUUUAUGUUUAUUUUUAUUUUCCUGCUUAUUUUACAAUAAAAUAAAACUCAAAAUAUAUUAAAUAUACGAAAUCUCACAACACAAUUCAUAUAAUAAACAUCCAAAUACAUCACUUACAUUAAUAUAAUUCAACUACAUCAUUGUCUGGAAAAGAAAAAUAUAAGUACUAAAUUGAGUUUCGACCAGUUCUAAAUAAUAGAAUACAAAAUUAAGUUUCACCAAACAUUAACCUACAAAAUUAAGCAGAAGAAUGUCACUGAAUAUCCACACAUGGCUUUAGUUUUUUUCCCACCUAUAAGUACAUAAAAUCAAUUAGUACACCUAAAAAAAUAAGUCUUGGAUAUUUGGAAACAAUAUAUAAAGUGCAAUAAGUUUUCCAGUACACUAAUAUUAAUUUGAAAGAAUUUUUGUUUCUGAAAAUUACAUGGCAUGCUUAUCUAAUGAAAACCUUAUAAAUUAAGAAUGAACAUAUGUAUUAAUUUGAAAGCAUUCAACUUACAACUAAUCCUGAUCAAUCUUAAAUUGUUGGAAUGUCCUCUAGUUGAUGAGCAACUGGUGCUUCACCUCUAAAUUAGAGAGACAUUUAUAAGAAACUGUGGAAAUCUUAAACAAAGAAAUGUAAAUUUCAAAACUGUGUAUAAAGAAAAUCACAUAAAUCUAGUAGUGCAUUCUGCAUAUUACAUGAUCAUCCGGAAGCUGGUUCUGCCCAAUUAAAUGUUCAUCACUUAAUUAAUCUAGAGAAACCAAAAUUAAAAAAUAAAAUCUAGCUACCACUUUUCCAAUCACUAUUAUUAACCUCUUAAAACGUAAUCAAGUAACAAGCAGUAAAAGAUGGACGAGUAAAAGUAGAUAUUUAGAAGGUUUAUAAUUAAGCACUUAUAAUAAUAAUUCGGACAAAAUCCCAAAAUUGAAACAAAAGAAGCUUUAAAAUUAAAACAAGAGAUGAACAAGUUAGAUGAGCCAUAAUGACUUUUUAAUUAGCCAGGCUAAUUCAUAAGUUAAGUAACUAAUAAAAAUUAAGACUUAAAUUAAAAAUGUCUUCAUUUUGUUUAAUCAUCGUAUAAGUUUUUUUUUCUUAUGUCUAAAGCAUAUUUAGAGGGAGAGCUCAAUUUUACAACCUACUUAUGAAUUAAAUUUUAUCCACACAAAAGGGGAAAAAACACCAAGCUAAAGUUUUAAUUAAAAGAAUAGUGAAACUAGAAAGCAACGUGAUUAAUUAAGAAUUUCAUUUAAUUGUAUUCACAAAUUGAUGUGUUAUAUAUCUCUAUGUGUGUGUGAGUGUGCGCAAGCGCAUACAUAAAAGACCCUGCAUUACAAAGUUAAAAAUAUUCCUGUUAGUUUUGUUUACUAGUAAUGUUGACUGGGGAACAAAUCUCUUUUAUCAUGGAUAAUAUGUAGAGAGAUGAGAGAGUAGUGUUGUGUUAUAAAUAUUAAUUGUCAAACAAAUUAUUAUUUCUUAAGAGAUCUGACUUUCUCGACAGAGUUCUCAAAAAACAAUAAUUGUCAAAAAACAUGUUGACCGUUGAUAAGGCUUUUAACUAACUGCCUUAAGUAACAACUUUAAUAAAUAUUACAUUUUCAGAUUUCAAUAUGUUGUAGUUGGCAAAACAAAAUAUAACAUUUAAUCAUUAAAUAUUAUCCAAGUCCAACCCAACAAGAUAAAAUCAAGGAGCAUUAACAGAGGUCAACUAGCUCCCACCCCCCGGCAUAUUUUUUACAGUUUCUUGUGAUUAUACUUGUUACAACUACCAUCUCAUAGUUAUUGAAGAGGUCACUUUAGAUUUGGAAGGAGAGGGGAAAAAGUCAAAAUUAGACCACAAAGAAGAUAGUUUUCAGAGGAAAUUAAAAAGGAAUUAUACGACUCAUAUUAUGUAAAUGAGCGGCCUACAACACAUCAGAGUUGCAAAAUACUAAAAAGCUUGCAAUAAGGACCCAAAAGAGAAAGAGAGAGAGAGACAUAAAAUUAGCAUCUCUAAACAAAAUGUUGAAUAACAGUUUGAGAAAUAUUUCUUUUUUCUACUUUUCCAUAGUGAUGGGACUGGGAAUUAAGAUAAAGUAAAGAAAAUUAGGCAUAAUUAUUGUAAAAAAAUAAAAGACCAUCAAAACAUAGCAGACAUAAAGAGAUCACCAACAGCAAGCAUGGAUAUGAAAUUAAAACAACUUAACAAAAAGCUAAUUAUUUUAGUAAGUAGACUGAACUAACCAUAUGCUUCCUGCCAAUAUAAUAACCAUAAGAACCUGUUGGUCAUGAACACCAAAGCUUGUGAUUUUCGCCAGCUAGGAGCUCACCUACACUGAAGUCUAUAGGUACAACAAUACCCAAAAUAAUAAUAAAAGCCAUGAAUGGAGUUUUCAAAAGUUCAUAAUUCGGUUUUAGAACAAUUGAUGGAUAAACCUAAAAAUUUGAAGUACACCAGUCGGUUUGAAGUACUUCAUACAGCUUUCAUAUAUAAAAUAUAAAUGUGAAAUAACAUGUUCACAGUGGAGACCAGUCAGUGCUGAGAAACUAUGCCUGCCUUAACAUAUACGAGGCCAUCCAUGCUCAUUAUCAUGGAAUGGUGUCCUACUGCCUACUACUCAAAUUAUGGACUAUUACACAAGUACCGAUCAAAGCUUUUGUUCUCAAUCUUAAAACAGAUCACAUAAAGUUCUUUAAUAAAAAGGGCCAACUCCUAACACAAUCCACUAAUAAACUCCCCUUUAAACUUCCAUCGAACUAUGAAAUGACAAAUUGCUGCAAACUCUAAAACACAUCCAAUUUCCAUAACCCCACAUAGGAUCCUCAUUUAUAAAAUAAACCCCAUUUCGCUUAAAGCCUCAUAGCCACAAGACUUAAACAAAAAAUAAAAUCAAUACGUAAAGAAAAGUGCAACCUUCCAAAUGAACAUGAAUUUCUCAACAUCGGCAACAAACGAAAAAUUAAAAUUACAAAAAAUAAUCAUAAGCUAAAAUUUAAAAAAACCAUUAAUUAAAUUGACAAAAAAAUAUUAAGCCAUUACCAAUUGUUAAAAUAAACCUCUCUGCCCUUAAAGUCAGUGAAAUCCUCCUCUACAAUUCUAGGCAUGGGCGAACCUUCUAUAGCAAACAAAUUAACUAGCUUCUCAACAAUUAUCUCAAAUUCAAGCAAAUGGGUUUCGAGUAGAGAACAAAAAAAGUGAAAUUUUAACAGGAAAAAAAAAACUCCAACGAAAGAAGUCUCAAUUAGGGUUUCGCUUUAUUUUUCGAUUUGGGGAAAAAAGAAAAAAGGAAAGAAAGGUUUUUCUUUGUUUUUCAAUUUGGGGAAAAAAGGAUUUCGCUUUGUUUUUCGAUUUGGUGAAAAAUGGAAAAAGGAAAGAGAAGCCUCAAUUAGGGUUUCACUUUGUUUUUAGAUUUGGGGAAAAAGGAAAGGGAAGCCUCAAUUAGGGUUUAGUUUUUCAUUAUCUGUUUGAAUUAAUUGAAUUGAGUUUGUAAAUGGACAACUGGAAACAAAAGAGAUCGAGAAGAGAAAAAGGAAAAAGAGAAAGAGAAAGCAAGAUAGUGCUAGGGUUUGGUUCAGAUAUUUGCGUGCAUAAACGAAAUAAACUUUCCAAGUCUGGGUUAUAUUUUGCUUUUGUUAUUUUAAUUUUUUUUUAAUUUAUUAGCGUUGUUAUAUCUUAAUUCUACAAGGUCUAAUGGUGUAUUGUCCAUAUGUUAUAGCUUUGAAUUUUAAAAGUCUUUGGUUCGAGUUGGAGUUAAAGCAAAUUUUAAUGAUUUUUUUUUUAAUCUGUGAUACUUCAAUGCCAGCAAUCACUGAUGUUUAAUUUACUGACACAUUAAUACCAAUAAUUUAUUAUACUUAUUUAAUAAAAAUGGAAAAUGGUGUAUAUGUACAUAAUUAAUGACACUUUUUAUAAUGUGUCAGUAAUUAAGUGUCAGUAAAAGUCAUUUUUUUAGUAGUGAAGGUGGAGAGUGUGAAGAAUUGAGUUGUGAAUUUGGGGACUAAAAUGCAAUCGAAAGAGAGUUAUGGGCCAUAGUGCAAAUCACAUUCAGUGUAGGGGUGAUAUGCAAAUAAUUUGCUAAUGUGGCAAAGUUUGUUAUGGUCGUUAUGAGGCGUUUUUGGAAAAUUUCCAGAAACCUCAGUAUAAAAGGGCUGAUGAACAACCUCUGAUAUGCGCGUGUUUUCUCUUUCUUUUCUCAUCCAAAUUUUGUAAUUCUUGCUUUAAUUGAAAGCUUGUAAUCUCCUCUGUAACGUGUGAUCGAGGUGUAAUCAGUUUGAGAAAUAAAAGCUUGUGAGUUUUUCCUUCAAACAGUGUCGUUUUGGUUAAGCUCAUUAGUUGUUGUGUGCCUCUGUGUUUGGCGUUUUUCUUCUCUGAUUCUUGAGUCUUUUUCUGGUAAUUUGUUCUCAAAAUUAACAUUUAGUCUUUUUAUUAAUUGAAAGAAAGGAUAAUUCACUCAAUGAAGGGGUUGUAACCCACCUUACCCAAAGUAACACUAGGCAUAAAGCCAAAAACACAAAUUGGCAACAUCUUGAGGACCCCAUUAUGUUUGAAACUGGAAAGGAAAAUACAAAUAAUUAUAGAUCAUAGAGGAAUAUAUGAUUAAAUAAAGACUUUAGUUGAAGUAGUCGAGGCAAAAAUGUGUGCGUAUAUAUAUAUAUAUAUAUAUAACACACUACUAGAGAAAUGGUCUUUACUGACUUUAGAAUAGUGUGAGAAAUUACUUUCACUGACACUUGUUAAUUGUGUCAGUAAUUUGGGAGUCAGAAAAAUAGUGACACUUGUAAUUGGUGUUAGUGAUUACUGUUACUAUAGUAUUACCAGAUUUAUGAUACUAUGGUAUUAGUAAUUACUGAUAAUGAUCACUUGUUAAAAGUUACUUUCACCAUUGUAUCACAAAAUAUUAUGACGCUAUAGUAAUAGUAUUUACUAACAAUUAUUACAUGUCAAUAGUUUGUUUUACACUGGGAUAUGACAUGAUAGAAUAAACGGAUACUAAUACUUUAGUGUCAGCAAUUUGUAAUACUAUAGCAUCACUAAUAUUAUGAUGCUUAAUCAUUUUUUAGCGUCAAUGGCUUCGAUUAAAUGGUGCUGAAAUUAUUGUUGUUACUUGAUUAUUUUCAUUAUUCUUUUAGUUUUGCCAAUCAAAUAAUGGUAUUCAAAGAAAAUCUAUUCAAAUUAAACUAAAGUACAAAUUUGAAUAAUUAAAUAUAAGUAUAUAAUAUUCCUACCAACAUUUAAAUAGGUAUCAAAUAAAAUAGUAAUACAAAUAUCCAAAAUAUUGUUUGAAAACAUGUCAAAUAUUUACAUGAACACAUAAUGACAGUUUGCAGGAAACAAUCAGUACAUCUACUCUUUGAUCUUUUUCUUUCCCUUCACCUUUGCCACCUAUAAUUGCAGUAUAUAGAAUCAAUUAGCUACUAUGCUACAAAAAUCAAUUCUUUGAUAUUUACAAGCAAAAAUAUAAUUUACCUCAUUAUUGUAUGCUACAAGUUACUUUGCAACAUACAUCGCCCACUGAUCGCGAAGUUGUGAAAGAUCGUCCAUAGUGUACUCAUUACAGCCCUUGAACUUUAAAAAUAAAGCAAGAAAAUAUAUUCAUAUAUUAUAGAAUCUGUCCUAAAAUAGAACAACACAAUAAAAACAUAUAUUUUUAAAUUUGCCAGGAUUAACAUCAAAACUGAAGAACAUGCAAAUAAAUUGUAUUACCAUAGCAAACAACGGUUACCAAAGCUGUCUAAGAAGCUGAUAAUUUAUAAUAUAUUAUUUGCUUUACUCAAUAUUACUUCUAACACUCAGCACUGGGAUUUAUCUGUACAUGCAGCAGCUCCAAUCAUUGCUCAAUAAUACUUUAACACUGAACACUGAGAUUUAUAUGCAUUCUAUUUGUACAUGCAACAGCUCCAGUCAUUUUGGUUUACACUAAAGUGCCUUAAAUACAUAGUAGAACACAAUAAAAAUUGGCAUUAAUUUUUCCAAACAUGUUGAAUGCAUUCAAUAAAAUGUAUAUAGUGUUAUAGCUUUUACCUAUAAUAAAUAUGCCAAUGAAGUGUAUGUGAUUAUCCUAAACAUACACAACACUUCCUCUAAUCCCUAGCACAAGAUAUGAUUAUAUUGCUAGUUUCAAGCAUAAAGCAGCAAACUGUUCACCCAUUAACCAUCUUGACAAUUCACUUAAGAAAAUCCAUUUCACAAUGCAUUCUUCGAACAAAUAUUAAACAAGUUCUGGAGAAACUCACAUUGUUUUCAAGAAUGCACAAAUCGCGAACAAUAUCCUGGAUGUACUUCAUCACAUAGUAACCACAUUCAAAGGUUCCAGCUUGUUUCAGACACUAAAAAAAAAUAAAUAAACUUAGUUUCAAAUAUACUGAUGAAGUAACAAUGGAAAUCAUAACUUUGUUUCAUUAAUACCUUCACAGAGACCCACUGCACAGCCUUCUUUUUAUUACUCUUCACUUGAUGCAUUGUUAUCCCACUAUAAAUAAUAAAUAACAGAUGCAACAAAUUAAUCUACAACAUAAAAAAUUAAUAAAGAAUUAAGUAAACUAAUUAAACUUACUCAUUCACCAUUUGCUUUAACUCAUCAUCAGGAUUAUCACCUAAUGGAUCAAGAUAAUAAAUUUUUCGCCUCACCAUAUCAAUUGCUACUAGCACCCAGUGGCCACUAAACAAACAAGUAAAAAAAAAAAACAGAUUACAAGAUAAAUUUAAAUAAUUUAUAUUAAAAAAUAAAAUAGACAAAAAAUAAAUAAACUAUACCCUGGGUUAUAUGGGAAGACAAUUAUUUGGGCUAUUUGAAUCUUGUCCAAAAGGUCUGAAAUAUAGAAACACCUAUUUGGGUAGCUUGCUUGACUUGGGUGUAACUUAGCUAUGCAUCCAAAUUGAAUUGGAAUAACACCACUGCCAUUAUCCAUCUCUUCAUACAAGUGUCUAUUAAAAAAAGAAACUUUCAUGGCAUGAAUAUAAGAAAUAAAUAAAUGACAGUUUGCAAAAUCAGAAAACAUAGUAAAAACAUAAAUCAAGUUUUUUAUUUCUUACUUGAUCCAUAUCUCCAAAACAGAAUUUGAGAGCUCUGUAAACUCAAUGACUUCAUUGCAAAUCUGCUCGUCCAAUCUGCUCUCCCAGUAGAUACCAAAGUCUUCAAAUCAUGGGCAAUCAUAAUUGUCUGUGGCAGGGAGCUCUCAAUCAUCAAAGAAAAGAUGUUCAUUUGUGAACUUUUGUUCUCUUUUCUUGCUUUCACAGCUCCACGGGUAUUCUUUCUCAGAACCAGUUUCCUUGCUAUCACUAGUUUUACAACAACGGGUUCCUUUGUUGUUCGUUUCUGUUCAUACAGAUAUACCACGGCAUUUGUAGGAGACUUUCGACCAUCCACUUUUCUCUUUGAAGGAGUUAAUCUUGGAGAUCUUCUUGGGGUGAUUUUUGAAGUGGCUUCACAAACUACUGGGGGUGGAUUCUGUGCAGGGGAUGGCAGGGGAGGUGUGUUAAUGUUUUUGUCAGGUUUUGGACAAAUAGUGGGGUCAUUAGUCACUGACUUUGGACUAACUUUGGUCACUGACUUGGGGGUAGCUUUGGGGUUGUUGUUGGUCACUGAUUUUAGGGUAGCUUUGGGGUUGUUGGUCACUGACUUUGGAGUUGCUUUAGGGUUGUUAGUCACUGACUUUGGAGUAACUUUGCUGGGUGAUCGAUGAUCUAUCUCCAUCUUAACACUGCAACUACCUUUGGAGUUAUGAAAGUUGGAACUGCCAACUUCAGUGUUGUUGCAGGCGUUGAUCCUUGCAUUCAUUUGAUCUAAUUGAGCUUGCAUAAACUGAAAACUCUCUUGAUACAUUCUCCGUUCUCGCGCCAACUCCGUGGGGUCGGGACAUUGAAAUACAUGGAUGCGGUGAUGAAUUGACCCAAUCCUUGCACUCGACUUCCAUUAGGCUUCUUUUGAAGUGCUUCACCUAGGAUAUCAUUCGGUCCUUGGGAUUGGAACGUUCCCUGCUCAACUUGUCUUCUUAGCUCACUCUACAAAAUAAAUACAAAAAUAAUUUGAUCAAAAUUAGGAAUAAAAAAAAAAUAAGUUAAAUAAUGACAGUGGUGGUGGAAACUUACAACUCUCUCAGCCACUUGCUGCACUUCAGGUGUAUAAGUUCCAUCUUUUCUCCUAUGAGCCAAUAACCAGGCUUCAUUGCGGUCAAUCUCGCGCUCAGUAACUCUGAGGUCUAACUGCUGUAAUAAUUCAACAAAAAUUGAAUUGAAAACUGGUAUGAAUCAUCCUAUUAUUUGUAUUGAAAAUGUCAUAAGUUUGUAUAGAGUGGUUAUUAUACUUACUCUUUUAUGCAACAGCCCAGCAUAUCAUGUGCUGCCCAAGUGAUGAUUGUACAUAUUCUUUGCUCUUUUUUCCUUUGCUACCUUACUUUUUUCCUGCACAAAGCGGAUAUUGAUUAAAAUGGUUACAUGAACUCAAUAGUAUUAUCUAACUAACAUAAUUUUAAACAUACCUGAAAGGCUUCAGAUAAAAUCUUAUCAACAAAGCUCUUCCAGUCCUCUUUUCUAAUGCCUUCAUACUCAAGAGGAGGCUUUUUCAGUAAACUCAAGUUGUUUGCAUUGGGCAGAAUAUAUUCAUUGGCCAACUUACAUUUAAAGCCCCUUAAUGCAAUUCCCAUCCACUUGAACACUUGGGUUUUUGGCUUAAGACUCAACUUAAACUUUUCCUGAAAAUGAGUCCAUAACGUCUCCUUGAUGUCUAGUGGCACUAACUCUUUCCCGUACAAUCACCCCAAUGUAGUUCCUCAGAUCAUUUCUCUUUUUGCCAACUGGAACUCUGUAGGAAUUGUACAUAACCUCAGUGUCGUCACUAACUCCUCUCUGCAGGUCUUUUUCUUUGUAAGGUUUCGUCUUGGUCUGCCUUCUAGAUCUGGAUCAAAUGUUGGCUCCUCUUUUUCUGCCAUGUCUCCAACAAACCUGCAAAUACAUCAAAGUGGAUGAGUGCACCACAUACCAAUCUAAUAUCCUAAUAUAAUAAUAAAAUAAUAAAAAACAAAUUUGUUGGUGACUUACGGGAAGUAGUGGUAAUAAGGCAUAGUAGUUAGAUUAUUCAUUUUCCGCACCAAUAUUUACAAGAAAAACAUCAACAACUACUGUGACACAAACUCCUCAUCACCCAAACCUAACUUACAUUUUGGAAAAUUGUUGGAUAAUGGUGCAUACUCAUCGAUGCCAUCACACAAGUCCUCAUUUGAAUAAUUACAUUUUGAGCUCACUGAACAAACAACUGAUUUACUAUUAUCUAACUGAUCUUUCACAUAAAACACUUGCUUUGCAUGACCAGCUAGAAUGAAACAGUCAGAUUUGUAGCCUAUUCGAUCUAAAUUGACUACAAUGAACCCUAACUCAUCAACAUUAACCCCUCUAUCAUCUACCCAAUCGCACUUGAAAAGUACGUUCUUAACCCCUAGAUAAUCAAGCUGCCAAAUUUCACUGACAACCCCAUAAAAAGGCAUAUCCCCAGAAUGAGCAUUUUUGUCUUUCGAACUUGAAAUCUGUAAAGUGUUAGCAACUACAUAAACGCCACUGUUUUGUGUUAUGCGAUUGCUGUCCCGAUCUCUUGUAGCAAAAUUAAAACCAUUAAUACAGUAGCCAUCAUAUGUAACCACGCUUGAGCGGGGUUUGUUUGCCAGCCACCAUACUUUUUCGUCAAUCACUACAUUAUUUGCUUUAUCAGUUGUUACCUAUUGUUCAAUUAAUAAAAUCACAAUAAUUAAUUGAAAGAGAAAAGUUUAUGUGCUUUUACUUUGAUACUUUUAUUAGAUCUAAUAAAGUUAAUCUAACCUUUUGUUUCAGCCAAUCAGCAAACGUACGGGAGUGCUCGGUUGGCAACCAUAAAGGCUUUUUUAAUUGACGAGGGUGUGUUGAUUGCAAUAAGGCCAAUUGCUCCUUAAAAUUAUACCAACAGAAUUAUUAAAAUUGAAAAAAAAUUAACGAAAAAGAGGUUCAAAUUUUCAGUCACAUACUCUAUGUAUGGUUGAAUCUCGGGGGUGUUCACCAGAACACAUCGGUGUGCUUGCGCCAAUGUAGGGCCAUCAACCACCUUAAUAUUUGCACCUCCGAGUGGCCUUUCGACUGUAAAAUCAAUUAGACAACCAGUAGAUAGUCCGAUUGAAUUACAAUUUGAAAGGUAUUCAGCACAAAUUUCAAGUGCUUCCUCAGCAAUAUAGCACUCUGCAAUGCAACCUUCAGGACGGUAUCGGUUGCGUACAUAGCCCUUUAUAGGUUUCAUUUCUCUCUUAAAUGGAUACAUCCAUCGAAGGUAAACCGGGCCACAUAAUCUAACUUCUUCAACUAGAUGGACUGUUAAAUGGACCAUUAUAUCGAAGAAGGCAGGUAGGAAAGAUUGUUCUAAAUUGUAUAAGGUGAUUGUAAGUUCUUUUUGCAAUUGGUCUAGAGAAUUGGGCUCUACUACCUUAGAACACAAAGAAUUAAAGAAGAGGCACAACCUGAUUAUGAAAGAUCUGACAUUUUGAGGUAAACAAUUUCGAAUUGCUAAUGGUAGUAGUUGUUGCAUCAAGGUAUGACAAUCAUGAGACUUAAGCCCGUGAAGACGACAAUCAUCUAUUGAAACAAUAUUUCUAAAAUUUUAACAAUAGCCAUCAGGAACUUUGACACUUUGCAAGGUUUCACAGAACAUUUUUUUUCCUUCUUACUUAAAGUGUACGGGGCAUGGGGCAGGACUUUGUUUUGUUCAUCAGGAGCUAAUACAAUCAAUGCUUUGUUAAUUUUUUCUCUAAGGUCUGGAUGUGUAAGAUCUUUUCUAGCAUUAAUUCCAUCUUUUGUUUUCCCCGGUUGAUGGAGUAAUGUGCCAUAGAUGCUCUCGCAUACAUUUUUCUCAAUAUGCAUCACAUCUAGUUGAUGGCGAACUAACAAAUGUUCCCGAUAUUCUAAAUCAAAGAAGAUUGAUCUCUUUUUGUACAGCAACUGAGCUACAUCCCCAUUACCCUCACCCUCACCUUCAAUCUCACUAUCUCCUUCACACUCACCCUCACCCUCAAUAUCACCCUCACCCUCACCCUCACCCUCAAUAUCACCCUCACCCUCACCCUCACCUUUACCCUUACUGUUACCCUUAUUGUUACCCUCACCUUUACCCUUAUUGUGACCCUCAACCUCACCCUGUUUACGCUUUUUUUGGACCUUUUUCCCAAACUUGGUGUCAAUGUCAGCCACCAAGUUUAAGAUAUUUGUACCAGACAAAGGGUUAGGAGAAUUUUCAAUAAACAGCCUAUGACCCAUAUAUGACAUUUUCCGACUAUGCGGUAGCCAACAUGCACAUGUGUUUAUCCCACAAACUGGACAACCAUAAUACCCCUUAACAGUACACCCAGACAGGUUUCCAUAAGCUGGAAAAUCACUAAUUGUCCACAUCAACACAGCUCGUAAAUUAAAAGUUUGUUUCCUAUAACCAUCAAACACAUCGACGCCUACAUCCCAUAGGGUUUUUAAGUCCUCAAUCAAUGGUGCUAUGUAUACAUCUAUGUCAUUUCCAGGUUGUUUAAGACCAGAUAUCAGUAGAGACAACAUCAUAAAUUUCCUUUUCAUACACAGCCACGGAGGAAGGUUAUAUGUUAUCAAUGUAACAGGCCAACAACUAUAAGUAGUGCUAAGUGUGCUAUGUGGGUUAAUCCCAUCAGAUGAUAAAGCGAACCGAAGAUUUCUCGGCUCUUGGGCAAAAUCAGGCCAUUUCUUGUCAAUUAACUGCCAAGCUGGUGAAUCUGCUGGGUGGCGAAGCUUGCCAUCUCUAAUUCUUUUAUUUUCAUGCCAUGUUAAGUUCUCAGCAGUUUGUGGUGAUUGAAACAUUCUUUUCAACCUAGGAAUUAUAGGAAAAUACCAUAACACCUUUUUAGGGACCCCCUUUCUAAUUUUUUUUUAUCCAUCUUUUCUUAUUUGCCACCUAGAUGCUCCACACCUUGGGCAUUCACUAAGAUUCUCGAACUCAUUCCUAUAAAGAAUGCAAUCAUUUCGACAUGCAUGUAUUUUCUCAUAAUCUAAGCCUAAUAGCUUCAUUAUUUUUCUGGCCUCAUACAUGGACUUAGGCAAACUAUUAUCAUUUGGCAAUAUCUCAUUAAGAACUUCCAAUAAAACUGAAAACCCACUAUCAGACCAGCCAUAAAGUCCUUUUAUAUUGUACAGUUUCAUUAGACUCGAUAACUUUGAAUGCUUUGAACCCAUAUAUAGGGGCUUUUCAGCAUCUUCAAGCACAUUCUUAAAAGAACUAGGAUCUUUAUCACAAUGCUCAAAAGUAUCAUGAACCAUGUCAUCUACAUAACUAUAAUCCGGACAUCUAAAACGUUGAUUUUGUGUCUGGUCUUGGCAUUUUACAGAGGUAGGUUUCCGAUCCACCUCACCAUGCCAAUUCCAAACUAAAUAAUUUUCUAGAAAACCUUUUUUAAAUAGAUGUAGCCUCACUUGUUGAGGACUCAAAAACUCCAUAUUACAACAAGUGGUACAAGGACAUCUAAUUGACAUUAUAUUUUCAGAAUUAAGAAUGGAAAACUCCAAGAAAUCAUCAACCCCAUCACUAUACUCAUCAGACAAUCUAUCACAGAAUAUCCAAGUUUUGUCCAUAACUUGUAUUGUUACCUGUUCAUUUGUUAGAUGUUGUUAGUUUAAUAAGUUUACUUCAAUUGCACAAAUAACUCCAAACUUUAGGUUUAAAUUAAAAAAUACAAAUUGAAAAAUAAAUCUAAAUUCUAUUUGUUUAGAGUCACUUAAAUAUAUGUAUGCAUUCAGCAACCCAACAGAGCAUAUAUGUAAGCAUUCAGCAACCCAACAGAGCAUAUAUCUAAGCAUUCAGCAACCCAACAGAGCAUACAUGUACACAUUCAACAAGCCAACAGAGCAUGCAUGUACACAUUCACUAAACUAGCAAAUCUAACUUACAUGUACACAUUCAGCAAGCCAACAAAACAUGCCACAUCCACAUUUUUCAAAAUUUAUUUUUCAUAUUAGAACAAACAAAAGUAUAUAUUAGAAUAAAAAAUUUUAUUCCAGAACAAUCUAUGCAACAAAAACGAAAGUAAAACUAUGCAUGUCAAUAUUUAAAACAUCUCAGUACAAGUAAAACUCAGAACACAACGAUAAUAUAAAUUGAAAGUAAGUGAGUGAUUUAAAAGAAUUACCAAAUGAAGAUAGCUGUUACACCGUAAACUUUUGUGAUUCUUCAAAAGCGACAGAUUGUUAAUUACUAUGUCAGAGAGCUGUACAAGGGAAAUCACAUAAAAAAAGAUUAAGGACAAUACUUGUUGUUGUUGAAGGGUUUGCAUGUGAGAUAUUGCAUUUAUACUAAGUCUAGUAAAUGCAUUACAGGGAAAGGAUUGAUGAAUUGACCCUUUGUUAAUAUGUAUCUUUAUCAAGCUCUAAUUAAAAGGAACAAGUUAGGCCCAAAAUUAAAAACAUCAUGCAAAAUUUAAAAUGCAAUUUCGAGAAAUGGGGAAAAUGAGAAAAACCCAAAUCUACAUUGACAUUGUAUCCAUCAAUUCCAGUUAAAGUGUACAUGAAAUUCAAAGUCCAGUGACACGGCAACUAAAGAAAGAGAUGAAAGAAAACUGAUUUGAAUCAGGCACUUAUAAAACUACUCUUAGUUAAAGACUCUAGUACAAUAAUUCAACUUCAGUUACCUUUACCUCUCUGUUAGGUUUUCCCAGGUCCCAAAUUAUAAACAAUCAAGAUUACAAAAAAAAAAACUAAGAAUUUUAAAACUCAUUCUACAGUUAAACCGCAACAAAACAACAUGCAUGAGGAAAAUAGGCACUGUAAAUUGGAAACAUAAUAAUUAAAAAUAAAUAAAAAUGAAUAAAUGACACCUUCAGAAACGAAUUUAUCGCAGUGAAGAGAGAGAGACAGAGAGAACCAAAUCAUGAUAGAAAUGAGUUCCUCUGCUUCGAGCUUGGUUGGGAUCGACGUGAAGUUUGAUUAUAGUGAGGGAUAUGAUUUUAGGGUUUGGUUUACUUAGCUUUGACAGAGAAGGAGAACCGAGUGGUGAAAGACUGAUGAGUGAAUGACUUAGAAAAAAAUUAGCUUCGAUUUUGGUCUUAGGGUUGUAUAAAACGAUGCGUUUUACUUAUCUUUAUUUUUCCUAAGUGAAACGAUACCGUUUUAACUGAAAAUAUAUUAUUUACUAAUAAAUUUUCAGCCAAAACCCGUUAAAAUUUUCAGUGAGCCGCGCUCAAUACAUUUAAAGUGCUUCAUAUUAAAAUUAUAAUAUUCUACUAAUUCAGUUGCAUAACUAACAAAAAGUCAGAACGGUUUCAAUUUUAAACUUAAAUGCUUUGGCUUUGGAAAGUCAUGGGUUCGAAAAUCAGUUUGGAACGAAAUUUAUAUUUUAUUUUCUUUUACUGAUACCUUAGUGUCACCAAGAAAAAGAACUUAAAUGUUCCGAUGUUCGAGGUCCCAGGUUCGAAUUCCAUCUAUUACAUGAUUAGAAUUAUUUUAUUUUUAUUACUAAUACUUUAGUGUCAGCGAUUUCUGAUGUCACAAUUACAGACACCAUAGUAUCAUUAAUUUGUGAUACAUAUGUGUUAAACAUGGAAAAUGGCCCAUAUGUAUACAAAUACUGAUACUUUGUAAUAAAUUGUCACAAACCAAGUGUCAGUAAAGACCAUUUUUCUAGUAGUGAGGUCGCGCCUCUCUCUAUAGACUUCUGCAAUUUUUUUUUCUUGAAUAAUUUCUCAUGGCAUGAACACGUAACUUAUACAAUCCAUUAAAAAAUCCAAUUGUCAAUAAAAUAAAUAAACAAAGUUUACAAAUGAAUUUAACUUAAAAAUAAAAGAAGACUAUAACAUAGGUGGUCCAUAUAACAUUUUGAAGAUAAUGUGCUUUAGCCUGGAGCACAUCUGGUGACGAUGCCAUUAUAUGAGCAGAUUACAAAGUCAAUGUAUCCUGCAAUGGGAUCAAUAAAAAAAUUAAGGAGGAAAGAACAUUUCCCGGCCAGCUAAAGGGCAUUUGAGGCCUUAGCCAAUUCUUUUUACAAGGCCUUUUAACAGUAAUUUAAAAAUUAGUUAAAAUGUUUCACAAAUUUUCUGUUGAUAGAAAGAUUUCGGGCCAAUGGAAGAUUGUUGCAACUGAUGAAAUAAGUUACUUCUAUUAUGCGUAUGAAAUAAGCCACUAAAUAAACAUGCAACUAAGUGUUUAAUAAACUAUGUUGUUGUGAUUGCCGUAAGUUUUAAAAGCAAAAUAUUUUCGUUUGGUAAAUUUCAUUCCUAAAGUGUUUGUUUUAUUGUACAAUGACUAAAAUGGACAUAAGUUGAUUUUUAUUUUUCUAGAGAAAAUUUGAUAAAUUUUCCAGAAACUUUUUUUUCUUUUAAAGCACACAAAUUAAAUUAAAUUAAAUAAAUCAACUCAUUAAAAUAUAAGGAAAUUAAUAAUANNNNNNNNNNNNNNNNNNNNNNNNNNNNNNNNNNNNNNNNNNNNNNNNNNNNNNNNNNNNNNNNNNNNNNNNNNNNNNNNNNNNNNNNNNNNNNNNNNNNUGCGUGUAUCUCUGUGUGUGUGUGUAAUAGAAAUUAAGUAAUAUGAAGUGGUGAUAAGAGUUAGCUUUAGAUCAAAAUUAUACGGUGCUAUAAAUAGUUUAAAACAUUGUAAAAGUCUAUUUAUGAUGUCGUAAAUCCUUUCUAGUUUUUAUUCCUAGACUUUAAUUCUAAAUUGAAAUUUUUUUAUUGUGGUAAUAUGUUAGAUUUAUGAUUUUUAUAUUAUUGUUUAUGGAAAAAUAUGGUAUAAUUUUUUUAUUAAAAUAAUAAGCUUAUUCUAGAAACUUUAAGAGUGUGGCGACUUAUUUUGUAAUUUUCUAUUAAAAAGUAUUCCCUUACUCCCUUCUAAAAGGUUGAUAAUAUUUUCACCCCCAAUUUUUGUAAAGCUACCCCACUUCUAGAAAGUAAUUACCUAAAGAUCACAUAAUUUUUUUUUAAAUUUCAAAUAAAGAAGAAUUUUUAGAACUAAUUAAUUAAAUUUAUGUUAAUUUAUACUUUUGUGACUUACAUAUUUUAUUAUAUUUGACUGCUAAAGUUGCUUUUUACCCUAAGUUUAAAUUUAUCAAUUUACCUUAAUAAGGUAAAUGUACCAAAACUUUACUUUAUCUCCAAUUUUUGUAAUUUUAUACAAAAUUUAUUAUUUCUAAAUGAUGUAUCAAUACUAAUUUAUUACUAUGAUGAUUAAUUUUUAAAUCAACCAACAUAAUGUCUUUAAGGUACAAUACUCAUGUAAAUUAUUGGGGUAUCAAAUUCAUGUCAUUUACAUAUAUUGUAUUGAAAACUAUUAAAUUUCAUACAAAAACAUUAGAUUAUUGAUCACAAGAUUAAAUACCUAAAUUAUUGUAUACAAGAAUUAAUAAAUAUUCUCAGGUCGAUUAAUUUGGUCAUUUUAUGUGAAGAAAAUUAUCAACCAUCCACCUUAAGUUUUACUUUGCGUUCAAAAAUACUAAAAAAGUUUUAAUUUAUUUGAUUUUAAUUUCACCAUAAGUUUACAAAUUGUAUCAACAUGGUAAAAUAGAAACAAAAUGAUAAAAUAGAAGCAAAGAGACAAAUUUACCCAUACAAAAUGAUCAAACCAAAACAAACAAAAAUGACAAUGGUGGUCAUUUUGUAAAGGUAAUUUAUUUUUUUGGUUGGUAGAUAGAAAUUACAAACUUAGGAAGGAUGAUUGAACAAAUUCUAACUUUUAUAGUAUUUUUAAACAAAAUAUAAAUUUAGAAUGGAUGGCUAAUAAUUACCCUUUUAUGUCGUAAUGAUAAAAUAGUCAAAUGAAAUUUAUGUUAAAGCAACCUUAAUGGUAAAAAUUGCUCAAAGAAACCAAAGUAAGGAAAAAUUAUAAGAAGGAUUAAUUAAUUAAAUGCACUAUUUUUUUACUAAUUUUUAUUUAUUAAAAAUAAUGAAAACAUAUUGUAUAUAUUUUCCAAGAAAUGGGUGAAUUUACACAAUAAGUAAGGUGAAAAUAUCCCCUCUCUUUCUAAAAUAAAAUAUGUUAGGAAGUUACAAAAUAAAAUUUUUUGUUGGUCAACCAUAUUGGUGGAACCGUGGAAAUAAGCAAAAAAAUUAUUUAUUGAUUAAAAAGAGACAAUUAAACUCAAUCUUAAACUUUUUACCAGCCUUACCCCUCGUAAUAACAAAAUGCAAUAAGCCAAAAACAAAAAGAGCGACAACAUCUUGAAUUCUGAAGCUAAACCUUCAUUCCAAAAUAACAAUGAAAAUGCAGAUACGAAGAGGAACUAGCGAUGAAACAAGGACUUAAGACUUUAUUCCAAAUCCAGUAGGAGACCUAAAAAGGGUACACGAUCGAUAAUAAGAGUUUUAAUUGAUUUGAUGAAAGCAGUGAUUAAGCAAUUAACGAAUUGGUUGUAACCACGAUCAAUUCCUCUUUCUCUAAUAACAGCAAGCGAGUCCUCCUUAGAAAGAGUUCCCUCAGUGUCAGUAGGUUUAAUGACAUGAACCUCAGCACCAAUGUACACGUAUUAUUAAGAAGGUAGCCUUUUAAAUGUUAAUUAAAUCACUAUAAGAAAAUAGGGAUAAGGCAACAUCAUUUUAACAAUGUGCACGUAUGAAAUGUUGUCAAAUUUAUAAUUUAACAACAAUCGCAAAUUGCAUGUUGGCAAAUAUAAAGUUUUAGCAACACACAAUGAGUGACCAUUGAGUUAAACUUUAUCACAACAAGCAAUCAUUUGUUGCGAUAUAGGAAUAUGCAAUGACAACAUUCAAACUUUGCAUGUUGUAAUUAGUUAUUUAAGACAACAUUGAAUUGUCUGCUGCAUAAAUUAUUAUUUAAAUAACAACAUUUAGUUGUGUGUUAAUUUUUUUUAACUCAAUUUAAUAUGAAGUUGGUAUAAAUUAGACAUAAAUAGAUGCUUAUGAAAUUUGUUCAUAAAAAUAUUAUAACAAAUUUGUUUUUGAGUAUAUAAUUAACUAUAUUUCUUAGAACUAAAAUAGUAGAAAAUAAUGUGCAAUAAAUAAAAAAUUUCAUUGCGCACGCAUAAGUUAUACAAUGCGGGUCAAAGCACGGCAAAAGGAAGAUAAAAAAAAGACAAAUUGACUAAACCAAAAAAAAGAAAAGAAAAGUAAUUGACUUAAUGAAACCUGGGUUCACUUUACAAUGCCACUUUACUCUUUCUCUGCCACUCAAGCAAAUCAAGCCCCUUCAUCGUCAUUGUAAUAACAAGUGCCCAAGGAAUCGGGUUUAUCAGGUACUUUUCUUUUCAAUUUCAUUAAUAAAGCUCAGUUUCACUUUCCUAAUUCCAUUUAAUUAAUAGUUUGCUCUUUCCACUAAUUCUUUUCAGGAGAUUUCGGGCUUUGUCCUAAUGUUCCCACUCAAAAUCGUUCCAGAUGGUCCCAUUGCAAAUUCAUUGCUUGGUAAGUGGGACAAUUCUUUAUUGUUUGUGGGGUUCAUAUGGUAUGACAUAAACCAAACUAAUAUUAAUUUUUUGUGGUGGGUCAUUGAAACCAAAAGAUGAUUUUCUUCUUUGAAAAUAUUUACACGGAAAAGUUGAUUUUGGAGAUUAUAUUUUAUUUUUAAUUUAAAUUAGUAAAUAUUACUAGUGAGAUGGAUAAUGAUUUCUUUUAAUUGAGUGGCGCAAUUUUAAUCUAUUAUUGGUGUUGUUGACAUGAUGAAAUAGGUAACUUCUAUUAACGUCAUUGAACAUAGUCUCCUAUAUCAGCAGUGACUUUUUACAAUUUGACUGCGAAGCAAAACUUGAGGUAUUGCUUUCUGCUGUAUAAUUAAAAUUCUAAAUGAAAUUUCUCUAUUUUGAUGUUUGCUUUAAAAUAUUUAUUGCAUAUUAUUUUGUCUAUUUUAUGUUUGUUCAUAGUCUUAUUUUGUUAACUUUUACUAACCUAUUGGAUACUCUAAAUGGAUCCUAUUUCUUUAUAUUUAUCUUUAUAUGGUCCAAACUAAUCACCUUUGCACAACCAGGUCUUGCCAACAUUAGUAAUUCAAAAUGGAUAAAAGAUAGGUCUACUUCUCAAGGUUUCAUGUUUAUUUAAUAAAAUAAUGAAUAGUUUUAGGAACAGUUAUAGCUUUAGAUUAACCAAUAAGUUAUUACUCUCAUUAUUAUUUUUUUUGUAGACAUUCAGAUGAAUAUAGAAAGGGAGCACGUGACUUUGUUAAUAGUGCUCUUGCAAAUUCAGGUAAUCUAGAUAUAAUAUUAUGUCCCUGCAUUCGUUGUAAGAAUGUACAACGCCACCAUUUUGAUUUAGUGUAUGAACACUUGGUUAUGAAAGGCAAGGAUCCUACUUAUAAUACUUGGGUUCUUCAUGGAGAAAAUUCUACUUAUUCUGGAAUGUCAAUGCAAUAUGGUGAUAUUGAAAUGACAGAAACAUAUCAGAUGUAUAGAGAUCAAGUUUAUUUUCAGGAGCCAAAUGUAUCAGAGCACACACAUGAAAGUAGCAAAGUAGAGUUCACAAAUCUUAUCAAAGAUGCUGAAACUCCAUUGUAUCCUGGAUGUACAAAGCACACAAAAAUAUCAACAACUGUUUCCUUAUUCAAGCAUAAAGUUACCCAUGGUAUAUCUGAUAAAGGUUUUGAUGAACUUCUUCAAAUUGUUCGUGAUAUUCUUCCAUCAGAAAACACACUUCCUGAGUCAUUGUAUUCAACAAAAAAGCUACUUAAGACCUUUGACCUUGGGUAUGAAAAAAUACAUGCUUGUAUAAAUGAUUGUUGCCUUUUUAGAAAGGAGUUAGGGAAUGCACAUAUGUGCCCUAAAUGUGGUGCUUCCCGAUGGAAAGUUAAUGAGCGCACUGAAAAGAUUCAACAAGGAGUUCCUGCCAAAGUUUUGCGUUAUUUCCCAAUAAUACCAAGACUUAAAAGGAUGUUUAGUGUAACUGAUAUGGCAGAACAACUUAGGUGGCAUCAAACUCAUAAAAGUCAAGAUGGCAAAAUGAGGCAUCCAGUGGAUUCACUUGCAUGGGAUAUUAUAAACAAAAAGUGGCCAUCUUUUGCAUCUGAUUCCCGAAACAUUAGAUUUGGCCUUGCUACUGAUGGUUUUAAUCCCUUCCAAGAUCUUAGCACAAGAUAUAGUUGUUGGCCUGUAAUUUUAGUCAUCUACAAUUUGCCUCCAUGGUUAUGCAUGUCCAAGGAUAGUUUAAUGUUAAGUUUGUUAAUUCCAGGGCCAAAGCAACCAGGUAAUGACAUAGAUGUUUAUUUGGCACCGCUUGUAGAAGAUUUGAAAGAGCUAUGGAUAAAUGGAGUUGAAGUGUAUGAUGCAUUGAGUGAAUCCACAUUUAAUUUAAGGACAAUUUUAAUGUGGACCAUUAAUGAUUUCCCAGCUUAUGCAAAUCUGUCAGGUUGGUCUACAAAGGGAAAAUUGGCAUGUCCCGUAUGUCGUCAAAAUACUUGUUUGAAAUGGCUAUCACAUAGCAAAAAGUUUGCAUACAUGGGUUAUAGGCGAUUUCUUCAUUCUAACCAUUCAUUUAGGAGGAAACAAGCAUGGUUUGAUGGUGUCAUUGAAGAAGGCACUAGACCUAAGAUAUUCAUUGGUGAAGACAUUUAUUCUGAAGUUAAAAACUUAGCAAAUGAUUGGGGUAAAUUAAGAAAAAAGAGGAAGAGGGAUUCUUUAUCAUUAUGGAAGAAGAAAUUGAUACGCCGCAGAGGUCGUCAAGGAUUCCAAACCCUAGCAACACGUAUGCUGGGUAUGUUUGAAUUAUGCAUGGAUGCUUGGAAGGCGAACGGUCACAUGGCUCAAGACUCAUGCAUACGUUACAUGCAACAUGCAGCACGUUGGAAGAAUAGUCGUUGGAGCAGUCUACAGGGAUCAUGGGUUGAUUCGGUCAACAUGGGAUCACUUGCUGAUUUAAUGGAGAUUUAUUAUUUGGUUUAAUUCAUAUUCGGUUGUUUUGUUAAGCUAAAAGAAUAAGUUAAGUUGUUAGCUUAUGACCUGCCUACAAUCUCGAGUGAUAGUUAGAUUGUUUGGCUAAGUUGUUUCAAGUAUAAAUAAGCUCCAACAGACUUGAAUAAAGGCAUUGACUAUUAUCCAAAAAAUCAAAUAUCUUGUGGUCUUAUUUCUCACCCUAAGUAGAAAUAUAUUCAAUCACUUACGCUUUGACUGGGACCGCUAUCAGUGGUAUCAGAGCGAGGUUACUAUGUCAACCAACAAAGAACGUAUAGAGCGUGUGGAAGUUGAGAUCGGAAGCUUGCAAGAUGGAAUGAAGCGUAUGGAACUAGGGCUUACUGACAGAUUGCACCGCCUAGAAGAAACAAUGAGCAAACUGGUAGAUUCACUUUUAACUUCAAAAGGGAUGCCAAGUCACAACAAUUCUGAUCACGUCGAACCCUCAUAGCCUAGUCGUGGAGAUAGUGAAGGGAGCCGCCAUUAGCUAGCAUCAAGACUUACCAAACUGGAGUGUCCACGAUAUUCCGACGAUGACCCAACGGAGUGGUAUAAUAGGAUCAUGCAAUUUUUUGAGUACCAGGAAGCAACCAACGAACAGAAAGUCUCCUUAGCUUCUUUUCACCUCGAAGGAGAGGCCAACCAAUGGUGGCAGUGGAUACGACGAACUUAUCAAGAAGAGGAAAAGAUAGUAACGUGGGAAAGUUUUGUGGAGGAGCUUUGGGCACGGUUUGGCCCUACUGAGUGCGAAGAUUAUGAUGAGGCGUUGUCCAGGGUUAAGUAGACAGGGUCACUACGUGAUUAUCAGAGGGAAUUCGAAAGGCUUGGGAACCGGGUAUAAGGCUGGACGCAAAAGGCCUUGGUCGGGACCUUUAUGGGAGGAUUGAAACCGGAAAUCUUAGAGGAAAUUCGGAUGUUUCGGCCCAGAACUUUAAAAGAAGCUAUAAGCCUCGCACGUAUGAAGGAUGAUCAAUUGACGCGACAAAGGAAGUUGCUGCGACCACAGUACCUCAACCGUAUACCACCAGCACCAACAAACAAUACCCGUGCCCAACCAACGAGACCCAUCAAACAACUGACUUGGGACGAAAUGCAGCGGCGUCGAGCAAUGGGACUUUAUUUCAAUUGCAACGAUCAAUUUACAGCAGGUCAUAAGUGCACCCAACCUCAGCUAUUGCUCCUUGAAAGUGAGACAACAAAUGAUGAAACUACAUAUGAGGGAAUUCCUGAAGUCUUAUGCACAGAACCUGACACUAGAGAGCCAACCGAUCCAAAAAUCACUUUCUAUGCCCUCACUGGAUGGGCAGCCCCAAGAACCAUGCGGGUCACGGCAAAGGUAGGACUAUAUGAGAUUAUGGUUCUGAUCGAUAGCGGUUCAACUCACAAUUUCAUUAGCUCGCGAAUGGCCAACAUGUUACGGCUGCCAAUCAUUCCCACAACAGGAUUUUCGGUGUGAGUGGCAAACGGAGAAACGCUAUCAUCCAAGGGAAAAUUCAAACGGGUUCAGGUAUUAUUACAAGAAGUUCCAUUCACUUUGACUCUUUAUUCACUUCCAAUUACAGGGCUGGAUAUGGUGCUGGGAGUCCAGUGGUUUGAGAUGCUAGGCUCCAUGGUUUGCAACUGGAAACAACUUACCAUGGAUUUCACUUGGGAGAACAAAAGUUACCGGUUACAAGGCAUCGGGCCUCAAUCAAUACAAAUGGCAUCCUUGACUGAAAUUACCAAAGAGCUGAGACAAGGGCAGUCCGGUUUUGCCAUUUGUUUCCAUGUUAAUGUAGAAGACUCUCUCAACACAACAACUCCAGAUAUGCAAGACUUGUUAAAGGAAUACAACACUUUAUUUCAAGAGCCAACAAAACUGCCACCUAGACGAGAAAUCGACCAUAACAUCACAUUGAAAGAGGGAACUGAGCCAGUCAACGUACGGCCAUACCGCUACGCCUAUUUCCAGAAAGCCGAAAUUGAAAAACAAGUCCAGGAGAUGCUGAAUUCGGGACUCAUUCGGCCUAGUACCAGCCCUUUUUCAUCACCAGUACUACUUGUCAAAAAAAAAGAUGGAAGUUGGCGAUUUUGCACCGACUAUCGGUCUCUCAAUAACGCCACUGUUAAAGACCGAUUUCCAAUCCCUACAGUCGAUGACAUGUUGGACGAGUUACAUGGAGAAGCGUACUUCACUAAACUGGACCUAAGGGCCGGAUACCAUCAGGUACGUGUAAACCCAGCCGACAUACACAAAACAGCUUUCCACACACACAACGGACAUUACGAAUACUUAGUAAUAUUGUUUGGCUUAUGCAACACACCAUCGACAUUCCAGGCCAUCAUGAACUCUAUCUUCCGUCCCUAUCUUAGGAAAUUUAUCCUUAUUUUCUUUGACGAUAUAUUGAUAUACAGCCCCUCUUGGCGUAGCCACCUUACUCAUGUUAAGCAGGCAAUAGAGGUUCUUAAACAGCAUCAAUUUUUCCUUAAAGCAAGCAAGUGCACUUUUGGCCAACAAGAACUCGAGUACCUCGGCCACAUAAUUACCAGCCACGGGGUAAAAGUAGAUGAGACAAAAAUUGCGGCCAUGGUCUCCUGGCCUCAAUCGAAGCACAUCUCAGAGCUACGGGGAUUCCUUGGCCUUAUGGGUUACUACAGAAAGUUCGUCCAAGGAUAUGGAGUUUUAGCUCGACCACUCACGAAUCUUCUAAAAAAAGGGCAGUUUGAAUGGAAUGCAGAAGCGGACAAAGCUUUUAUGAAUUAAAAAAAUGCAAUGACAAGUACACAUACAUUGGCCAUGCCUAAUUUUAAUGAAACUUUUGUUAUUGUGACAGACGCAUCCGGUGACGGCAUCGGCGCAAUACUCCAGCAACAAGGGCAGCCUAUCAAUUUUAUGAGUCGUGCCUUGGGAGUCACAAAAAAAUCUUGGUCCACAUACGCAAAAGAGAUGUUGGCGAUUAUAGAAGCUAUCCGUGUGUGGCGACCUUAUCUGUUGGGAUGAAAGUUUAUCAUCCAAACCGAUCAACGCAGCCUUAAGUACCUUUUAGAGCAGAAAAUUACGACACCCGAACAGCAACAGUGGCUGGCCAAAUUGAUGGGGUUUGAAUAUGAAAUCCAAUAUAGACCCGGCCGUGAGAAUGUUGCCGCCGACGCCCUUUCACGAUGACCUCAUAAUUCUGCUCUUAACAGUUUAUUUGUGGCGCAGGUAUCUAUUUGGAAUGAAAUAAAAACGGCUGCCCAAGAUGAUGAUUACAUGCAGCAAAUUACACAUCAAGCCCUGACUCAACCCACUGGUCCUUAUUUCAUGCGUAACGGGCUGAUUUUCUUCAAGGGCCGAGUUGUAGUUCCUCUUCGACUCCGUCAAUCAUUAAUUUUUGAAGCCCACGACACUAAGAUGGGAGGUCAUUCAGGAGUUCUACGUACUUAAAAACAUUUGAAACAACAAUUCUAUUGGCCUUUAAUGUUUCAAACGGUUCAUGACUAUGUGGGUAAAUGUGAGAUUUGUCAAAAAACGAAAGCAUCCACUCUUAAGCCUGUGGGUCUCCUCCAGCCCUUGCCAAUUCCUUGCUAAUUGUGGGAUAAUAUCACGCUCGACUUCGUUGAAGGGCUGCAAAACUCACACGGUAAAAAUUCUGUUCUAGUGGUGGUGGAUCGGCUCAGCAAGAGUGCACACUUUAUGGCCUUGACUCACCCAUUCACAGCAAAAACGGUGGCUGAGAAGUUUAUUGAUGGAGUGGUAAAAUUACAUGGCAUGCCGAAAUCAAUAAUCAGUGACCGAGACCCUAUUUUUAUUAGCAAGUUUUGGAAGGAGUUUUUUCAUAUGUCAGGUACACAACUCAAGAUGAGUUCUGCGUACCAUCCGCAAACCGACGGUCAGACGGAAGUUAUUAAUAGAUGUCUUGAACAAUACCUGCGAAGCUUUGUUCACCAAUGGCCGAAGCAAUGGAACUCUUACCUACCUUGGGCAGAAUACUGGUACAACACAACGUACCAUGUGUCCACAGGUAUGACUCCUUUUUUGGCUUUGUAUGGGCGACAUCUACCGGUAGUACCAAUGUAUCAUGUGGGAUCUUCUCCAGUGCACGAGGUAGAUCAAGCUUUGUUGUCUAGGGAUGAGUUGUUGCGAUAACUAAAAUAGAAUUUGGAAAUGGCAACCAAUCGCAUGAAACAAUUUGCGGAUACAAAAAGGCGCGACAUGGAGUUUAAGGAGGGUGACAUGGUAUUCCUAAGACUUCCACCGUAUAGGCAGACUACUGUCUUCCGUCGUGCUCAUCAGAAGUUGGCCAGCAAAUACUUUGGGCCAUAUCCAAUUCUGCGAAGAGUGGGUCAAGUGGCUUAUGAGCUUAAGCUACCAACGGGAUCUCAAGUGCAUCCGGUAUUCCAUGUGUCCUUGCUCAAAAAAUACGUUCGUGUGAUGCCUCAAUUCAGCGCAGAUCUUCCAUCUGUUGAUGACGACGGAGUACUCGUUUUGGAACCGGAUAGAAUUAUUGAUGUUCGUUGACUUAAAAGAGGUGGCAAGUUGGUGGAACAAAGUCUUGUCCAUUGGAAACGCCUUCCACAUGAGGACGCAACAUGGGAAGAUUUAGAGUUCCUGGCAAAGCAAUUCCCUCACCUGACCUUUGAGGACAAGGGUCCUCUUCGUAGAAGCGGUAUUGAUAUGCCGCGGAGGUCGUCAAGGAUUCCAAAGCCUAGCAACAAGUAUGCUGGGUACGUUUGAAUUAUGCAUGGAUGCUUGGAAGUCGAACGGUCACAUGGCUCAAGACUCAUGCAUACGUUACAUGCAACAUGCAGCACGUUGGAAGAAUGGUCGUUGGAGCAGUCUACAGGGAUCGUGGGUUGAUUCGGUCAACAUGGGAUCACUUGCUGAUUUAAUGGAGAUUUAUUAUUUGGUUUAAUUCAUAUUCGGUUGUUUUGUUAAGCUAAAAGAAUAAGUCAAAUUGUUAGCUUAGGACCUGCCUACAAUCUCGAGUGAUAGUUAGAUUGUUUGGCUAAGUUGUUUCAAGUAUAAAUAAGCUCCAACAGACUUGAAUAAAGGCAUUGACUAUUAUCCAAAAAAUCAAAUAUCUUGUGGUCUUAUUUCUCACCCUAAGUAGAAAUAUAUUCAAUCACUUAUGCUUUGACUGGGACCGCUAUCAGAAAUCAAUAUUUUUUGACUUGCCAUAUUGGAAGGUAUGUUAUACUAAUCAUAUUAUUUUUAUCUUCUUUCUAUUAUUCUAUAUUUGCAUAAUGGGUUUUAAAAUGUAAUAUCAUAGCUAACUUUUUUUUUAAUUUUUAUAGAAUUUGCUGGUGCGCCAUAACUUGGAUGUGAUGCAUAUUGAGAAGAACAUAUGUGAUGGUAUAGUGAGUACAUUGUUGAAUAUAAAAGGGAAAACAAAAGAUGGUCUUAAUUCAAGAUUAGAUCUAAAACGUUUGGAUAUUAGAAAGGAUUUGCAUCCUAAGAAGGAGAAUAAUGUACUGAAGUUACCUACUGCAUCACACACGCUCUCUAAAAAAGAGAAACUGAUAUUUGUAAACGGCUUGCUAGUUUAAAGCUACCUGAUGGCUAUGGCUCAAAUAUAGCAAAAUGUAUUUCAGUAGAUGAAUGCAAGGUGGUUGGACUGAAAUCCCAUGAUUGCCAUAUUCUAAUGCAGCAACUCAUACCUGUAGCUUUAAGAGGAAUUUUACCGAAGGGUCCAUGAAAAGCAAUUUUUCGAUUAUGUACAUUUUUUAACGAAUUGUGUAACACGGUCUUAGAUAGAAGUAGAUUACAACAAUUGGAGGAAGAAGUGACUGAGACAUUGUGCAUGUUAGAGAGAUUCUUCCCACCUUCGUUCUUUGAUAUCAUGAUCCAUUUAACUAUUCACCUAGGAAGAGAAGCUUGUCCAUGUGGACCAGUACAAUAUCGCUGGAUGUACCCAAUUGAGAGGUUUUUACUUACCACCAGCUUUUUUAAAAUAAAACAAUAAGUAAUGAAAAAAUAAUUAAUUUAUUUUACAUGUGUUAUGUCUCAGGUUUAUGAAAAUUUUAAAGGGAUAUGUAGAAAAUCGUGCACGACCCGAAGGAUGUAUAGCUGAAUGGUACAUUGCUGAAGAGUAUGCAUCAUUUUGUAGCAAAUAUAUAAAGCAGGCAGCCGAAAUAGGUACUCAACAUGGGAGAAAUGAAGAAUCUGAUAAUGACUUAUUAUUAGGAGGGCGUCCAAUAUCUAGAGGCAAGUCUAUUAGCCUUUCGGAUGAGAUGUUACAUAUUGCUCAUCGAUAUAUUUUAUUUAACAGCAUAGAGAUCCAACCUUAUAUAGAGUAAGACUUCAGGACAAUAUGUAAUUGUUGUUUUUCAAGUUUAAAAGGUGUGAAAAUUAACUUACAGUUCAUUUUUUUACUAGAGAACACUUGGAAGAAUUGAAGUGUAUGGAUAAACGACUUUUGAGAAAUGAAACCAUGUUACAGAAAAAGCAUAUGGACAGUUUUAGCUCGUGGUUAAAUAAUAAGGUUUGUAAGUAAGUUAGUUUUACUUUUACAAAUAUGCAAUACUUAUGUUUUUUAACUUUUAACCUUUUUUUUUUCAAUAGAUAACAAUGCAGCAGAGACAAACCAAUUUGCCAAAAACUUUAACAUGGCUUGCAAGAGGACCAAGGAAUCAAGCAAUGUCAUUUUCUGGAUAUGUUAUUAACGGCCUCAGAUUUCAUACAAAGGAAGCUGAAAAGUCUCGACAAGAUAGUGGUGUUUCACUUGAAGCAAAUACAAUUUGUAGAGCUAGUGCAAGGGACCCUACACAAGUUGUUGGGAAAGUCACUUAUUAUGGAGUGUUGAGGGAUAUAUUAGUGCUUGACUACAAUACUUUUCAGGUCCCCAUUUUCAUGUGAUUGGGCUAAUAUAGUUAAUGGUGUUAAAGUCGAUGAAGGAUUCACUUUAGUUAACCUUCACGAAGGACAAAGCCAAUUUGGAAAUGAUCCAUUCAUUUUAGCUUCACAAGCUAAACAAGUAUUUUAUUAUGAGGAUAUUGAAAAAUCAAAUUGGUAUGUAGUAUUGAAAGCACCACAAAGAGGGUUCCAAGAUUUAUUAUUGGCUAGUGAGAGUAAUUACAGUAUAUGCCUACCAAUUGACAUAAGUGGGCAUGAAACUGAAAAUGAUAAUGAGGACGAACCUCUUAGAAGGGAAGGAGUUGAGGAUAUAGUGUGUGAUGACUAGUUUAGUAUAUUAAUUAUUUAUGUAUUCUUGAAUUAUAGUUUAUUGUUAUAGUUAUUUGUUUUCAUGAAUCUAUUAAUUGGUUCCUUAAAUUACACGAUUAUGUUAAUGUGCUUAUUUCUCCGUGAUUAUUUUUAUAUGUUUAUUUCUAAACAAAGCUCUAGCUUUGUCAUUGGCAUUAAUCUCUUGUCAUAAUAAUAUAAACAUUUUGUUCAGCAUUUAACAAUUGUGCGGGGGGGGGGGGGGGUAAAAGAGAUGGACAAUGCUGAAGUAAGUAAUUUUUUUUUUGGUUCAACAUUGAAUUAUAAUUUUUUAUCUUCAUAUACUUAUUUUAUUUGUGUUUAUUCCUACAUAAAUUAUGUUAUGUAUAAAGUCUUCUAGGCAAGGUGAGAAAAGAAGUCAAGAUAAAUUUGGAGAAAAUGCAACUAUUCAAGGGGAGAAUGGACCAUUAGCAACUAGCAAUAGAGAAAAUGUGCACAUAUCUCAAUCUGAUGACAAAGGCACAAAAAAGAAAAGAGGUCCAACCAAACUUGGAAUGAUUCAAGAUCGUUCUCCACCAUUGAGCAUUGAGUUUAACGAAAAUGGCCAGGCAGUAGGUGUAAAUUCUGAUAAAUAUGCAUCUUUUAUUGGAGUUAUAACACGAGAACAUGUGCCUGUUUGUAUGAAAAAUUGGCUUUCGGUUGACCACAAGCUAAAAGAAGAUCUUUGGUCAUUAGUGCAGGUAUAUGAUAUUAUGCAAUAAUUAUCUUUAUUAACAAAUACAACAUUUAUCUUGAGAUUUAUUAUAUCAGCUAUUAUUUGCAUUUUUCUUAUAAUUUAUACAGGAAAAAUUCGUUGUGGAUGAGUCUCGUAAACGCUUGGCUUUAAGAAUGAUGGGUGAUUGCUGGAGACGAUACAAAUCAGAGCUAACAACUAAGAUCAAACAAGCGAACAAAGAGCAUAAUAAAGCACGUGUACUUGCUCUUAUCAAGCCAAAAAAUAUAACUUCCAAAGAAGAUUGGGCUAAAUUUGUCAAGGAAAGGUUGUCUCCAGAAUUUAAAGUAAGUUAGUCCAUUGCAUUGCAAUAAUGGUAUUCAAAUUAAGUUUCAUAUCUAUUAAAAUUAUACAUUUCAAUGUUUGAUUGAUAGGCAAUAAGCAAGAAGUUUAAAGAAAUGAGAAAUAAUCAGGAAGUGGUUCAUUCAAUGGGCCGACUAGGUUAUGCUAGGAAGGAGCAUACCAUGGUAUGAAUUUAUUUAAUUCGAUUAUUUUUUUACACUUAUUUGAUUUACUUUAAAUUACAUAUUUUUCUUAAUUGUAGAAAAAAAAGAGUUCAAAUCCAUCUGAAAUCACUAGAGUUGAUGUUUGGAUUGAAGACCAUCUUAAAAAGAAUGGUCAACUUGUUAAUGAAGCAGCUUCUAAAGCAUUGGUAGGAGAUAUCUAUACAAAGUAUUCUUGUUAUAACUAUUCAUAUGUAUGUUUUUAAUAAUGUUAUUUUGCCUUCUUCUAGGAAAAAGUUGGAGAGUGUCAUCAUUCAAAAGAUAAUGCAAGGUCUAACAACAUACGUAAUGAUGCUAUUGUAAAAGUAUUUGGACCUGAAAAGCAUGGACAAGUUCGAGGACUGGGGUUCGGAGCCACUCCCACUCAAUUAGAAGCACAUAUUCGAUCUACUGGAAAAGUAAAAGAACUUCAAAACCACUACAAGUUCAAUCUGAAAGAAUGUCUGUCCUUGAAAAGAAUUAUGAGCAUUUGACAGCUGCGCUUUUAAAAUAAUGGCAACAGGUAAAUGACUAUAUGAUAAUGCAUAUAUACAUGUAACUAGUUAUUUGAAAUCCAUUCUAAGACUUAAGAGAAUUCUGAUCAUUUACAGAAUCCAAGCAAAGGUUUUGAUGAUAUUAUAACUUCUCAAGCUUGUACUCCUCAGGUAAUGCUUUUUUUUAUCUUUUUUUAGACUUAUUAAGAAUGUUUCAUUGAAAAGAAAAAAAAAAGUACUGGCUAAACCAACUUUUAUUUCUCACUCCUAUAAGUUGUAAAUCCAUAUUUGUCUUGCUUAUAGUCACAACAAGGAAGCGGUACAAUGCAAGAAAAUGGCCACUAUGAAAAUGCAAGAUGUUAUUUAUUGAAUUGGUAUACAUAUGAUGUUGAGGAAAUAGUGGCUGAAGGAACGAUUGCCUCAACAGACCCCAAGGCAAAAGUUCACCACAUGUCUCUUGGAAGAGAUUGUUGGAAAGUUUGGGUGGAAUCAAUAUCUGAUGGUAUGGAUGAAGUGACUUUAUAUAAAGUGACAGAUGAAGCUCAUAUAAUAGUUGAGGCUUUGGGAAGCACUGUUGCUUGGCCAAAAAGUUGCAUUAAAUUGUUUUAAAGAAGGUAUGUAGGCAUACAAAUAUUCUCUUUGGUAUGUAUAUAUAAUUAUUUUUCAAAUGCAGCAAAUAAAAAUUGAUUUAGUUAACCUUUUUGUAGGAGUUUAUGCCUUGAAGAAGAUGUUUUUGUUACCGUGUAUAUAUGCCUUGAAGAAGAUGUUUUUGUUGGCGGGUAUGUAUGCCUUGAAGAAGUUUUUGCUGGAAUUGCAAGCUGAAGAAGCUUUUGUUGGAGAUGAUUUUUUGAAUUUGAUAUUUAUCGAAUUGCAACUGCCACUAAUGUGUUGUAAUUAUUUUUUUUUGGGUGUUUUGCUAGAUGGAAAUUAUGCUGAUGUUGGAAAUUUCUAUGGAUUAAUUGUAUGAAUACUAAAAUAUUUGUGUGACUUUUAGUGGGGAUGUGUGGUCAUUACUAUGUUUAUCAAAUCUUAUUACAAUAAGCCGAAUAUUUGAAUUAGUUCAUAUACAUUUUAUAAAUGGUGGCAGCAGUGUAGUAGUAGUUGUAGUAAGCAAGUAAGUAAGUAAUAAUAAUAAUAAUAAUAAUAAUAACAACAAUAGUAACAAUAAUAAAUAUAAUAACAAUAAUGAUAAUGAUAAUAAUUAUAAUAAUAAUAACAACAAUAGUAACAAUAAUAAAUAUAAUAAAAAUAAUGAUAAUGAUAAUAAUUAUAAUAAUAAUAAUAAUUAUUAUUAUUGGCAACAUGCAAGAUAUAUUGUUUAUUGUAAAAAAAAAAAUUGAAAUUAAUGGCGACAAUUAGUUGCUUGUUGCUAUAUAGUUUAUGACAACAUUCACAAGCUUGUAGUAAAAAAUUUGGAUGCACAUGACCUUUUUAACCACAAUCACUACAAGUUGUCAUAAGACAUUUAACAACAUUCAUAUCUUUUUCAACAACAUGAAUUGCGCGUAGUUGAAAGUUACCUACUUUUCGCUACAGCAAGAACCGCAACAUGCAUGUGCUCGUCGUGAAACCCCUUCCACAACAAGCUUUGCCUGUUGUCAUAUAGUAUUUUUCUUGUAGUGAAUUCUGCUAGGGUAAGAAAUUUGCCGAAGCCCCAUUCACUUGUCUGCUGAUCAUAGGUCCCCACUGGAGAUUUAGCAUCUUGGACUGCCAAGUAAUCCUUCCUAAUCUUAUCAUACACAAACAAUCUGUAGUAGACAUUAACACUCCAGGCAGCAUUAGAAUAAGAAUUGCUUUCAUCUAUUUUCAGGUAAAGGGAAAGAUGACGUCUAUGUUCUUUGUGAUCUACUGUAUUUGCAUUUGAUCAGGGGUAAGGUUCAUAGUACGUAUGUCCUCUAAUUAAGUGUUUCUUUCUUUUUUGAUUUAGACAAAAAUAUAUACAGUCUACCCAGAGUUUCACCAUUUUUCAAAAACUGUUCUACUUCCAACUUAAUACCGUUAGUAACUUUGAUAGAAUAUUAGCAAAAUGACAAU
This 156899-nucleotide long non-coding RNA is filed under the name Citrus x clementina. RNAcentral's name for it is "Citrus clementina (C. clementina) long non-coding RNA (CCLE_LNC002418)". The record is from RNAcentral. Lineage: Eukaryota; Viridiplantae; Streptophyta; Magnoliopsida; Sapindales; Rutaceae.